RNAcentral lists this long non-coding RNA (90327 nucleotides) under Pelobates cultripes (western spadefoot toad). Lineage: Eukaryota; Metazoa; Chordata; Amphibia; Anura; Pelobatidae. The record is from RNAcentral.
CAGCUACCUGCACCACCAGGUGGUGCAGACUAUGCUCAGCGCUCCCUCGGGCCAGUGUUCUAUUAUGAAUCAGAGCGUUGCCUGGUAACCAGGGCAACGCUCUGACCCGCUGCACGGAGCAGUGAACUUGGUCUGCACCCCGAGGCGCAGACUGCAAGCUCCCUGGCAUUAGUCUCAGACCCCCCGAUACAUUACCGAGGACCUGAGUCGGCCCCAGCCGGUGCUGCAAGCUAUGCGACCGCCUAGCGCCCCUGUUGCCAUGGUGCCCUGCCAUAUCUCUCCCCCCCUCCCCUCGGUCGGCAAUAUACUCUGGCUGUGCAUACAGUAGCUCUAUGCUCCCUGCCUCCCCUCCUUCCCCUCCCUGCCUGGCUGUCAGUUUCCUGGGCGGGCAGGAGGUGGAGCUGUCAGCCGCAGCAAGCAGAAGCAGAAGGAGGUUUUUUGGCCUCUGAAUGGAUGAAUUUCGGAUUAUCCUCUUCCGUUUCCAGCACUUCAAGAACCCAACAACAACUACUACUACUACUACUAGUGACCAGCACGGCGGGCAGGACUGUGUGGAAGUGGGGGGCUCCACGAAGACCCCCGAGCUAGCAAGCACUGAGUGCCAGGGUGACAGAUGAGCCCAGUGUGUGAGAUACUGUGUUAGUACCCUCAGAGGGUAGAGACCAUGGGGCACUGCCUCUGCAGGUCAUAGCACUGUGUAUGCUGCAGCCUUUCUAUAAGAACACAAAUGUGAGAUUUAUUAUUAUUUUUUUUUAAUGCUGUGUGUAUAUCACUGUUGCUAUUGGGGCUCUGGUGCCCAAUUACCUGCAUUUUCUAUAUACAGUACUGCAUUUGCUGUGUGUGCCAUUGCUCUGAGAAUGUGCUGCAGCUGCAUGUAAUUUUUUUUUUUUUUUUUAAGUCAGUUUGUACUGAGCUCUUCUGUUUUUGUGUGCCUGCUGCUAUCUAAAAUACCACUGAGAUAUCAAUAUCCCCUUCCAGGGAGAUAAGGUACUAACUAUCCCCUUGUGACCGGACAUAUCUGCGGAGAGUGUGGCACAGAGCUGUGAAUUUGCCAGUCUUUGGUGCCAGCACACUCUGGUUGCUGUUGUUUUCCUUAAAGGUGCUGGUAAGACUUUUUAAUCACAAUGAAGAAGUUUUCUCGGAUGCCCAAGUCAGAAAGCGGCGGAGGAGGAGGUGGUGGUGGAUCUAGUCUAUGUCCAGGGUCCUCGGGCACUGCUACCAGUGGAGGGGUGACUGUGGGCAGAGGCUUCACCAUUGGGCGUUAUCAGGUUACUGUGGAAGAACUUGUGGCAGAAGGUAACAAUGUUUUCAUAAAUUACUUUAUGUAAGAUUAAAGCUGUUUUUUUUUUCUGUUUCCAAUGUGUUUUGCGAAAUAAUUGAACGUACCAGUGGAAAUUUUCAUCAGUGUUUAAGUAUUAUAGGUUUAAUAAUUUGUACACAAUUAUCUGUAACGUGGUACUAAAGCAUACAUAUGUUUGAUAGUAGUACCAUCUGUGCUGACUGCAGACAUAUGUAGACUGCUGUACACGUCAUAAAGUCAUAUGUUGCUACUUAGUUGGCAGACAUCACACACACACAUUGCAAUGUGGAAUAAUACACCUAGGCCCUUUCCUCAGGUGAGAGAAUGCAUAUUGUUUCCAGAAAACUCUUGUCAUGUGUGCGCCAGUUCACUGAGAACUGGCAUGGGUCGAAGGAGUGGACUGCUAUACUCCUGAUCACACCAAAUGAAGAAAGAAAAACAUUUUAUCUCUCUUAUGCAUCGUUAAAAAGUUUUAAAGUGUGGUCACAAGUUUUCAAGCCUCAAGUUAGGCAUCUUGCAAGACUUGUUUAUUAUAUUGAAUUAACAGACAACAUGGAUACAGUUAGCAUAAUGGUAAGUAUAAGUACUAAUAAUGUAAACCAAAAUCAUAAUUUAAUUAUUUACUUUUUUUUUUAUUUACACCCGUGCCCAAAUGUCUGUACCAAAACUGCAACAACAACUUUAAAACUAACCAAUAAUAAUGGCCUAGCUUCUAACAUUUAGUUACUUAUGACAAGACCUUCAUUUCAAUACUAGAGACAUCUAACGGUUGCCCUCCACUGCAGCCUGGAGGAUCCCUGGCCCUUGCCAGGGCUUAAAUUCCACUCGCCAAUGGGCAGUGGAUUUGUGGAAACUUUGAGCCCUAACAUGUAAUUUCAUUCUUGGGCAUACUUUGCCAGGGUUUACAACUUAAGGCCCUCAAGUUCAAUGUAAACUUCAAAUUAUGUAUAAAGAUUAUACAAAUGAGUGUAUUAAGGAUCCAAUAUAUUGAUCUCAUUGCAUUCCUGAUAGUAUUCAGCCAAACUGUAUAUUAUUAGUUAAAUGUGCCUGAUACAGUCAACAUACAGUGUAAAACAUAAAUAGUGCUUGUCUAUUAAACAUAUUGCAAACUAACUCUCUGGCCCUCACAUGGUUGAUGUAAAGUUGAAACCAAAUAAUCACGUAAAAUGGGCAUUGUAAAUUGUUGCUGAUUGCAAUGUUUACAGCUGCUCUCUUUAAAGGGACACUAUAGUCACCUGAACAACUUUAGCUUAAUUAAGCAGUUUUGGUGUAUAGAACAUGCCCCUGCAGCCUCACUGCUCAAUCCUCUGCCAUUUAGGAGUUAAAUCCCUUUGUUUAUGAACCCUAGUCACACCUCCCUGCAUGUGACUUGCACAGCCUUCUAUAAACACUUCCUGUAAAGAGAGCCCUAUUUAGGCUUUCUUUAUUGCAAGUUCUGUUUAAUUAAGAUUUUCUUAUCCCCUGCUAUGUUAAUAGCUUGCUAGACCCUGCAAGAGCCUCCUGUAUGUGAAUAAAGUUCAAUUUAGAGAUUGAGAUACAAUUAUUUAAGGUAAAUUACAUCUGUUUGAAAGUGAAACCAGUUUUUUUUUCAUGCAGGCUCUGUCAAUCAUAGCCGGGGAGGCGUGGCUAGGGCUGCAUAAACAGAAACAAAGUAAUUUAACUCCUAAAUUAAAUUGCAGAGGAAUGAUCUAUACUCUAAAACUGCUUUAUUUAGCUAAAGUAAUUUAGGUGACUAUAGUGUUCCUUUAAUUCUGGGGUCUUUGCAUAUUUUAUUUUUUUCCGUGUGAGAGGAGAAUCGAGCCGCUUUAACAUCACGUAGAUAUGAGAAAUUACAAGUUUUAUCCAGGGUUUGAGAUUCUCGGACAAGAGUUAUGGAACUACUUGCCAGCUGCCUAAAGAAAGCCCAGAAAUAUGAAAUAUUUUAGUUCUUUUCUUGACUAUAACAAAGCUGCCAUAACAUUAUUUAUUGCAAAAUAGAAGAGGGAACCGCACUCAAUUCGCAUAAAACAAAGGGUGCUUUUAUUAGAAUAUACAAGCAGGCAUGUUUAUUAGAACAUGUGGGACACUGCAACGUUUCAACCCCAGAUCCGGUCUUUGUCAAGACAUGGAUUUGUAGUAUCUAGUUUAAAAAUUAUGUCAAAGGUUUGGCUUGCACAUUUUUUAUGAAAGGGACCCUAUAGGCACCCAGACCAUUUCAUCUCAUUGAAGUGGUCUGCGUGAAGUGUCACUGUAACCCUUAACCCUGCAGUGUAAAACAUUGCAGUUUUACCUAACAGCCAAUAGAGGUGCUUCCUGCAGUUCACAGAGCUUGGUUACAUAAAACAUAGUUGAAUGUCCUCAAGCCUUGUAUGCUUUCCUAUGGUGGACAUUAGGUUUCUUCCAUUGGCUGACAUCGACAGAGGAGGAGCCCGAGCCAGCGCUGAGGGACAUUAGUGAUGAACUCACAUAAGUGUUUAAAGUUUUUUGUUUUGAUUUUGAUAACCCUUUACAUCGCCAGGGGUGUUGAGGUGCAGGGCUGUAUUUAGUGUUAGGCUAACAAGCCAUUUCUGUUGGAUGGCACCCAAACGCCCAGUAGAUGCCUUGUUAGAUUGGCCACUUUUGGCUCCCCCCGAGGUGGGCGGUGAUGGAGCGCUAAUCCUUGAUCUGCCCUGCGGUGAUGCCGUGAGCCGGCGUAUUAUGUCACUACGGCCCUGGCAUCCCUGUGGGGUGCACGAGGGAGCAAAGGAAGGAGAUUACACUGCAUACACGCCAGCCAGUAUGCAUGCCUGGUUCCCAGGGACAUCAGCCCCUCUGAAACCCAAGAAAAUCAACCCCACUGUACUCCAUGGAAAUCAGCCCCAAUGAAACCCAGGAAAAUCAGCCCCAAUGAAACCCGGGAAGAUCAGCCUCACUGGACCCCGGGGAGAUCAGCCUCACUGGGAAAUAAUUCACUCCAACUUUCCCAAAGGUAGGGAGGCUGGUUGGAUUUAAAUUAACAUAAACAAACAAUAAUAAUUUGUGAAAAAGUGAGUGUGAGUAUGUCAGUGUGUGAGUGAGUUUGUGUCUUAUCAGUGCGUGCGUCUGUCAGUGUAUGUGUAUCUGAGAGUGUGUGCUUGUCAGUGUGUGUCUGUCAGAGAAUGUGUGUGUUGGUUAAACAAUGUGUGUGCCAAUGACUGUGUAUCUGUCAGUGAGUGUUUAUCAGUUCAGGCAUCUGUGAAGGUGUGGGUCUCAGUCAAAUUACAUGUUGAUCUCAAACAGGAUAAGGUGUUGCCUUGACAGGAAGGGGUGGGGCAAAUUUAGUUUAGGGGGUGCCCCAGUUUUGUCAUACAUAGGGCAGCCCAAAUCCUGAAAAGGCAGUGUUUACAUGAAAAUAUCCAGCUGUAGUUCUGGUGAAUAGUGUCCCUUUAAAAGGUGGGUUUUUAAUUUUUUUUUUUUUUUUUGCAGUGCAUAAAAUUUAUACAGGCAUGCCCGGGGUGCCCCAAAGGCAGUCCCCAAGCUUUCCUCGCUUAACAUGCGGGACAGAUGAACAGUAUGCACAAUUUUAUGUUAUGAACAGGCUUAACUGUAGUUAUGUAAAGUGGCAUCCUUAUAAGACAGUGACAUGGAAGCUUUGCAUAAUAGUAUUUCAAAAACAGGCUUAAACAUCCAUUGUGUCACAAAGAGAAGAGAUUAAGGUACAGGCAUAUAUAAACAUAUAUGAUAGGUAGAGAGAUUAUGGUUAAAACAAUAAGGUUACACAGCAUAGUAACCAUGUCUGGACUGGGACCAGUAUAUGUAGUUGCUUGCCAGCCUCCCCUUCUGUCCCCUGAGAUAUAAUAGCUGAAUCUACAAAUCAACCGUGUUACAGUGUACGCCUAGUGUGGGAGCACAAAUAGAGUAUAGUGUAUCUUUAUCGGCUAGCUGACUCCCGUGGGUGUAUGUUGCUUAGUGUGGUUAUAGCAUUGCGUGGGUAUGAUCGAGUGUCUGUGAGUCACAUGUUAGGCCCGCCGCUCUGUUGCUGUGGCUAGAUUUGUGCGGUUUGGGUUGGAAAGGGUUAACAAAAACAUCAAGGAGGACAUAUGUGAAUGUAUAGACAUAUAAAAAGACAGGCUGGUAUCAUAAGCUUAAGGAAGUUCUCAAUUCCAUAUAUUAGGUUGCCAUAUGUGGUAACUUAUAUGAGAUUGUGUCCAUCUAGUGUGAGUCUGUGGGAGUAUUAGACUGGCCAGACAUAUCAGACUUUGCCAACCAUUUCUUUGCACUACUGUCUGGAGCUCCAAGAGAAAGUCAUCUGAGGCUUUAAGAGGUAUUGCCCCUGGGAGAUGGAUCCACAUGUCUGUGAGGUGUCCGCCGGUAUGUGUAGCUGAUCACUGGAGACAUGGGAUUGUAUGCGUGUAUCUGUCCCAGUCAGCCAACUCCCUCCGCUGGGAAACGCAUGGAAUCUGUCGGUGGGUCUUGGCGUGCCGCUGCUAUACAGGUUCGGGUGUAGGUGUCCCUCCAGCCCCAGGCUGGUGUGAAGGCCCACAUCUCUUUGCCACAAACUCGGUUCUUCUUAGAGGCCGAGUUCCCUCCACUUGUGGGAGCGCUGGGGGGCCUGAUGAUCUGUUGCCGCUUGCGGCGUUGGCACCUCCGCAGGUGUGGACGAUGCCUCCGGGUCUGAACCCCCGUGGCCUUCAGCCCGGGUGGGCUAUGGAGAGUGUGGGUGGUCGUUGCUACAGGCGCUGCACCCGAGGGUGACACCCUCCUACCCCGCCGCAUUCGGCCUUGCUCACUCUUGUCUUUCAGGAAUUGUAGUUUGGUCUCUGUUUUCUGUUCGCGCUCCUGGAGUUUCUCCCAGAAGCGGAGAAAGAUUUCCUCCAAGCGCUGCAGGGUGUCUGUGGUUUCCCCGCGUAUGGGGCCUUGACUGUGGCACAUGUUGUGGUCAGCAGCCGCCAUCUUGAGUUGCAUAAGCUGAGUUUUGAGGCUGAAGACUCGGUCUAAGCGGUUUGCUCCAGACGCUUUAGAGUAUACCGGGAUAUCCCCCCCCGGUCCAAAGGGGGGGGGGGAGGUAGGGGACAGGGAUGCCGAGGCACCUCCGUGUGGUCCUGUGAGCGGGGAGAGUGGCCGUCUCACCCCGGCUCGGAGUUUGGUAGGCCUCAGGAGGGUAUCGCAGGUCUCCGGGCGGUGAUAAAGGUAAGUCAGGUAUCGAUGAGUGCACCCGGGUGUCCCCUUCUUGCUGAUAGCCCUCCAGGAGGCAGACGUGCCAGGUUUGGGGUUUUGUUUUCCCCUAAAGCAGCUAUUUUCCCAGGAGCUCUGUCCAGGCACCUCUGCUCAGCCUGGAAGCCAGGCUCCGCCCCCUCCCCUUAAAAGGUUUUAACGCCUGACAUUGUAAAAUUUAUUUUGUUUUAAUAAUCUUUAAGUUUGAUUUAAAACACAUGGGUGAUUUUGAAAAGCCAGAAAAAGGUCUUUACAUUAGGUUGUUUAAAGAAAGUUUUAGCUGAACUUGAUGGACGCAUGUCUCUUUUCAGCUAUAUAACUAUGUAGCUGAGGAAGUAAAGCAGAUGAACUGUGACUCAAUAUAUUUGCGCAAUAUAAAAGUUAUUGUAGUUGUGAGAAAUAAAGUGAAUACAUUGCUUAUCCAAGACUUUUCACUCCUCAAGAGUACUUUUUAGUGUUUUUUGUGUUGUGAAUCUGGGGACUUUUUAGUGUUUUUUGUGUUGUGAAUCUGGGGACAGUUUUGCAGGGCAUUGAUAAAAGUGAAUAAAAUGGUGUAAUAAAAGAAAAAUCAUGAAAAAUUUUAAACAAGUCCUUUAAGUAGUGUCUCUGGCCUGGAUGAAUCCUCAAGGGAUUUUCAAUGGUUCCCAGUAUGCCUGUGAACAACACAGACUUUAUUAUAUUACCUCAUGGUUAUUAGGUUAAUCUUAAAUGGCUAUGGACUUCUUAAUAUCAUUAUAAAAUCUAGAACGGCUUCUGUUGGCAGAAUUUUAUAUUGUGAGAUAGAAAGCACUGUAAUGAUUAAUUUUGUUACUUGUAGCAGGCAUUAAGACUAAUGAUACAACAAAUGUAUUUUCCUUCUGGUCUUGUCAUUUUCCAGUAUUUGGAUUUUUGUCAUGAUAUCUUCAGCUCUCUUCUUUGUUUGAAACAAGUAGAAAGUAUUUGUCUUCAGUUUUAUAAAUAAGCACAGAGAUUAUUAUUAAAAAAACUAAACCGACUGAAAAGUGAACUAUGAUAUGUGCACAGGCAUAUCUGUCAAACUGUGCAAGUGGUGUCUACAUUUUUCAGCAAUACAUUUUUUUACCAUCCAAUUGUUUGUCCUCAUUUAUAAACCUUUCUAAUGUAAUUGUCUGUUUCUAAAUUAGGUAUAUGCCGAUUAUCUAUUUUAUAACUCCAUGUUCGAUAUGUGAUUUCUGUGAGUUUUACACUGGCCUUUGCAUUGGAAUUGUCUACUGCAUCAAAUAGAUGAUCCUACAGGAUAUUGAACCAUUGUCUACUUACUUAUUUACAUCCUGCUCAAAGAAGUUAUAAAUUUACUCCUGGUGUGAAAGACAUUAUGUACUGAAAGAAUUAAAGCAACACUGUUCUCUGCAAACCUCUUUCCCAAAAUCAGUUUAAAAGAAUAAUGCAAAUAGAUUGCCAUUAUUUACACUGGGUUUUCUUUUUUCUUUCUCUUUCUUUUCAUUAUGCCCUUUGUAGCUUAAUGAUUAUCUUACAUCUCUUGUUACUUGUUUCUUCCUUGCGCCAGAUCUCAAUAUCUGGGUGCUACCAUUUUGUUCUCCUUUCUCUGUGAUGUUUGCAGUUUCCCUUCUGUGGGAUAAUUUUGACUGAUGGAUUGUGAGUAGUGAUGUGCCGAACGGUUCGCCGCAGACUGAUCAUUGAGUAAACUUUGACCCUGUACCUCACAGUCAGCAGACACAUUCCAGCCAAUCAGCAGCAGACCCUCCCUCCCAGACCCUUCCACCUCCUGUACAGCUCACUAAGAAUGCAGCUUCACAAUGAAUGUAAAAUGGAUACUGUCCAGGAGGUGGGAGGGUCUGCUGCUGAUUGGCUGGAAUGUGUCUGCUGACUGUGAGGUACAGGGUCAAAGUUUACUCAAUGAUGAGUCCGCGGCGAACCGUUCGGCGAACCGUUCGGGACAUCACUAAUUGUGAGUAAUUUAGCGAAGAAACUGAAAAUGAACUUUGCUUAAAGGGACACUCCAGACCCUUGGAGCACUUUGGUUAUUGGACAGCCAAUGAAAGUAUGGGCUGUGUUAGAAGGGGGAAAGCUUGCAAAUUCUUUAGACAAGAUCUGCAGCUUUUGCAACCUGUUUAUAGAGAUACCACCAAUGUAAAAAUGUAUAAUUAAAUGCAUGCAUAUUAUUGGGGGUAUAUUUACUAAACUGAUUUUUAUAUAUUUUUUCUAAUGUUAUUUGUGCAGUAGAGUGUUCUUUUAAAGGAAUACUAUAGUGUCAGGAAUACAAACAAUUUUGUGAAUGCUUGGAAAAAUGCAUCUCUAUGAGGAAUGUUCAGUGCAUCAGUGAUGAGCGUAGAGAUGAUGAAUGUCAGUGCUGCACACUGCAGCACUGGACUAGGAAGCACCACUAGUGGCCAUCUGAGUGACUGCCACUAGAGGAGUACCCAGGCAGCAAUGUAAAUACUGCCUUUUCUCUUAAAAGUCAGUGUAUACAGUGUUCAGUAUCCAGGGACAGGGUUUAGACACCAGAACCACUACAUUAACUUGUAGUGGUUCUGGUGACUAUAGUGUCCCUUUAAAGGGACACUAUAGUCACCAGAACAACUACAGCUUAUUGAAAUUGUUCUGGUGAGGAGAAGAAUAAUAUGUCGAAAUAGAGGGACAAAAAAAAAAGAUCUUUUGCACUGCCUCCAUGACAGUUACUGAUAUAAGAAAAACAAGGUUACAGAGAACAUGUGAUUUUCCAGGUUUUCACUGUGCAGUUUUCUUUUCAGUUUAUCAAUAAAGCAAACUGCUGAACAGAUUUAAAAAUAAUUUGCAUUGUUUAUACAGAUUUUAAAAUGAUGCACCUAGUCUUUCUAUAUGUACCUAAGUGUAAUUGAGAUCUAUAAGAUCUAUUAAUAUAAAGAUAGAGAAAUGUGUCUCGUUUUGAGUUAAAAAUUCACUAACCAUUAUAAAUAGUGGACAUUUCUUAAAUGUAAUUGAUUUUCUAUUGAAGAUGAUUUGGCAGUUUUGAGACUUCCUCAUUCACAUUUUAAGGGGCUGCAUGUGCUUAAGAUAAUUGAAUACAUAGCGUCUCUUGCUCGUGAUUCUCUUUUAUGAUUACAUCGCGAAUAAUCAAAUUUGUCACUUGUAGGAUCUGCUUUUUUUUUGUAUAGAUCUACAAGGACCAUUUGCAUAGCGCUUGAUAGAAAGAAAAUUGUAGAAAGGGAGAUAUGCUUAUCUGAAGCUCUCCUCUGUCACUGCUGCCAUGUUCCUGUACUUCUUUUUCUUUGGCUCCUUCUAGCCUCACCAGCCAGAAGCCCCUUCAGUUGUAUACUAAACAGGGCUAAAUGGAACAUUAUACAAUAGAUGUCUUGCACAUGCGCAGUAAGAUUACAUCACUCAUGAUGGUUGAUUAAAAUGGCAAGAUAUGUCCGUGGAGGCCCACACAUUGCCACAUUUUGCCUUUAUUCAACAAAGUACCUAAUUUUUCCCUUGUAUCUUUUGAUUGCAUUAGAAUUUCAGUGAGAUUCCAAUGCAAAUAGGCAUUUUUCAUAUAGUUCUAUAUUUACGGGAAACUCAAGUGACAGUGCUGCUUUAAUGCCAGUCAGAUUACUGACCAGCAGAAAAUGUAGAAAAAAAUAAAUCAUCAGAAUGUACUGUAACACUGCCUUAUUUUUAGGUUAACACAGUCCCAAACGCUCUUUGCCCAGCUCUGACUACAUUGAUGUGCAAUUCAAGGCCAGCUGAGACAAACAUUCUUUCACAACACCAUAAAGGGAAGACACUCCAGAUCAUUAUAAAAUAUCUAAUUAAGAUCUCCUUUUUUAUGUAAAGGUCCUAUACUACGUACAACAAGAGAAGGACACAGGUUGGAUCCCUGUCUACUUUCACUUUCAAGCAAAUGGGCCUUUUUGGGACAGAAGAAUUAGAGUAAUGAAAACGAACAUAGAAUUCUAAAAUGUAUUUUGGAAAAGUCACUUUAAAUAAUGAGCAGACAAGGGGCCAUGCUAACAUUCUGUGGCUCCAACAUAUAGUCUAGUUCAGAGGUGGGCAACCUUGGCACUCCAGAUGUUUUGCAGUUUACCUCCCAUGAUGCUUUGUCAGUAUUAUGGCUGUAAGAGCAUUAUUGGAGAUGUAGUCCAUAACAUCUGGAGUACCAAAGGUUGCCUCUAGUUUAUUGAUGUUGACUUUUGUGAUAGCUGAAACACCAGGGUUUAACCAAUAAGUGCCCACACAAUUUAUAAAUUUAUCAUUCUAUGGUAUGGUUUCGUGAUUGCUUGUGUUUAACCUUCAUAUUGGUGAAACAUCUCGGAACUCCGUGUAAUUAGCAGAGGGAAGUUAGCAGUAAGCUAUUGUGUUUUUUGUCUCGUCCGUUAGAAGAAGUGCUGUCAUUCCCAGCAGAGAGCAAAAUUGUCACCUGAAAAAUAGAAAUGCAAAAAAAAAAAAAAAAAAAAUUCCAAUGGUGUUGUUCCUAAGAUAAGUUGGUAGAUAUUAAAUCUGUAACCACAUGCACGUUUAUUAUCCAAAAUCAGAAUUAAGUAAAAUGUACAAGACAGUUCAUAGGCCAUAUUCAAUAAAUCCUGAGGUGUUGGCACCUAAAACACUGUAGAUAUUGAGUAUAUUCUAAUUGCUUUAGUAUAAAACUACUCUGCAAACUUGCCAUUCACUAGGCUGGCGGAGCAUCAUGGGAGAUGUAGUCAUUACUUUACUCAGAUGACAGGGAGUAUUCACUAAGUUCUCUUGCUUGUGGGAGAUGUCAGUGCAUGUGUUAAAUUAUGCAGAAUUCCAGGUGUAAUGGGGUCAGUAUAGCAUUUAAUUUAAGCUCCAUGUUUUCACACAAGAAUGAUCAAAUCUUGGGCCAUGUUUGGCGAUGAACCCUCUUACAUAAACUUGUCUGAGGAUAUAUGCGUGUAUACAUUAUACCAUGUAGUUAAGUUCUGCUGAACCACCUAAUGUGGACUUUUGUAAGAUUAACGUGGAUGGAAAUACCAAAGCUUUUUGCAGACAGUGCCUGGAGCUAUUUUUAAGAAAAAUAAUUUUUUAUUCUUUUUUAAUUGAAGUAUUUAUUCAGAAAGGGGUUAUUAAGCAGGACUUGCAGGUCCCCAUCACUCCAGCAAAGAUCACAAGAAACAUCGGUAGUGUAUAAUCAGCCUGGAGCUAUUUUAUGUUUUGGUGUAUUGAUGUAGUAGGAAUUUAAAUUACAUCUGGUAACUCACUGUUAUGUAUUUUUCUGAGGCUCAAGGAUAACAAUUUGAUAAAUAAUAUGAAGUCCCUUUGAGCAAGGGAAUUCCUUCGCUUUAACCUGGGGUAAUAUACACAUUUUCUCAUUUGUUUUCAAAUACUUACUAGAGGGAAAUCUAUUGUUCAUAAAAUACUACUCUUGUUUACUUUUUCUGUUUCCUGUAUUGUAAUCACGUUACUAACUUCUAUCUCUUACAGCGUCCCUUUUGAUUUAACAAUAAUUGAAUUCCCUGGGGAAAAAAAAGAAAUAUAUUUUUUGUGUUUUUAUGAUAUUUUGCACAGUCCGUUGUGAAUAGGAGAUAUGAACAGUGUGAGUUGAUUAAAGGCUGCUGCUACCUGUAGGGAUGUUAUGUUGAACAUGUGCAACCACCAGAACCUAAUGCUAUUUAUUAGAUGAGACAUAGCUUUGCCUAUACUGAAAACACGUUACUCAGUUGGUUAAUGUAAAUAAUUGUGCAACGCUUAAAGUAUUACUGUGUGAGUUGCAAUGUCUUCAAGGUUCAGUGGUGCACAAGGUUCCUUAUAGGGUGUGUAUUUACUGUUUAAUCAUACAUGCAUGAAUUCAGACCUUAUGAUUCAUGCCACUUUUUUCAGUAUAGUAAGCUAUUUUUUGCAAAAGACCACAUUUAUAGCUAACUCUCUUGUCAAGGACUCACGGCCUUAAACUGCAUCAGAAACAUCUGUGCCACUGGUACAUUCUGCGAUGAAUCCAGCUGCUAGGAUUGCAUUGGGAGUUUGUUCAUUCUCGAUUGCAAGGCAUGCAUAUUCUGUCUGUAGUUAUGUUUGUGUGCUCAUAUGUGACUGCAGUUGAUUUCUAUGGUAGAACCAUGAAUGUGCUUUGAUUCUUCUAAAAGUUUUAGUGAAAAAUUAGGGAUUGGUUGACUUCUCCCAGUUGCUGCCUGAUUUUGGGAAACCUCAACAGAGGUGGGUUGAGGUUAUUAUCAAUAAAGCCUGCUGUAGUUGUUUUGAUGCCAGGAGUACCUUGGCCAUGUUCUCCAGUAAUUGUAGAAACCAUUUAGCAAUGCUAUGCACCCUUUUUUAGGUCCACACCAGGCUUUUGGUGGUCCAUCAAAUUAUUUCCGGAUUCUGCAGAGCUGGGUCGUCACCAUUCAUUACACAGAAUGAAAGAUGCACAAAAUUGACAUUAGCUUUUCUGGGCUGGAUGAUGACGCUGCUCAAAGUCGAGUAACCUCUCCCAUGGCAGAAUAGUUUAACUCUGUAUGUGCAGCGUGCAAAUCACUUAAGUGGUUAUGGUGCUUGCAGUAGCUCUUUGAACGCGUUGCAAUAAAUGUCCUUUUUGGACAACAUGAGUUUACUAUGGGGGAGAAUUUGAAAGUUUAAAGGUAAUAAAAAAAACAAACAAAAACAAAGCCUCGAUAUCAUAAGCUUCUGAAAUAAUUCAAUAAUGUUAGAAAAACUUUCCAAAUAAUUUAGCUACAAAAAUUCCCAUAGACUUUAGUGGUGACUUCUGUUGACAAAUAAUUUGGAAAGUUUUUUCGACAGCAUUGACUCAUUUGGAAAACUUAUGGAAUCGAGGCCAAAGUUUAAUUGUUUUUAAUAAAUAACUAUAAAAGAUAACCUCUUUACCAAUAUUUAUUUCCAAUAGUACUAAUCCAUUUAGUUAUUUGCAUCCAUUGCUCCUUUUUAAAAAUUGCAUUUUAAAGAGAAUGUGUUGAGUCAGAAAAUUAAUGUAAAAAGAAUAACCUAUGGUUUAUGUUUCAAGCAUAUUUUUUUCCUAUUCAUGAUAUAAUUUAAUUCCCAUUUGCCUUUUCUACCCACCCACUUUGUGUUAGAUUUAAUUAAUGUCUGGAAGCGCUGUAUCAUUCAUCUGUAUAGUGGAAAUGUAGAGUGAAAAAAAAAGAAUAGGAGCCAUGUUAUACAUUUCUUAUACCUUGUAUAUUAUUGUUAAAGGAGCACUCCGAACACAAUAGCCAAUAGUUAUGGCGCUUCAAGUGUUCCUAGAAAGUAUCAGUUUUUUCAGUAAUCAUUGUCACACAUUUCCUUACCUGUAAAUGCUAUUAAAGAAACAAACAUGUAUUCCUGACACUAUAGGACUGAAAAUAAAGUUUAGGGACCAGCCCCCUGUUAAAAGGGUAGUUUACUCACCAUUUUCCAGCGCCGGCCAGGUCUUGUCACAGCUGUCCCCGUCCAUGCUCCGCGUCCUUGGCUGAGAUGAUAAAUUUAGGAAAGCAUUGGGAGGCUGUUGUGCAUGUGCCAAUCAGCAUCAUCUCAUAGAGAUGCAUUGGAUCAAUGAAUCUCCAUGAGGAACGUUCUCUGCAUGGAGACAUUGAAUGUCAGUUCUGUGCAUUGUGCAAUACUGACUCAAGAAGCAUCUUUAGUGGCCGUUUGAGUGAUUGCCACUUGAAGUGUUCCUAGGUAAUAAAAUAAACACCGCCUUUUUAUUGAAAAGACUGUGUGUGUGUGUGUGUGUGUGUGUGUGUGUGUGUGUGUGUGUAUAUAUAUAUAUAUAUAUAUAUAUAUAUAUAUAUAUAAACUUGCAGGGUCAUACUAUAGACACCAGAGCAGCUACAUUACGCUGUAGUUGUUAUGGUGACUAUAGUAUCUAUUUAAGAGGUUACUGUGGUGAAGAAUGUAGUGGAGACAAUUUAAACACUCUUACCUUUAAAGUCCUUAUAUAACAUAUAGUCCGCAAAACCUCAUCUGGUGGUUGUGGGUGAUGUCUUGCCUGCGUAGGUAUCAGCUGCGAAAUGCCCUAUGAGUGUAUGUACAUUUGGGGAUUAACUAUUUCUUACAAAGUGAUGUACACUGGACGUUAAUUUAAUUCUAUGUAUGUUCUAGCUGUGCCAGGAGAGCCAAGCAUACAAUGGAAAUGAAAAGUAAAAACAUUCCUUAAAAAUUUGCAGAUUUUAUUUUCCUACAUAGACAAUAAUAGAGGGCAGGAAGUGAAUGAAAGCAAAAUAAAUCCUAGCUCAUCCCGUAUGAGCUGUAAAACAAUAGCAUAUAUAUCUGUUGUGAAUGUUAAAAAUUAAUCUGGACACGCAAAAAUAGGAUGUCAACUUUUUAAAAAUUUGGAGGAAGGCUGUUAGUUUACUGGACAUCAGCAGUUUGAAAGCAUUUCAUAAUGUAGACGUCCAAAACGUUUCCAACAGGAACACCCCGUUUCCUUUUAAGCUUUGUGUUUGAAUAACUGAUUGGUGUGUAAUACUUUAUUUUAUGACUUUAUGGACACAUCGAGGCAUAGCCUGCCUUAACAAUUAAAGGGAAAGUAUUAGAUACCAUUAAUUAUGCUUAUGAUAUCACCUGUUAUUUCUGUUUAUCUUAGCUUGAUUGUUGGUUUUGUAUCUUUAUAUAAAGUGCUAUUGAAUAUGUAUUACUGAAUAAAUAAUAAAAGGAAAGGCACAUCAUAGUAUUAGGAAUACAAACCUGUAUUCCUAAUGCUAUUGUGCCCUUGUCCCUGGUUAUAUAUAGGUCCACACUUUAAAAGUUUUACUUACCUUUUUCCAGAGUCGUGGCUCCCUCGGCUAUGCUCACCUCUCUGUCUCCCGUGAUGCCAGAUAAGAGACAUGGCCUCCUCUGGUGAUGGUCCAAUCCAGUGCUCCUCUUAGAGGACCAUUGGGGACCUUAUGCCCAUGUGCAGCAGGUGUCCAAGCUUUCCCAUAUAAAAGCAUUGUAUUCAGUACGUUCUUAUAAGCAUCUGUGUCACGUGACUGAGUUUUAGAGGUUGUGGAAAUGUUCACCUUCUGCAAUAGACCUAUACAUUUUUUACCCAUGUAGACUUAAAGGGACACUAUAGUUGCCAGAAUAGCUACUGCUUAUUGUAGUUGUUCUGGUGUCGAUAGCCUGUUCCAGCAGGCAUUUUAAUGUAAACACUACCUUCAGAAAAGGCAGUGUUUGCAUUAUUGUCUAGUAACACCUGUAGCGCUGACUACUGCAGCUUGGCGUUUUGCCACUCAUGUGUAAUAGCCUCAUGGAAAAGCAUUGGAUUGGCUGAGAUUGUCAAUUUUGAUGAUCUCAGACAAGGAGGAGGACCAGGAGGGGAGCUAAAAUAAGUGAGUGAAAUCCACUUUUACAUUGGUUACAGGGAGGCCUGCCACCUGAAUAGUGUUACUACAGCUAUCGUGACAGGAAUACAUGUUUGUAUUUCUGUCACUGUAGUAUUCCUUUAAUUCAUUGGAUGUAAGUGUCUGUUGAGGCUCUCAAACAAUGAAUUAGGUCAAAAAUUGACUAGAAUUUUGUUUGCUAAUAUGAAAGGAAAACGUGUGUCUAAGCAAAUUCAAAAAGGUUGGGUAGGCCUUGGGCGUCUGGGCUAAUGUACUGUUGGAUGGUGCCAAGGGGCUCCUACCACCAUAACCAGUGGCCUGUAGUUCGUGGAGUGUCCCUUUGACAUUUUUUUUUUUAACGUUACAAUAUAGUCACUAGAAAUACUACCGCUUAUUGUAUUUGUCCUGGUCAGUACCUGCAGGCAUUUUGCAGUACACACUGUCUUUUAAGGGAAAAAGCAGUGUUUACAUUACAGCCUAGAGAUACCUUCCGUGACCACACCUUAGAUGGCUACUAGAGUUGCUUCCUGGGGCAAUGCUGCAAGUGCGCAGCAGUGCCAUUCACUGUCUCCACCAUCUACAUGGAGACACUGAACUUUCCUCAUAGAUGCAUUGAUUCUAUGAGGAGACACUGAUUGGCCAGAGCUGUGUUUGGCUCAUGCUGGCUCUGCCCAUGAUCUGCCUCCUUGACAAGCUCAGCCAAUCCUAUGGGAAAGCAUUGUGAUUGGCUGAGAUCACCACUUUUGAUAAUAUCAGCCAAAGAGGCAGAUCAGGGGCAGAAUCAUCGACAGCAGACUUGAAUAAAAGUAAGAUUUGACUAUGUUUAGGGAGGGACGACGACAAUAGGGCAGGGGGCUAGAUAGUGUAACACUAUAGGGUCAGGAAUGCAUGUUUGUGUUCCUGACUUUAUAGUGUUCCUUUAAAAAAAGGGGGAACUAAUCCUAUAAUAGUCACAUUGUAAAUUUCGCUACUCUUUAUUUAAUUUUAUUUUAGAACUCUUAAGAAAUCCCAGACAUAACAUGAGUCACAAUAAUUACAAGCUGAUUUGAGAUGCAUGCUAUAGAAAAGUGAUGGCUGUACUGGGCAACCCAGAUUUAAAAAAAAAAAUAAAAAAUAAAAAUACAAUAUAUAGUGCACUGCCAACCAGAAGGAUUAUAUAAAUAGCUGCAAAGUUUUUGACAAAUGUUUGUAGAGUCUAGGUGCCAAAGAGACCUACGUAGUACCUGAAUUUUGUAGGAAUGAUGGAUACGUUUCAGCUAUAGUUUAAGAUAUUCAUCAGUGUUGAUAUUACCAGUAGUAAUAACUCUGCUUUUUAAUCUCAAGCAUUUUGAAAGCAUUAUAAUAGAUCUUGCUGUGUCUAAGUAUUUUGAAACAUGGACCAUACUAGCAGCGGCACAGAAUUUCUAAUAUGAAGGGAUUUACAGUAAUUUUUUUUUUUUUCUAGUAGUCAUAUUUGUAAACUCACAAAAUAUACCACGGGAUGAUACAACCUAUGAACCAGGCACAAUUAAAUUCAACUAGACAAGCUUGUGUUGCAGGAACAAGAGUAUGUGGUGAGCCUUGUUCAAAUGAGCUUACGUUCAAGGACGUGGGGUAACUGCAUAAAAAGUACAUGUCUAAGCAACAUAGAUCUGUACACACUAUGUGACUGAAGGAAAAGGAGAAGCUAAAAUUAGUGAAGACAAAUAGGGAAAAAAAUAAAGAAAGGGGAAAAAUAGCUAAUAUAUACUAAACGGUGAGUUAUGGCGUGUUGCCAGCAGACUUGAAGCUAAGGAAAACUUACCGCAAUUUUCGCUCCAUAAGACGCACCUAGUUUUUGAGUAGGGAAAAAAAAAGUGUUCCUUACCACCCACUCCCCUCCCCCGGCCCAUAGUGUUCCUUAUCACCCACUCCCCUUCCCUGUCCCAUAGUGUUCCUUAUCACCCACUCCCCUUCCCUGUCCCAUAGUGUUCCUUAUCACCCACUCCCCUUCCCCGUCCCAUAGUGUUCCUUAUCACCCACUCCCCUUCCCCGUCCCAUAGUGUUCCUUCACCCAUUCCUUCCCCUGGCCCAUAGUGUUCCUUAUCACCCACUCCCCUCCCCUCCCCUCCCAUAGUGUUCCUUAUCACCCACUCCCCUUCCCUGUCCCAUAGUGUUCCUUAUCAUCCACUCCCUCCCCUGUCCCAUGGUGUUCUUCCUCCCCCUCUCCUCUCCCAUAGUGUUCCUUAUCACCUACUCUCCUCCCCCGGCCCAUAGUGUUCCUUAUCACCCACUCCCCCUCCCCGUUCCAUAGUGUUCCUUCACCCAUUCCCUCCCCCUGCCCAUAGUGUUCCUUAUCACCCACUCCCCUCCCCAGUCCCAUAGUGUUCCUUAUCACCCACUCCCCCCCCCAUAAUGUUCCUUAUCACCCACUCCCUCCCCCGGCCCAUAGUGUUCCUUAUCACCCACUCCCCUUCCCCGUCCCAUAGUGUUCCUUAUCAUCCACUCCCCUCCCCUGUCCCAUAGUGUUCUUCCCUCCCCCUCUCCUCUCCCAUAGUGUUCCUUAUCACCUAUCACCCCCUCCCCGUCCCAUAGUGUUGCUUCACCCAUUCCCUCCCCCUCCACCUGUCCCUUAGUGCCCCCCUCUCUCUUCCCCUUGGUCCCCGGUAGGUCUCCUAACUUUAUGUAGCGUGGCCAAGCAGAGCAGUGCGCACAGGGAACAGUUUCCUGUUCCCGGCCGGACUGAAAGAAGUGAGCACUCUGUUCCCUGUGAGCACUGCUCCGCUCGGCCAUUCUACAUAAAGGUAGGAGACCUACCGGGGACCAAGGGGGGGAGAGAGAGGGGCACAUUUGCUCCAUAAUGGAGUGAAAAAUACAGUAAUAAGCUUAAAAAAAAAAAAUUAUACUUGCCCAAAUUAGAUGUCCCCCUCCCCAAAUUCUGCUGUUUUGCCCUACAAUUUGCUGGGUUUUUUUUCUGUUCAAUGUCAAUACAGCUCGUUGUUUAACAAAAAGACUAUAUGUGAACUGUAAUUCCAUAUGACCUGAAAGUGCCCCAGGCUGAUUUAAAGGAUUACCUUACUGCAUUACUCAACACACUACUCAAUGCACAAACCUUAUAGCAGAUGCAAAUCAGAAUUUGAAAAGAACAUAUCAAAAUGCAGCAUUCUGACAAAACCAGUUCGUGCUGGUUCAUAUAGAUAAAACAAGGCGAAUGUUUCCUAUGGGCUGUAUCCUGUCAAACCUCCUUCAGGCUAUUUGCAGUAACAGUGCUGUUUCAAAGGGAGCAUGAAUGUAAUUGUACGCAGACACAUGCACACAUACACUUUUCUCAGGUGAACGCAUAGUCAGUGUUUGUUAUUUUACAACUAUUUGAUUAAUCCUCAAUGCAUUUUGAUUGGGAAUCCAAGAUUAAGUGUUUCAUUUGUAAGAGCAUAUUGGGAAUAGUCCUAUAUAUGCAAGGCCAUAUAGAAGCUUUUUUGGAGGGAAAGUUUUUUUUUUUUUAGUUAAAGGACCACUAUAGUGCCAGGAAAACAUACUCGUUUUCCUGGCACUAUAGUGCCCUGAGGGUGCCCGCACCCUCAGGGUCCCCCUCCCGCCCGGCUCUGGAAGGGGGAAAGGGGUAAAAACUUACCUUUUUCCAGCGCUGGGCGGGGAGCUCUCCUCCUCCGACCCUCCUUCUCUCCUCCCCGUCGGCUGAAUGCGCACGCGCGGCAAGAGCUGCGCGCGCAUUCAGCCGGUCACAUAGGAAAGCAUUCAUAAUGCUUUCCUAUGGACGCUGGCGUGCUCUCACUGUGAAAAUCACAGUGAGAAGCACGCAAGCGCCUCUAGUGGCUGUCAAUGAGACAGCCACUAGAGGAAAUAGGGGAAGGCUUAACCCAUUCAUAAACAUAGCAGUUUCUCUGAAACUGCUAUGUUUAUGAAAAAAUGGGUUAACCCUAGCUGGACCUGGCACCCAGACCACUUCAUUAAGCUGAAGUGGUCUGGGUGCCUAGAGUAGUCCUUUAACAAAUGUAAUUUCAAGAUAUACUGAAAUCUUUCUACUAUGUAACAUAUAGGAAAACCGGUGCUUUCCUCUGUCUGUACCUGUAUGCAUAACUUGAAAAUCUGUCAUAGCUUCAUAUGAGAGCGCAUGUACAGCAGCCACACAAACAUAGCAGUGAAUACUUUUUCAUUAAAGGAACACUCUAGUGGCAGGAAUACAAACAUGUAUUCCUGUCACUAAAGCUGUGAAACACAGUUUAGUCCCCCAGCACCCCUGUCAGCUAAGUGAAAGAUUAUUUUACUCGCCUUUAUUCCAGCCAUGCAGAAGUCCCACCCUUGUCCCGCCUCAUUGGCUGAAAUCACCGGAUUUGAUAAUCUCAGCCAAUACAAUGCUUUCCCAUAGGAAAGCAUUGGGAGGCUAUUGCACAUGCAUGGCAAAACACUGCGCUGUGCAAAUCAACAUCUCCUCAUUUAAUCAGUGUAUCUAUAUUAGGAACAGUCAGCACCUCCAAACAGUGCAUGGAAACUUGAAAUGUCAGUGCCGCACAUUGUGGCCACUAGAGGUGUUAAUAGGCAGCAAUGUAAACACUGCUUUUUGUCUGAAAAGGCAGUGUUUACAUCAAAAUGCCAGCAGGGACAGAAUAUACUCACCAGAACAACUACGUUAAAGGACCACUAUAGUGCCAGGAAAACAAACUCGUUUUUCUGGCACUAUAGGGUCUUUAGGUUUACACAUCCUCAUGGCCCCCAUCCCGCCGGGCUGAAGGGGUUAUACACUUGCCUUUCUCCAGCGCCGGGCUCUCUCAGCGCUGGGGAACUCUUCUCCCUCUUCUGACGUCAGCGCUGAAUGUGCAUGCGCAGCAAGAGCUACGCGCGUUCAAUCAGUCCAUAGGAAAGCAUUUCUCAAUUCUUUCCUAUGGAAAUGAAACAGCCACUAGAGGCUGGAUUAACCCUAUUGUAAACAUAGCAGUUUCUAUGAAACUGCUAUGUUUACAGCUGCAGGGUUAACCUUAGAUGGACCUGGCACCCAGACCACUUCAUUGAGCUGAAGUGGUCUGGGUGCCUAUAGUGGUCCUUUAAAAACCCCUUAAGGACCAAACUUCUGGAAUAAAAGGGAAUCAUGUCAUGUGUCCCUAAGGGGUUAAGCUGUAGUUGUUCUGGUGACAAUAACUUAUUAAAAUGGGGCAAACUACUUCGUAGGUUUCAGUGGAUGCUUAUGGUAUGUGCCUUUAUGUUUGUAUUUCAGGACUCAAAAUUUUAACUCACCCACUAGCCAUUGGCAACUGUAAAUUCAGCCCUGGUGAGUAGAAAUUCACCCUGGUGAUUGUGCCAUGGCCCUCAAGGCUUGGAUUGGUUCGUACCUUAUAGGCUCGGCUAGUAACGUAGGGGUUGAAAUUUUAAGGAGGAGGAAGUUUAUAAGAUUUGGCUAGGUAAGGGUUCAUCAAAGGCUGGCGAUGACAGGGUUAAAACAAGUGACAACACACAAGCUAGAGUGACAUGUUCAUGUGUCUAACGCCUGACAUAUUUCAACAUUUCCUGUAUGCUGACAUGUCCGUUUUAUAAUCUUAAAAUAUUCCUUGAAUUUAAGAACGGGUAAUGAAAUAAAAUUUAAUUCUGUGAUUUAUAAACGUUAUUUAAAAAAUGUAAGACAAGUAUAGCUCUGUUUCAUUUCCGUUUUGGAAUGGAUUCCAUGCAGUGUUUAACUGUUGGCAAGCUGGUGAGGCAUCUAUUGAAUCAGAUUACUGGAACAAUUUAUCUUUGGCCUGAGGAUGAGAGAGCUUAUUCAGUUCUAUGCAGUGGGUAUUGUAUAUGUAGCAUGCUGCUAAACACAUGAUCUGGUUUGUUCAGCCAAAUGUUCAUUCAACAUCAGCUGUUUUGGAGAUUCCCACUUUUAAUCCAAUUCAGCUCAUAACACAUGUCUGUCACAUACCUCCAAAGUGUCUCUAUUCAGAGGAGACAUUCCUUGUUUGGCGGCCAAAUCACACAGACCUUCUUUCUUUAUGCAAUGUCCCUCUUUUUUAUGAGCUCAUCUCAUGGUGUGCUUGGUGUGUGUCUACUUGUAUUGCAGAACUAUAUAGUACUAGAGCUAACUAUGCUUUUUAUUUUUUUAUUACAUGGCAUUAGUGUGUGAAAAAUUAAUUUGUGAUGUAUUUUGGUCUAAAUUGCUUACUCGAUUAUAUACAUUGUGUAUUGGUAGAUCAUGAAGUUAAAUAAAAUGUUGUGCUUUGACCCAACAUCUGCUCACAAUUAGUAAUACAAAACUGUCCGUCUUCAGCUUUUUUUCAACGGAUCACGUGGCACCCUGACUGGGUUGAAGGAUGCUCCUAGCGCUUCCUGAGGGCUCCAAGCACUCCAGCUGACACCAUAACCACCGUAGACUCCUUCAGAGAGCAAGACAGGAACAAGCUCUUACAAGAGCUCAUUGAUUAUAGCAAGGGAAUAUGCAGAGCAUAGUAAUCCCUUGUAGCAUAUUGCCCCAAUAAGAGACAGGACUCAGAUUGAGGAUGAAGUGGAACUGACUGUACUGGCGCAUACAGCCUCUUUUAUUCACAUUCUACAAACAUAGUACUGCCCACAGGGUUUUGCAGAACAACCAAUCAAUACAUACAAUACACUCAGACUCUCCCACACAAAAUCCUCCCCUCUGUCUGUGAUAUAAUUACUGAACACAAUGGUCUAACUUAAUUAUCACAGGCAGGAAAAUACACAGUUUUACACAAUAUUCAUAACUCUAAAAGUAUACAUCACAUUCACAAUACAUUUUCAGAAUCUGCAUACUCCAAAUACAAACAUACGUCAAAAUCAUACAAAUUGGUCCAGUGGGUCAAAAGUUAGUUGAAAGUCCCUUUGUGACCAUCUGCAAGCAUGGCUUGGGUGUGGUAAGCCAAUUACCUCCAGCAUACAGAAAAUGGCUCUAUUCACAACCAUAAAAAUACAUAAUUCCUAUUAGACUUAACAGAACCCCCACAUUCAACCUAUCCCCAGAUAGUCUGGAUCUGAGCACUCACUAUAUCAGAACAGCGCUCAGAUACCACAACCACAGUCAAAUCGCCAUGGGGUUAAAACACAGCAAGAGCUGAUGAGAAACCAAGGAGAGGCAAAACAGCAAGUUCCAACUGGUCUGGCAGUGUGCCAGGGAAACGCCCUGCUGGAACAAUAGACAGGAAACAGGGGGCGGGGAAGAGACACAUCUUCCCAUGGAUUCAAAUGGGCAGUAACCGUCUUUUAGAAGUCAAUAAGCCCCAAAUAGUCUUUUUAAAUGGCAAUACACCCCAGGGCCAUAGUCAUGAGGGGGGAGGUUGGCAAUCAGGCUCCUCCAACAGCCAGGGGUAAAGGGCAGUUGGUCAUAUAAAAAUCCACUGACAAAAGGCAUUUUGUCACAAGCAUCAUUUACACUAUUUACAUGUUUGUUUAUCUACUUUUGUUUCAUAUAAAUUCCUGAAAUUGCACAGACUUUUUUUGCUGUUUGCACAAGCAACAUUCUUUUGUAAUAGGAAAAAUAUGUUUGUUGCAAAAGUUUAUAAGGGAAGUAGACACAUACAUUUUUGUUUGCCUUGUUUGCCAUAAAAUAUUGCUGUAAAUGUAUUUGCCCUGCAAUUUGAUAUGCUCUCCUUAUUUAGAUUUUAGAUCCAUUCAGCUUUAAGUAAAAACAAAAAUAAAUAAAACCGUAAAGGUUCAGUGGUCAUGUGAUUUGAAGUGGUCAUGGUUGUAGGAGUAUGUAUGUGCAGGGUUUCUGCUUGAUAUUUUUAAUUGUGUGCCAUGGCUAACUGCAGCCCCAAUUCACCAAUGGAAAUCUGUUUGACAAUGCCUAAUGCCAAUUCUGUGCAUCUUUUCCGUGUGCCAUCGGCACGCUGGCCACAGUUAUAAAAAUCUUCCCCCUUGCAGGCAGAGCACAUGCAAGGGGAAAAUAGCUGUGGGCACUCCCUCUUGCCUCCCUAAGUAACAUCAAUAGGCGUUCUCCUCUCCUUGGAGCAGGUGCUCUGCCUCUUUUGAAGUUAUCAGGAUUGAUGAUUUUUUUGAUUUUCAAAAGUCUUUUAGACAAAAUGCUAAUCUGACAACCUGUUAAUCUGUUGAGCUUUGUCUGACAAGUGUAAACAUUGCAAUUUCUAGUUAACGGCAAUGCUUACAUUUGUCAGUGAAAAGGGAGUGCUUUUAUGCACCAAAACCACUUCAUUAAAUUUAUUUAUUUAUAAAAAUAUGUGUUCCUGGUGUUUAGACUGUCCUUUUUUCGUUUGUUUGUUUUGUUUUUGUUCUGAAUAGAAUAAUGCCCUAUAGGUCCUCCCCGAAAGAAAGACUCAAAAGCGUUGUAAAAGAAAUUUUUACUUACCUUUAUCCAGUGCUGGGCGAAGCUCCCGACACUGCUCAGCGUGCUCUCGUGUGACAUCACCAAGGUCCAAUCAAAGUUUUCUCAUAGAGAAUCGUUUGAUUGGAUAAUUUUAAAGGCUCUGGGCACAUGUGCAUGCUCUGUGCCAGUAAAGGGAGCGUGAGAGGGAGGGUGGGAAUGGAGCGUGAGAGGGAGGGUGGGAAAAUUAUAGCAAAGGGGAUAGGGAAGAAAGUAUGGCUGCUAUUGGUGUGGGAGGGGAAAUAUGCACAUAAUUGACAUGAGGCAGCCCAGAACAGAGUUCCAUGCAGUAUAUCCUUUUGACUGGGUUGGAUUUUCAGUGAAAUUCAAACACAGUUAGUAUGAGAAUUUCUUCAUGAAGUACUCCUUUUGCAGGGUGGGUGUGGGAUGACCGUGACAGGUUUGGGAUGACAGUGACUCUUUAAGUGUGACAAGUGACUAGACGACAUGAAUUGUACAAUUAAACAGCAACAAUGUGUGUUGCUAUGUUUUAAAGUACUUUUUCCCUUCCGUAAAAUCAUGUAACUUAAAUGAUACAUUACAGGAGACUGAGUUCUAGGAAAAUUAUGCCAUCUCUGUUUCUGGAGACAUACAUAAAACUCUCAGGCUUCUGGUUUCUAAGUGCGUGUUUGUGUGCGUGUUUUCUCUCUACCUCUCCUCCUAAACCGUAUUGAUAAGCAUGAUGGGUAUAACUGCAUACUAGAAUACUCUUUUAUAUAAAAAUAACCAAAGCAAUUAUGCAUUCAAGAAAAUAUUAACCUAUUUUUGUCCAUCACACUUUCAUGGCAUACUAUUAUUUGUGGUCCUAAUAAAAAUGUAAAUCGAUAUUGCGAAAGUCUCUUCAUUUGUCAUUCUGUCAUACAGACACAAUGAAGGUGAACCCAUUCAUUUUCGCACCUUUUUCUUAAUACUAGCUUGCAGACUGUGUCAGCAUAUUUUUCUCCAAGUGGCAGUUAUUGAGCAAACUGACUCGACACAUGCCAUAACAGUCUGGCAGAACGAAGCAUCGUAGUAAAACCCCAUCUGUCACUUUUUCCUGCUUGUUUCCACUUGGGAGAGACGUCUGUACACAAUGGAAAUGGCAUCUGUAUUUUGUUUAACUCUUUAUUCUUAGUAAUAUAAUAAGGUUUCGGAAUGUUCACACUGAUUUGCAGACAUUUAUUAACUAAACUAUGAAAUGAGAAUGAAUAGCAAAACAAAAUCUGUAAACCUGGAAUAUAGCUGAUGUGAUUAAUUUUUCCAGUUCUGCUAUUUGGGCACUUUAAGUGAACACACCCCAGAGUGAAUACCAAUGAUACUAGUGGUUUACAUAGACUGUGGAUGGUAAAAUUAGUUAAAGGAAUAUUUUGGUAUCAAAACAACUUUAGCUUAAUGAAGCAAAGUGCAAAUCACUUUGUUUGUACAAUCCUAGUCCCUCCUCACUGCAUGCGACUUAAAGGACCACUCCACACCCAUAACAUAUAAAACACUACAGGCACCCAGACCACUUCAUCUCAUUGAUGCAACUUUGAUAAAACUUUGCAGUUACACGGCAGGGCUUAGACUGCCUCCAUUGACUGUUUUUGGACAUUGAUCCCUGUCUCCACUAUUAAUGCUGGAGAUACAGAAGUUCCUUAGCAGGAACUUCCAUUAGCUCUCCAGAACAGGGGCGGAUGCAGUGUGUGAGGCGUGCAGUGUGUGUGAGGGGUGCAGUGUGAGUGUAUAUCUGUGAAGAGUGCAGUGUGUGUAUGUACAGGGCAGUGUGUGUGGGGUGUAGUGUGUGAGGGUUACAGUGUUUGAGCGGUGCAGUGUGUAUGUGUGUGAGAAGGUUUCAGUGUGUUUGUGUAUAUGUGUGUGUGAGGGGGCGGUGUAUGUCAGGGGUGCAGUGUGUGUGUGUGUGUGUGUGGCUUGCAGUGUGUGUAUGUGUGAGAAGGGAGCAAUGUGUGUAGGGAGGCAGUGGGAGGUGUAAUGUGUGUGUGUGUGUGUGUGAGAGGUGGGCAGUGUUUUUGUAUGGGGGCAGUGUUUGUGUGAGUGUUGCAGUGUGUGUAUGAGGGGCAGUGUUUGUGUAAGAGGUGCAGUUUAUGUGUGUGUAUGGGGGUGGCAGUGUGUCAAUGUGUAGGGUGUUAUUGUAUGUGUGUGUGUGUGUGGUGGGGAGGGAAGCAGAUCAAAGCAAAUAUUACUUUUUUUAUAUGUUCUUUUUUUAACAUUUAUUUUUUUAAACAAAUUAAAAUAAAUAUAUUGUAUAUCCCCCCUCCAUCCUUACCUGUGGCCUGGGAGGAGCAGGCGUUACUUCUAUCCCUGGUGGUCCAGUGGAGAAGCCCUGAUGGUCCCAGUGGUGGGAGUGAACUCUAGCCUGCAGCUCAGGCUAGAGUUCACUUUCGCAAGAGUGGCAACGCUCUGAGCUCGCUAGAGGAGAACCCGGCAGAGCUGCAGGUUAUGGCUCCCUCGGGUUAUUUCUCCCUCCCCUACCGGCUGCCAGCAGAGUGCCUGCGGCCGGGGGAGGGAGAUCACUGAUCUCGCCUCCGGUCCGUGAAGGUACACGGCAGGGCUGGUGCUUGGAUAGCGCCAGCCCGGCAUGUGCUGGCAGGGGAGAGCCUUGACCUGCUCUGUUUUCUCAGGGGUGGGGGGGAAGGGGGACAAUUGCCCCUUUGCCCCCGCCCCCUUGGAUCCGCCACUGCUCCAGAGCUAAGCCUUAAGUGACUGAUCUACUUUACCUUUCACCAGCAACUGCAAAAUGUUAAACAUCACCUUGUAUGAUAAGAUUUGUGUACAAAACACUUGUAAACAUGCCUAUGUUGAAUAAUAUAUUCACUUCCAAAGUAAGUAAAGGUGUCUGCAGUGUCCCUUGAAGAUAUGGUUUCCUACAGGUGGUUUUGUAUCCUGGAACUAUAUAGAAUGUAUUCCUGAUUUUGUUUUGUUCAUAUUUGUUAUGAGUAUUAACAAAACAUCUAUUUUGUUAGUUGUGGGUUUUUUUAAAAGUUUUUUUUGUAAAGAGUGUCUUUGAAGCUAACUGUGCAUGUUUUGUGGUCUUUUUGUUAUGUCCCAGUUAGCUUUUUGCGUACCCUAAUUUUUGUAGGAUUUACAAACUUCCCAAGGGUUUGCAUAGGUCUCCGGAAGCAGCUGUGGGUUCUGACACUCUAAUGUGGUUGUUUAAAAACAAAGGGAAGUGUUCUUGUGGAAACAACUGUUUUGAUAAGUAGAAGAUUUGAUUAUUUGUCAAACUCCACACAUGACAUGCAUUUUUGUGUAAAUAAAAGAAUGUGGUCUUACAACUAUGUUUUAUCAGGGGUUGAAGCAAAAAGUGUGUUUUUAAAGUAGUUGGUUGGUUUUAUUUUAUUUAUUAAUGGCUGAUGCAUUCUCGAAAAUAACCUAUUUCCUUGUGAGUCGGAAGCUCAAUGGCAGAAUGCAAAGUAUUUUUCCCAGUAAAAUGUUGUUUUUGAAUUCUAUAACAGAAAAAAAAUAUCAGCUUAAUAAAUAUUAUAAAGUGAAUUAAUGUAAAAAGGAACUAGAAAAAGAAAAGGAAGAUAAAGGGACUUGGCAAGGUUAGAAGAAUAGGAGACCAAUAAUUUAAUCUUCUAAAUGUGGCAUGGUACAGUACGUUGGCAGAUAUGAAAUAACGAAUAAGGUAAAAAUAUUAACUUUCUACAUUACUGGUUAUCAAACAUGCCAAUGGUUUCUUCAAAUGCUUAAACUACCACGAUAUACCACUUUUAGAUGUGAAAUACAGUCCUCAAUGGAUUGUCAGUGUUUUUUUUUUUUUUUUAAAGGCUUCAACCAGUAGAACUUGCAUGUGGUUGCUUGGCAGUUGUAAACGAGGCAGAUUCUUUGCAGGUCUAAGGAAGAAGUUCGGUCAUAAAAAAACCCCCAUAAAAAUGCACAUAAAUAGUUGCCAUUCGAGUUUUGACUUCUUGGUUUCUGAGCUUUGUCAGCUAGUGAUAUAAACCAUAGGGCAUAGCCGACUCAUUGUGUAUACCCCAGGAGCCUUGACAUGACAUGAUUUUAAAUAAGUUGCUCUGCAAAAAGGACCAUUAUAGUGCCAGGAAAACAAACUCAUUUUCCUGGCACUAUGUAGUCCUUAGGUCCCCCCCACCCCCAUGGCCCCCCUCCCGCUUGGCUGAAGGGGUUAAAACACUUACCUUUCUCCUGCGCCGGGCUCCCUCGGCGCUGGGGAACUCUCCUGCCGACAUCAGAGCUGAAUGCGCAUGCGCGGCAAGAGCCGAAUGCGCAUGCAUUCAAACCGCCCAUAGGAAAGCAUUACUCAAUGCUUUCCUAUGGACGUCAGUGUCUUCUCACUGUGAUUUUUCACAGUGAGAAUCACGGAAGCAGCCUCUAGUGGCUGUCAGUGAAACAGCCACUAGAGGCUGGAUUAACCCUCAGUGUAAACAUAGCAGUUUCUCUGAAACUGCUAUGUUUACAGCUGCAGGGUUUAAACCAUUGAGCAGAAGUGGUCUGGGUGCCUAUAGUAGUCCUUUAAUGUCAGACUGUCAAUAUGUUGAGGAGACAUCUGAAUGUAUACAGUAACCACUGAGCUGACAACCAAGUAGCAAAAUUUUAAAUAAACAGUUGAGUUAAAAGAAAAACUAUGCAGUUUUUAUUUAUUUUUUUAAAUAAUUUUAUAUUCCUGUUCAACUGGUACCAUGUUACUGAUGUGAUACAGUUGUCAUGCAGAGUAAGUCAUACAAAAUAAAACAAUAAAAUAUAAAGCAAUUAAAGGGACACUAUGGUCACCAGAAUAAUUACAGCUUAAUGGCUUAAUGUAGUGGUUUUGGUGUGUACAUUGAAAAGAAACUGCCAUUUUUACAUUGCAGAACCAAGACCGCAACUAGAGACGCAUCCUGCUUUCUAGGCGACUUUUUAGGUUGCCUAACUGAUGCUGGAUAUCUUCACGCUCUGCAUGAGGAUCUCCAGCAUCAAUAAAAUCUCCAUAAGAGAUGCUCUGCUAUGAGGAGGUCCUAAUUAAUUUUUUGGCGCUCACUGCGCAUGCACAUUAGCAUGCCCCAGUUCCUGUCGGGUGACUUCGGAGGAGGUGGAGCGCCAACCCAGCUCAGAGGGUCCUUGGGGGUGGGUCGCGAGGAAAGGGGGAGGCCGAGGGAGCUUUGUAUUCUUAGCACUAUAGUAUCCCGUUAAUGUUGUAGAUCCUAUGUUUAUAAUGAUUUCUCUUUAAAAGUGUUUCUCGCUGAUCUGUUAAACACAUACAAAAUUUAGAUAAAAACAUAUGAGGUAUAAUAUAUUAUUGCAUAACUGUUUUGUAUUCAUGGAUGUCUUGAUAACAAGGAGCUGGCUAAGAUACAUAUAUAAUAGAAUAUUCUUUUCGACAAUUAGCGAUUGUAAAAUUCCCAAAGACUAACUAUUCUGUUCCCAGUGCUGUUCUAAUGGAUAAAAGCUUUGAAAGCAAAUUGACUUAUGCAAAGGAAAGGUUUUGAAGAAAGUUCUCAAAGUCUUGAGAUUAUGUUUCAAAGACGGCUAAUUCCUAGAUUUAUCAUACCUGACAGUUUUUUUUCCUCCUUCUUACUUUUUGAUGUUCUGUCAAAGGAGAAAAACAGUAACAUUAAAAAAAAAUUGUGUUAUUUUAGGGCCAAAUUGCAUUCAUCAUUAUUAUUAUUAUUAUUAUUAUUAUUAUUGUUCUUAGGUUUUAAAACUAAGGAUUUUCCUUAUCGCAAAGCCACUAGAUGCCCUAACACACAGGGAACAAAAACUCUUCAACAAAAUAAAUUUAGCUGCCAGACGGGCCAUGGCACAGACAUGGUUACACACCGACCUACCCCCAAUGGAUAGAGUGACUAGCAAUAUAAAAGAGGCCCACCUUAUGGACAAACUCACAGCACAACUAAGAGACACUUAUCCAUUAUUUCUUAAAACCUGGGAGCCAUGGGAAGACUACACAAACCGCUGAAUGACAUAAUCUCGUGCACACACAAAACUGAGAGCCGUGCCUACAUCCAGAGACAGACGACAGUUGCUCCGACCGCCAGCGGCAGAUUCCCCCCCCCCUCCUAUUGUACCUUUCCCCACACCCUCUUUCUCUCUCUCUACUACCUUUCACCCUCUCACGUUUCUCUUCUCCUAUAAAUAGAAAAUUCAUGCCUCCACCAUAGCGCCUUAAACUGAGGCAUAGGUACGGAACACCGACAUAAAGACAGGAAGCAAACCCAAGUUGCACUAAGCUGCACUUCUUCUAUGGGCAAACGACAGCACUACCAACGUUAAUCUGAACAACCAACUCAGUAAUGCCAUACCUCUUUGUACAUGUCUGGCAAUAGAACUUUACAAAAUACCUAUGUAUAAGCAAAUUGAUAUGCUUUCCUGUAUGCUCGACUAUAUACUUGUAAAGCUUUUUUCUGUACCAAACCUGUGCAUGAUCUGACAAAUAAAGAAUUGAAAAAACAAACAAACUAAGGAUUGAAUAAUAUGGAUGGUGCUCUAAAUGUGUUAUGCGCUUAAAGGACCACUAUAGGCACCCAGAUAACUUCUGCUUAAUGAAGUGGUCUGGGUGCCAGGUCCAGCUAGGUUUAACCCUUUUUUUUUAUAAACAUAGCCGUUUCAGAGAAACGGCUAUGUUUAUAAUAGGAUUAAUCCAGCCUCUAGUGGCUGUCUCAUUGACAGCCGCUAGAGGGCUUCCGUGCUUCUCACUGUGAUUUUCACAGUGAGAAGACGCCAGCGUCCAUAGGAAAGCAUUGAGAAUGCUUUCCUAUGGACUGGCUGAAUGUGCGUGCGGCUCUUGCUGCGCAUUCAGCCGGUGACGGAAGAAGAGGGAGGAGAGGAGGAGGAGAGCUCCCCGCCUGGCGCUGGAGAAAGAGGUAAGUUUAACCCCUUCCUCCCCCCCAGAGCCCAGCUCCUUUAAAGCUUACAACUUAUCUAACAAUGUAUACAUCCAAAUACAAAUCAAAUUAGAUAUAUAUUCCGUGAAGGCUUUUGUGUUUAUCUAGCUAUAGCAACUAACCUUAUCCAGGACAAUGCACUGAUAGACCCAUUCUUUGGCUUAUUUAUUACACAAUCCUGUUCCAUAUUUAUUAAUGGGUUUAGAUUUGAGCAGCUCUGGCUUUAACCAGAAUCUAGAAAUACACACACACAAAAAUAAAUAAUAAAAAAAUUAAAAUUCAAUAAAUAAAAAUAUAUAUACUCCGCAACAGGAUGUCAAAGAAUCCACAGUGUUGGUUAUAAUAAAAUAAUUCACUUAUCAAUUUGGAAUACAAAACAAUACAAAUCACUAUACAAUAAUCCCCAUUAUUAAAAGUUACACUUAUAACAUUUCUAUACUUUCUAUUUACAAAUAUAACUCUUGCAUGAUAAUAUAUAUAUUUCUAAAGCUGUGGUGUUGCUCCCUUCUGUUUGUGCUUUCUUCCUCUCUCCCCAUCCUUCCUACUUGUUCAAAAUGGCUUCCUAGAUAUAAUACUGACUCCAAUUUAAUUACCUGGGACUAUUCUGAUUGGUUGGGUUAUAACAGAUUACUAGAUGACAUACCAUGAAAUAUAGAAAAUCAAACGCCCUGGGAGGGCGAGAUAAUACUCGCCUUUGCGUCAUUAAUAAAAUCACGACUUGAUGAUAGUAAAAUCCGGGCAUUUUCUUAAAAACACAGACUCCUGUUAUGUAAGUUUAAAGCUGGGAAACAACAGAUCCUGCAAAAUGCUGAAUAGGUCUGAUGUAGAAAUCUCAAAAGACUCCAAAGACCAGUUGGCAGCUCUCAAGAUGUCUUCCAAACGACAGCCAACCAAAGAAGUCUUAGAGCCCAAAGCAUCACAGAUCAAAAAAAUGGAUAUUAAUACCCACUAGGGAUAUAAUCCAUUUGAUCCAAUGAGCUAGGGUAGGAGUAGACACUGGAAGGUGAGACUUGCGGAAUGAGAUGAAAAGCUGAGGCUUCAAAGGAUUGCGGACAAGAGCGGUACAAGCUUCAUAUUUGCGUAAUCAUGCAACUGGGCAAAAUUGAGUUGUCUUAGGGCAAGCCGGGUAUACAACUGACUUGGAGGAAGUCUUGGUUAUCUGAGAUAUGUCAAAGAGGACACUUUCUGAUGUAAUCGAAAGAGCAGCUGUGUCAAGUGCUUGAACAUCAGAGAUUAUCUUAUAGGAGAUUAAACAAAAACACAUGACAAGUUUAGCAGAAAGUUGUUUAAAAGACAACAAAGCAUUAUCUGGCCAAGCGUAGAAAAAAAACAAAAAAACUGUUGACGAUCAGGCUAAUCAAUCUUUGGAUCCAACCUCUAAUGGUUAAGUGACCCAGCAUCUGAUCCAGGGUUAAAAACUCUUCCAAUGCCUCAAGAGUCUUGAUCACUGGACCCAAGAUAUCCAGGAUUUUAUCCUGGCAAUUCCAUAGGGAAGUUUUUAAAAGUAAGCUAGACAUAACGCCCAUAGCAGACUCCAGGGCCUUAGACGUCCAUUUGGACAUGUCCAGUAUUGCUUGCAUUUCCUCAAAAUCGAGGAUGAGGGGAGAGUCCAGUGAAAUGCCUGGCAGUAUGCUUAGCAGCACGGAAAAGGCCCCUAAAUUGUGCUGAACACGCAGAAAAAGGGUUAAAAAGCCUCCCUGUCAAACAGACCCUAAUGCAGCUCCAAAAGGCAGGUAGCAGUAGCAGGAGUCUGGGAAAAAGUAGGUAGGGCAAAAACCUGCAGUCACACACAAGAAUUGCAAAAUAACAAUAUCAGGAAAAAAAAACAAUAAAUAAUAAUUAAUUGACCUAAAAUUACUGAAAUAUUAACACAAAUAUACCAAUAGAACAGAUCACACAGUUUGGGAAGCGUGGAACCAAGGCAGCAGCAAAGAAAGAGGAAGUAGUUGGCUUGGUACUGCCUGUUAUACGAUGGAAGCAAUGGUGAUUGGCUGACCUUGUUGCAAUAUGGUCAUUUUAUUAUCUAUGUGUCAAUGUACUGUUUUGCUUUUUUAAAAUGUUAUUUCUUUUCUGCUGAUGGAAAUAAAGAAAGAGUACAGCAUAUUACUCACCUCAAUGUCUUUAAAAAAAAAAAAAAAGGGAACUUGUCAGCAAUUAGCUAGCUGUUGAUCUGUACAUUAUCAAACUAAACUGUGACGGAGCUCCAGUACUCCGACUGAGUACCUCCGCCAAGUCUGCCGAGGCUUGACUGGGAUCACUGAGGGCCUUUUCCACCCCGGACCUGGCUACUGUGUAUACAGCCCUGGACACACUUUCCAUCAGCAGAUUCCCUCAAGACGACACUUGGUGAAGGUUAAAACAGCAUCUAAACUUCACUAGGCAUAGCACACAUUUCUUAAGCCCCCAACUGCCUCAUUUACAUACAAUGGUGCAUAAAGCACUAUAGUACAAGGAAGGGUGGGGUCAGACAAUAGCAAGGGCUGAUGGGAUAUUAAAGAGGGACAGGGCAGCUAGUUUAAACUGGUCUGGCAGUGUCCCUGGGACAACACGCUGCUGGGGAAACGAUAUAACAGAAAAAAGGGGGAGAGGCACAGACAAGCAAUACAUUACACAUAUCCUGCACUAAUACUGGGCACAAGGUGACCAAAACACAAGAGGAAUCUGGGAACCUGCAUAUAGUGUCUGUCUUCCAUUUCCAGUGACGGUGACUACCGUCACAUAAACACCUUUACAUUUAAAUUUAAGACAAACCGUAAGCCACACUACCUUCCCAAGCUAAUCUCUGACUUAUAUUUAAUUCCUGCCAUAUAUAACAAUAAAUAAAUAAGUAAGAAGAAGAGACAUGUGAAUGGAACUCCAAUCACUAGUAGAGUUGCAACAAUUAAAGGAAUACUCCAAACACUGUAACAUAACUGCUAGUGAUCAGUGUAUUGCUUACGGUUGCUGUAGUGCCCUGACCCCAUUGUAUGUAGUCAAACCAUUUUUGAACAGAUCAAUGUAUGUGUAGAAAAAAAUAAAAAAAAUAAAAAAUGAAGGAAACUGUGCACAGGAUGGAGUGGGUAUAUAUAUUUGCUAACUACCUACAUCACACAUGGAUUUCUCCUACCCAUAAUUACAGUCUGUUCAGGAGAAUGCAACUAGGAGCAGCAGUUUAGUUGAGCUUUUUUCCUCUUUUAAAUAUAAUCCUUACAUGACUUGGCCGUGGAGUUUGUGGACUGCCUAGGCUAUUAUUGAAUGUAUUGAUUAUCAAUAACACAUGCAGAGAAAGAAGGAAGCCUAGCACGAGUGUUGAGGGUCUUGUUAAGUGGUACUGCCCCACUCAGUCUUUUGGACCAUAUUGUUUACAUGUCUUGGGGAAACAAAAAGAUAUGUCCUGCCCUUGUAAUGUGGGGCAUCCGGAUCACAAACACUUUCUUAUUUCUGUGAUGACUAUAGUUUGACAAUCAAUGGCACAGUUUGUUGGUAGCCUUUGUGGUUAGAUAGAGGUUUAACACACGGGGCACUUCUGCUGCAUUGGAGUGCUGAGCUGUUCCUGUGCAGUAAUUGUCAGUGAAAGGACAUUGAAUUCCCUUAGGUAAAAGACUUCUUUAUCAGCCUUACAAGUGCUUACGCCAUGCCUUAAAAAUCCUUCCCACAGUAUGUUAUAUAAAAGCACAUGUUUUUUAAAGCUUUAUCAUUGCUGAGUGAUUUAUAAGUACUAGCAAAAAGUGAGAGCUGAUUCUGCUGCCUUUAGGAACAAAUAUGUAAAAAGACAGAGUACUUAAAGAGCAAGGAGUAAAAAGAUUACUCUGAAUAUUACAUUUCUUAAUCUAGGCCAGUAUAAAGGACUUCUAUAGUCACCUAGGUCUGGCUGCAGUGGUCCUGUCAUUUUAACCCUACAAUGUAAAACAUUUGUGCAAGGUUUUUUUUCACAAACCACAAUGUUUAUAUUGCAGGGUUUAAAUUCACCUCUAGUGGCUGUCUUCCUGACAGCCACUAGAGGCGCUUUCUCCUCCAUAAUAAGGGAAUCAAAUGCUGCUGAUAGCCUGUUGAUUGGAGGAGACUGGAUUUUGACUGCACAUGCCUAGUUCCAAUUACAAAUACCUAGUUCUUUAAAAUUACUCUUAGUUUUGUCUUUUGCCAUAGCUUGUAUACCUUAAAGUUUUAAACCGUUCUCGAACAGUUUAACGCCAAGGUUGCCUCCAGCGCCGAUCUCCACUCCCACCAAGCGUUAUGUGGGUUCUGAAAUUACACUUUCAAGAAGCGAGGAGUGCUGCCGGACAGGGGCGCUGCUGGUGCUCUCCACCAGUCAGUGACUCUCCAUUCACAUAACGUUUCUUUGCAAGCCAGUUUUGUGAAUGGGGAGUCACUGAUUGGAUGAGAGCAUCAGCAGCGGCACUCUGCGCUUCAUAAAACUGAAAUUUGGCAUGAUCUAUUCAACAAAACUGCUUCUUUAAGCUAAAGUUGCUUUGGUGACUAUAGUCUCCCUUUAAAGCAGGGGAAAUCACCAGGAAAUUCUAAAGAGCAUGACCUCUACUGCAAAGUGUCCCUUUAACAUGCUUUCAUUUUUAUUUUUAGAAGAAUGAACAAAUACUUAUGAAGGAUUGUGACCACACUAUAAUUUAAGAUACCUUUUUAACUAUAUGGAUAUACAUUAAUAAGCUAAUUGUGUGUAUUCUGUAUAUUCAGAAUAUGUUCUGAUUGAAUGAAAAAAAGUAUGAAUGGUAAAUUUGCUUACUUAACUAUUUAGAAUGGAGCACUUUCCUUUCAGGAACCUCAAACAAAUUAAAACUAUUCUAUUCAUAGAAAUGAGAUUUGUCAUUUUGAAGCCCAGUGCAUAAUUGCCUGUCUCUGUUAUUAUGCUCAUGUGUUAAUCUCUAUUUAUAAUGCUCUAUACCCAUACUAUGUCAAUGAAGGUUUUUAAUAUGCUUUAUUUUUAACAUUCGUCUCUACAUUUGAGGCAUUCCAGAAGGCAAAUGUAAUUUUUAACCUUUAAACCUAAAAUGCUGCUAAUAUAAGUUUAUUGUAUCAUUAUACGCCCUUUUCUAUGUUUACAGCUUUUUAUAUAUCUCUGAAUGGGUAGAUUAAAAGUUUACUCGAACUAAAAACCACCCAUUUCAUAAAAUACCGGUUUUGGUAAGAGUAGCACAGGGUCUGAGAAAUCCCAUGUUGCCAUGGCAACUAGAAAUUUUGUCCUGGGACCUGGAUGUUUGUUAGCCAGCGGAGGCGACCAGCUGAGGGUAAAUGCAUGCGGCCAGCUAGGGUUAAAUGCAGGUGUUGAGAAGCUGUGAUCUUCCUACUCUUCUUGUUCUGCUCCCUUGCGCGACCUGCUGUGAUAUAACUCCACUCCUGCUGUGGCAUCUCUAAAAAGCCAGUGUUUACACUUAAAAACCUGCAGGGACUGGCUAUAGACACCAGAACCACUACAUUAAGCUGCAGUUGUUCUGGUGUCCCUUUGAGAAUUUUAUUUUAAUCUCUGUAUGGGCAGCGGCUAAAACCAAAACUGCAAAUCUAGAGUAUUUGUUGCUUUUCCAGUGAACUCCAAACCAGGAAGUGAUCAAAAUCCGGGCCCUAUCACUGUACACAGUGGGAACACUGAGCAAAUGUCACAUGUUUUGUAAGGGACACUGUAGGCACCAGAUGUUGCUGAACUAAAACUCCCUUGAUUCUUUGAAUGAAAUAGCCAGAGAAUAAUGGGAGUUUUAGUUCAGAAACAUCUUAUGGGACAGAUUUUAGAGAACCCUGCACUGGAGUCAUUUAAUCUAAUUGAAUUCAGCGGGACACUCACAGCCCAACCAUAAGUGGAGAUAUUGCAGAGGUUACAGUAUGACACUGUAACACUUUGCUGCUCAGGCUAAUGCUUCCUAAAUAGCCUGAGUAGCAUACAAGAGGUGGGCUGCUGAGACUUUUGUUUAGCAUUAAAUGGUUUAACACCAAAUGGAUGGACCAUGCUAGUGGACUUCAGAUACUAUAACCACUCACAUUGUGAGUUGAAGUAGAUAAAUUGCCUAAAAGUCCCCUUUGAAUAUACAGAAGUAUGGCUUUUACUCACUUGCCAAAGUCAUUUUUUAUAUUGUUCUUACAUAGUUACAUAGUUUUAUAGCUGAAAAAAGACUUGCGUCCAUCAAGUUCAGCUUUCCUCACAUUUGUUUUUUGCUGUUGAUCCAAAAGAAGGAAAAAGAAAAACCCAGUUUGAAGCACAAUUUAGCAACAAGCUAGGAAAAAAAAUUCCUUCUUGACCCCAGAAUGGCAGUCAGAUUUAUCCUUGGAUCAAGCAGUUAUUACCCUACAUUGAAAGAUUAUAUCCUUGAAUAUUCUGUUUUUGCAAGUAUGCAUCUAGUAUCUGUUUGAACAUCUGUAUGGACUCUUAUAAAACCACUUCUUCAGGCAAGAGAAUUCCACAUCCUGAUUGUUCUUACAGUAAAAAAAACCUUUCCUUUGCCUUAGACAAAAUCUUCAUUCUUCCAGUCUAAACGCAUGGCCUUGUGUCCUAUGUAAAGUCUGGUUUGUGAAUAGAUUUCCACACAAUGGUUUGUAUUGGCCCCGAAUAUAUUUGUAUAAUGUUAUCAUAUACCCUCUCAGGCGACGUUUUUCUAAACUAAAUAGGUUUAAAUGUGUUAACCUUUCUUCAUAGCUGAUAUAUUCCAUUCCUUUUAUUAAUUUUGUAGCCCACCUCUGCACUUUUUCUAGUGCCAUAAUAUCCUUCUUUAGAACAGGUGCCCAAAAUUGCACAGCAUAUUCAAUAUGUGGCCUUACCAGUGAUUUAUAAAGAGGCAAAAUUAUAUUCUCGUCCCGAGAAUGAAUGCACUUUUUCAUGAAUGACAAUACCUUACUGGCCUUGGCCACUGCUGAUUGACAUUGCACAUUGUUGCAUAGUUUGUGGUCUAUAACAAUUCCCAAGUCCUUUUCAUGUGUUGUUAUCCCUAAUUCGCUUCCGUUAAGGGUAUACGUUGCUUGUUUAUUCUUUACACCGAAGUGCAUAUCUUUGCAUUUUUCAACAUUAAAUUUCAUCUGCCAUUUGAGUGCCCAGUCCCCCGGUCUAUCUAAAUCCCUCUACAGCAAAGUAAUAUCUUGCUCACAUUGUAUUAUUUUACAAAGUUUUUGUGUCUUCAAGAUCAUUUAUAAACAUGUUAAAUAGAAGGGGUCCCAGAACAGACCCAUGAAGGACACCACUUGCCACCUCUGUCCAGCUUGAAAAUUUACCAUUAAUGACAACUCUUUGUACUCUGUUUUUAAGCCAAUGUUCUACCCAAGAACAAGCAUUUUCAUCUAGACCGAUUUCCUUGAGUUUGAACACUAAUCUAUUGUGUGGAUGCCUUGGCAAAAUCCAAAUACAUCACAUCCCCUGCAACACCCUGAUCUUUCCUUCUACUUACUUCUUCGUAGAACGCAAUCAAGUUAGUUUGACAUGACCUGUGCUUCAUAAAACCGUGCUGAUUUUUGCUGAUAACCAUGUUCUUCUCAAGGAAUUCUUGAUAACCUUACAAAUAUUUUCCUAGCCACAGAAGUUAAGCUCACAGGUCUAUAAUUUCCAGGCAAGGAUUUUGAACCCUUUUUGAAUAUAUGAACCACAUCUGAAAAGAAUCUUGAAAGAUUAAAAACAGAGGUUCACUUAUUUCUACAUUUAGUUCCUUAAGUACACGUGGAUGCAUACCGUCAGGCCCUGGAGCUUUGUUUAUAUUAACUUUCUUUGAUUGCUGCAGCACCUUGUCUUGAGUUAACCAAUUACAAUUAUUCUGCAAGUUUUUAGUAGCAAUCAUUUGCACAUCUAUUGCCAUGGGUUCUUCCUUAAUAUAUACUGAGGAGAAAUAGUCAUUUAAAAUUCCUGCAUUUUCCUGGUCUUCAUUAACUAACACCCCCGUUUCAGUUUUUAGUGUACCUACACUUUCAUUUUUUGUUUUUUUUAGAAUUUAUGUACUUAAAAAAUGCUUUGGGGUUGGUUUUGCUCUCUUUAGCUAUCAUUUUUUUCAUUUUGAAGUUUAGCAAGUCUAAUUGCCUUUUUGCACGCAUUAUUUGCUUCCUUAUAUCUUUUAUAAGAUGCAUCUGAUUUGUCCGAUUUAAAUGCUUUAAAUGCCCUUUUCUUAUUUUUAAUCUCUUGUUUUACUUCUCUUCUAAGUCACAUAUCCUUUAUCCUCAGUGUUUUUUUCACUAAAGAGUUUAUGCCAGUCAAUAUAUUGUAAAGCUGCCCUUAUUGAAAUUGGCCUUUUUAAAAUUAUAUGUUUUAGUAUACCCCAUGUGCUUUUGUCACACUAUAUUGUGAUCACUAUUUCCCAAGUGCUCACCUACGUGAAUGUUGGUCAAAAGAUCAACGUUGUUUGUUAAAACCAGGUCCAGACAAGCGUCCAUUCUAGUUGGUGCUUGUACAAGUUGUGACAUGAAGGUGUCAUUUAACUUGUUUAAAUACCUAAUUCCCUUUGCUGAGCUACUAGUUCCUCCGUCCCAUUUUAUGUCCGGGUAAUUAAAAUCUCCAAUAAUUAAAGUGUUACCCAGAUUUGCAGCUUUCUCAAUUUGCUCAAACAGCUGUUGUUCCUCGUCAAUAUUAACAUUAGGUUGUUUAUAACAUAUCCCAACCAAUAGUUGGUUUCCAUUCUUUUCCCCCAAGCAGAUAUUUACCCAUAAAGCUUCCACAUUUUCCUCAUCACAUUCCACUUGCUUAAGAUUUGGCUUUAAAUCAUGGUUGACAUACAAACAUACCCCACCACCCUUCUUGUUUUUCCUAUCUUUCCUAAAUAACAUGUACCCAUUUAAGUUAACUGCCCAGUCAUGUGUCUCAUCCCACCAUGUUUCUGUUAUGCCUAUUAUAUCAUAUUGUUAAGUGUAUGCUAAUGCCUCUAGUUCCCCCAUUUUGUUAUUUAGGCUCCUUGCAUUAGUAAGCAUACAUUUAAUAUCAUGAGUCACUUGUAUUUUUUUGUGAAUUAUCAACAUUACGUAGCUUCUCUGUUCUGAGCUUUCCCCUCCCCCUGUCUCCACACACCUUAUACUGUGCUAAAGCCCAUCUCCUUUCUGUCCUAUAUCCAUUUUGGAGAUUGCUAUGACCCUCCCCCCCCUACUACUAGUUUAAAAUCUCCCCCAUACUUCUAGCCAUCCUAUCCCCCAGCACUGCAGACCCUCUCCCGUUUAGGUGCAAUCCAUCACUACUAUAAAGGUUGUACCUAAUCGCAAAGUCGCCCCAGUGCUCUAAAAACCCAAAACCCCCUUCCUGCACCAAGACUUCUUGAACUGAGCCAGUCACAACUGUCGAUCUGUGGAUGUGUUUGACAUGUCUUCAAUUCAGAACAGCUUUCCUCUGUGAUGUCACUGAGUGAGGCAGGGUAAGCUUAUAACUUUAGCAAUUUUUCAUAAUUUUUUUAAAUUGUAUUAUUUAUAUGUAAAAUAUCACUUAUUAGAGUGUUUCUUUAAUUGUCCUUUUACAUUGCAACCAGUGAGCUACACAUUAAUUGGCAUUUUAUUUGAAAAUAAACUUGAAUCAAAUAGUAGCUCUUGCUGUUUUCCAAAAGCAAUUUCUUUUGAAGGUGGCAAAGACAUUUUUGUGAUGAAUUAAAAACACAAUAAGAAUUAAAUAGUGAAGGUUAUUAGCUCCAAACUAGCCAAGCUGCUUCACUAAAAAUACCUUCUAAGUAAAAAUCAAUAUAAGAUAAUAAACUUUAUUAACCGAAAUAUAUAUACAUAAGUGGCUGCCGAUGCUGAUUUUUAAUUCACUAGUUUAGACUGCAUACCGUUUCCUGUUUUCGUGCUCAAUAGAGGGGGGGAUACCUUAUGAAUAGCUAGGAAUGUCUCUAUUCACUUAUUUAUUGGUCUAGUAAUUAUAUUAUUUAUAUUUUCUUUUUUCUUUCCACCUCCUGUCUCUACGCGGGUGGUCUUUGGAUGCAUGUCUGCCCGCUCGAGAAUAUUGAGCGUUGAGAUAUAGGAGGGGGUUAUACCAUUUACUGCUGGAACACUUCAGCCUGAUAUUAUUAUCUUUGUUUUGUUUUACCCCUAUUGCCUACUGGGUCUUGUUCCCAGACUUUACACCUGUAAGGGACCAGUAUCCUAUGAAACAGAGGGCUGGCUCACCUUACCAUAGCUUUACUUAGCAAGGGUGAGACUAUAACCAGUGUUGACCAAUAUCUCCUACCUAACAUUAUCAUCCUACUAUCUGGAGUGCUCCCUCAAUAGGGACAAUAUCGAUCACAAUAGUAAGGGAGAAGAUUGAGUCAGUACUGAUUAUAUACAAUUGACCAUCUCUCCUCUAUUCAGAAAUCUCCCAUACUGCUAUUUCUGGUGUUUGAAAUGCUCUCUAUGUAGAGGUACUCCAUUCUACUAACAGUGGAUUGAGGGAGCGAGCACUUGAAUUACAUUACUAAGCUUUCAUCGCCCGUAUCUCCCACCAUUUAAGUAAGCACUUAAUAUUGGGGGAAAUAUAUACCCACCCUCACGAAUCUGUUUUCUCCCCUCUAUAGUACUUUUGUUUUAGCGAUAUAAACUUGGUGAUUUAUAAAGGAUAUUCAGAUACUUAUAUUUAUAUCCAGUUUAGUUCACCUGAUCAUUUCCUUACACAAUAAUGUUCUCAGGUCUAACAUUAGACUACCCUGUACUCCACUCCCCUUAUUAUUAUUUUUUCCCCCUGUAAAAUACAGACAACUCUAUGUAUUUCUUAUCCGGGAUAAUAAUAAGUAACCUGUUACAUUUGUAACACACUGACUCUAAUUAGCAAAUGUAUGUUGCCACUUCUGUAGCUAGUAUUUUUCCAAGUAGUGGAGUCUACAGUGGUAACGUCUAUAUCCACGGUGUAAACACAGGAGUCUUUUAACUUCACUUUGAUCCCCUUUUCUGCACGUUUGUUUUCCCUUAUGUAUAUAUAUUUCUGUUAAUAAAGUUUAUUAUCUUAUAUAGAUUUUUUACUUAGAAGAUAUUUUUAGUGAAGCAACUUGGCUCCCCUAGUUUGGAGCUAAUAACCUUCACUAUUUAAUUCUCAUUGUUCAUUACCUAGGGUUAUGCCCUUUACUACCUUUGUAACCCUCCUCUUACCCCGUUUAGAUUCUUCUAUCCUGGGGUAUUUCUUUUAUAAAAACACAAUAAAAUAAUGUUUGUUUCAAAUAUUUAUAUUACUUUUAUUUCCUUUUGUGAUUCUUGUCCAUUGUCUCAUGCCGUCAGAUGCAAUUAAAUGGAACAUGAUAUCUAUAAUAUGAUCCUUACCUUCUAUACAGAAUAAACAUUGUGUUCUAAGUGUUUCCUGGAUUGCAUAUCUUUCUAGUAAUAUUUACUUUUUAAUCUGAGCGGUUUUUGUUGAACUCUCCUAUUAAUAUAAACUUGGGAAAGUCACAUUUGUUUAUUGUACAAUAUCACUGAGACAGCAGAUUCAUCUGACACUCCAUACUCCAUAGCAAGUACCAGUGGUCACCACUAAUAAUGUGGGGGGACAAAUAUUUGCAGUAGUUUAGAAACGCUAGGAAUCUUUUUUUUUUUUUUUUUUGUAAUAAGUUUCAGUUCUGCAGCUGCACACCCCCUCACCCCUUUGGUUGCAGUUUAGAGAAGCAUACUUGAAAAUAUCUGUACAAAAUUGGUCUGAUUUGAAAUCUGCCUCGUUUCAGCAGGUUUGGCACAUGCCUAGUGCCCUUUAAGAAGGAAUUUCAGGAAGUUUCAUUGCGUUGCCAUUCAGGUAGUAGAGGCAGCUGGCUAUGAGUAGAGGCCUGUUAUUGACCUCUCUAUUUAGGGGCCAUCAUUGGCUGAUAGCAUCAGGGGAUGGGGUUACAUUGCUCUAAGGCAGGGGUUCCCAAUUAAUUUUUCCUGUGGAGCCCUUUGACAUAGGACAUCAACAUCGUGGAAUCCAAUCUCCUCUCCCCACAGUGUGUGUAUCUGUGUGUGUGUAUCUGUGUUUGUAUGUGCCAGUGUGUAUGAAUCUGACACACAGAUAUAUACACACACACACACACACACACACUGGCAGAUAGUGGCACACAGAUACACACACCUUGACACACAGUGUGUAUCUGUGUGUCAAGGUCUCUGUCAAUGUGUGUAUAUCUGUGUUUGUAUGUGCCAGUGUGUGUAUCUGUGUGUGUGUAUGUAUCUGACACACAUAAUGGCACACAGAUACACACUGACACACACCUUGACACACAGAUGCACAAAUCUUGAUUCACAAAUACACACACACACACACACACACACACUCAGCUGCACCGGGACCCCCAGGCUGAUGGUGCCCAUUAGAUGGCCCAAAAAUGUAGGGCCACCCGAUGGGCCCUAUAUCUUCAGGGGCCCGGUCAGCGCUGUGGCCGUGUAAUAGCGCGAUCGGGUCCCUUUAAAAAAUGGCAGCCACAAGUUGUGCUGGGAGGAAGUGACAGGCGGAGAGGAGAGGCAGCCGACUCCCACCAUCCCCAGCCACCCUCCUGCAACAAAAAGGGAAGGAACAGGAGGGUGGCUGAAAAAUGAGCUGUGUAUAUAUGUCCGUAUGUAUGCAUGUAUGUCCGUGUGUAUGGAUAUGUAUGAAUAUGUCAGUAUGUAUGUGUGUGUGUGUAUAUGUCAGUAUGUAUGUAUGUCAGUAUGUGGAUGUUAGUAUAUGUAUGAAUGUGUCUGUAUGUCAGCAUUUGUGUGUGCGUGUGUGUGUGUGCCAGUAUGAAUAUAUAUAUGUCAGUAUGUGUGUGUGUGUUUGUAUGUCAGUAUGUGUAUGUAUGUCUGUAUGUGUGUGUAUAUAUGUAUAUAUCAGUAUGUAUAUUAGUAUGUAUCUAUGUCCGUGUAUGUGUAUGUAUGUGUGUAUGUCAGUAUAUAUGUAUGUCAGUAUGUACGUAUGCGUAUGUAUGUAGGUCAGUAUGUAUGUCUGUAUGUGUGUGUGUGUGUGUCUGUUUCUCCUUAUGCAUGUGUGUGUGUGUCACUGUAUAUGUAUGUGUGUAUAUCUUUCACUACGUGUUUCAGUUUGUAUGUGUGUGUCUGUGUCCUUUUGUGUCUUUGUGUGUAUUCCUGUGGGCGGGAUUUGGAGGCGGGCCAGGAUUUGAGGCAGGCACCGGGGGCCCACACCUUGAACUAUGUUAGGGGCCCCAACAUUUCUGAUGGCAACCCUGAUGCCAAGCAUUGUGUAUUAUAUCUCGAUUUCCUUUCAUCUCUGUGGUAUGGUUAUCUCUGUAUUGUAUUUAGCUCUGUGUAUGUUAUAGAUAUCUUUAUAGUGUGCAAAGCUUGUUUUAUAGUAUGAAUAUAAAUAUUUUUUGCUCAGCUUUCUGUAUCUCAGUACUGUAUAGGGAGGAGUAAACUUCUGGGCAGUCCACCAUCCUAAAACUUCACCAGCCGUCACUGACCAGUACAGCUUAUGUUUAUAAUAUUAGGAAGCUGGCACUGUAAAGCAGGGCUCGAAAAACCAUUGUGACUAGGAAUUUUGUCCUGGCACCUGGGUGUUUAUCAGCCUUUCCAGCACACUGGUCAUCUUAGACGACCCCCUGAGGCGUGUGGCUGACGGCUAUGUGGAAUGAAAGCGGGCGUUGAGGGAGCUGUAAUCUUUCUCCUCUUCUUGCUUUGCUCUCUCAUGCACCCUGCAGGAAUGCCGGGAGCUGUAAUAUGACGUGACUCCGGCCCAGGCAUCAAUAAUCAGCAGAUGAGGGUGCAGAGCAACAAGAGCUUGAAGAUUACAGGAUCAGAUCAGCUUUACUGGACUCAGGGAAAGGAUCCACUCCAGGUCUCCCAAAGGUAGGGAGUCUGGGUGGAAAUAAAUGAAAGUAAAACAAAUAAUAAUUUUGUGAGUGUGUGAGAGAAUGUGUGUAUGCUAGUGAGAGUGUGUUUGUGUUAGUCUGUGUGAGUCAGUGUGUUUCUGUCAGUGAGUGUGUCUGUUAAGGUGACUGCCCUCCCCAGCCAUAGCAUGUGAAAAGUGUUUUUAACCCCCCCCCCCUUUUUUAAAUGGCAUGCUGGUCCCACCACAGCUGGCCCAGCUCCACGACUGAGGAUGCCGCUUACAAAAAAGUCCAUUGUGCGCUGAGUGGGGUGUGAUUGUCCGUUAUCAUUAUUGCUCGACUAGGAGACCAAUGUCAAAAGGUGAAUGGGAACUGAGGCUUCAUUUCAGGGCAAGUGUAUGUGUUUUGUAUGUGUGUCUGUAAAAGAUUAUGUGUAUUUGUCAGUGAGAGUGUAUGUGUAUCUGUGUGUCAAGGUUUGUGUAUGUGUCACCGUGUGUAUCUGAGUGUGUGUGUAUAUGACACUGCGUGUACGUGUCAAUGUGUGUAUGUGCCAGUGUGUGUAUCUGUGGGUGCAAGUGUGUGUAUAUGUUACUGUGUGUAUUUGUGAGUCAAGAUGUGUGUGUCUGUGUUUCAAUGUGUGUGUGUCUGUGGGCCACUAUGUACCGGUGUGUGUGUGUGUGUAUCUGUGUGUCAGAUACAUACACACACAAAUACACAUUGACACAGAGAUGCAUACACUUGCACAUACAAACACAGAUAUACAUACCUUGACACACACCGGCACUUAGAAACACAGAUACACACACUUUAACACAUAGAUACAUACACACACACACACACACACACACAGAUACACACUGUGUGUCAAGGUGUGUGUAUCUGUGUCAGUGUGUGUAUCUUUGUGCCAGUGUGUGUAUCUGUGUGUCAGAUUCAUACACACUGGCACAUACAAACACAGAUACACAGAAACAUACAAACACAGAUAGAUACAUACAUACAUACACACACACACACACACAGACACACUGUGUCAAGGUGUGUGUAUCUGUGUGCCACUAUGCGCCAGUGUGUGUAUCUGUGUGUCAGAUACAAACCUAUACACAGAUACACAUUGACACACAGAUACACACACUGGCACAUAUAAACACAGAUACACAUACCUUCACACACAGACACACACCGGCACAUACAAAAAACUGUGCAAUUUUUUUUUUCUGAGUGUGGGGAUACACUAUGUCAAAGGGUUUCACAGGAAAAAAUUAAUAGGGAACCCCUGCUCUAAACAGAUAGUACAAAAGGAAAAGACCAAAUGAACAAGCCAAAAAUAAAAAAGGGUAAGAAAAAAUAAAAAUAAAUAAAAGAAAAAAACCCAAACAAAAGAAAAGAAAAAACACAGAAAAAUGGUAACAACACAAAUUUAUUUUGAUUCACACAACAUACAGCUAGCUAGUCAGCGGCACCACUCUGUGCUUCCUGAAAGUGAAAACGCAGAAGCCGGAUGCUGUCUGGUGGAAGUGGAAUUGCCACUGGAGGCAAAUAUAUGGUUAAACCGCUGGAGAACGGUUUGACCCCUUGAGAUAAGAGUGCCUCCUGGCACCAUAACAACUUCAUUGCGAUUAAGUUAUUUUGGUGCCUGGAGAGACCCUGUUAGUGUUUACACUUAUGAAAAUUCAUGAUUGUGUAAUAAUGUGUAAAUGUGUCAUAUGUGUCUAGUUAAGAAUAAGCUGGUAAUUUAUUAUUUUGAACAUUUGUACUAUCCCACAAAAUCAUGUUCCAACAGACUCAGCUGAUUGUAGUGAUGUUGGUAUUCUGUAGCAAAUGACAAAUCCUAGAUUCUCGACUUUUGAAAAGCUUUUUGGUAACAUUUUGCUGCAGAGAAAAACAAAUGACACAAUUUAAAACUUGGAAAUAAAUUAGAUAAUGCCAAAACAUGUUUUUGCAGUAUUCUCACCCUUUCAAUGGGAAUACCUCUUACAUCAUAUACCAUUAGAAGUACCAAGUAAUACCUGACUAUAUAAACUCCUAUUUCAAUGUUGUGCUGUUCUAUUCUGUGUAAGUGCUGUUUUAGAUAAUGUUAUGUGUUUCUAUUUUGACUAAUGACCUAAAGAUAUUGGAUUGCGAAAAUGAUGCAGAACUAUGCAUUCGAUCAUAGUAGUGGUUAUAGAAUGUUAUUACAGCCACACCAGUGUUUUCUCCUACAGUUUUAGUAAAACAAUGUUAAAAAUAUACCAGGUUUCUUUCUUCGUCUGUUGUCAUUAAGUAAAUAUAAAUGGACAUUGCUGUUCUGAGAACUACAUCGCUAUUCAUUUCUCUGGCAAUUGCGCUACAAGAAAUUAAUAAUAGGCCAGAAAAAGUUAUAUGUUACUUGAAUAGAAAAGUGAAUACAAAGAGAAAAAUUAAAUAGAACACUGUAAGGAGUAAUAAAGUUAAAGAACCUUCAUGAACAUACACUGGGCCUAUUACAUUGAUAUUAGGCCUUUAACUCCUUAAGGACCAAACUUCUGGAAUAAAAGGGAAUCAUGACAUGUCACACAUGUCAUGUGUCCUUAAGGGGUUAAACUGAUACAAAAAAGCAGCUGUACCAGAAAAACAUUUUAUUUAGGGAACAUUAAAAAACCAAAACGUUGAAACCCAGUACUCCCCAGUGGCAUUAAUUGAGAACAUGUGAAUUCCCUGUAAUGACCCAUCUAUAUUGUUUUUGUGAAAACAGAUUAAAGAUAGGCUUACAGGGUGGCAGAUUUUGGCCGCAGAUCAAAUUUUAUGGAGCACCAUUUUAUGGAGAUUAGCAACCUUUUGCAGAAGAGUUUUUUUAACUAACGUGUUUAACACAAUAUUUAACUGUAGCUAGUCCUACCUGCCUGACCACUGCAUUCUCUAUCUACCUGACAGACGUACAAUACUUCAAAAUCAGGGAUUGGAUGUAGAUCCUGCAAAUUGAGGGCUAUUUCAGAUGUAGGCACAAGAGACAUAGAGGACAUGCAUAGGUGGCUGGUACCUUUUGGUCUUAGAGGAAAGCACAGUGGGAUUGGCAGACCUGACACAAGCUGUUAUGGAUCAUAAGCAAAGCUUCUCUGAAGAGGAUGAAGACACCCCUUCCACAAAGAAGGUUGGAAAGUACCUGCUAAAACACAUAAAAAAAAAAAAAAGUGAAAGAAAAAAUUCACACCUUAAUGGAGCUAAAGCUACUGAAGAUGAUAUGCUGUUCUUCAACAAAGUGUGGCCUCCACUACUGAGUCUGUUCAGCAACUGCUGGAUAAAAGGGGCAGAAGAAUAAAACAUCACAAUAUCAGAUAUGGCCAACACUUUUGGCAUGGAGAAACACCCACAUUUCCUCCCUCAUCUCAUUACUUUAUAUUAACUCCUAAACAUCCCCAAGUCCUUGAUUCUGCAUGGGGUGUAUAGCCACAACAAAUAUUCUCUGGCACCUUCAACAGAUGUUAUUGACCCCUGCCAAACAUACAGUGAAGUAUCCUGUGUUGUGGUGGCAUUGAAUGACAAUUUUCCACGUCACUUUGAAUCUCAAAAAUUAUCCAUCUACCAAGAUGUAGAAAGUUCAGUCACUGGGCCCAGUUACCAAACUUUUAAGGGUUGUUGAUCUGGAAUACAGAUGGGGUUCGACUGUUUGUCUACAGGUUCAGAAGGAUGGUAAAUGCUACAGGCUUACAACAUCCACAGAUAUGCAGAUUUUACUGUUGGCCCAGGGUCUCCAUCUCCCUUUCCAUACCAGCAGAUGGAACUCUCUCUAUGCACAACUGGGACAUCCCUUAUGUGGUAGAUUCAUCCUCAGGGGCAAUGAUGGCACCAGCUGAUGAAGCUGUUCUCUGUUGUACAAAGGGUUCAGAAUAGUGCACUACAUUAUUAUAUUAAGGCUACUUGUUAAUUGUUUGAUUCCUGUGAUUUUUUUUUUUAUUAUUUUUUUUUCUGGUAUGUAACGUUUUUUUUCCUGUUUGUUUUUUGCACCUAUUUAACCUAAACAUCCUGGGGAAAAAAAGACCUGCAGGGACUGAUAUAUACCCCGCCUCUAAUUUCUUUUUUUUUUUUUUUUCUUCAAUACAUGGGAGCGUUUUUUUGUUUUUUUAAACUGUUUAGUAUUGUUUAAAGCUGGAGCGUUACAUUCAUGGAGUGACAAUCCCUUGCCCCUUACCAAAGUAAACACUAUUGAAAUGCUAACUGGAGUAAGUUGUGCAGAAAGUAAAAAAACAUAAUUAACAUCCCAGCACUUCUGCGUUCAGGAUGACAUCAUCUUCCCAUAAUGCUCUGAGUACACUCAUACACACUUGUGCAUUCCUUCUAUAGUGCAAUGGCUUUGUGACAAUAUAAUUUGCAUGCUCAAUGCCAAGACAGCUAUGCAUACACUGUCAAAAAAAGAAACUAUAGAAAGUUAUAUUAUUUAUUAGGAUGUGCAUAAAUCUCAGAUGUGAUAGUUCUGCUUUAACAUGGCGUUGUUACGGCUCCAUAGAGACUGCUUGCAGAUGUAAAUUGGCACUUUCCUAUAUAUUUUCUUGCCAUUGUAUAACCUCUGGGCUUAAUAGUAAAUAGUACAGAUCUUCCUUUUUAUGGCAUUUUUUUUUCUUUUUUUGAGUAAUGCUGUUUCUUUUCUUUUUUUCUCAUACCAUUUGGCAAAUCUACCUGCAAGCAUGUAAAAAAUGAUAAAAAUUAAAUAAUGCUUCAACUAUACAUAUGCCAGCAUUGUAUAUACAAUUUUAAUUCCUUUUAAGUUGAUGCCAAGUCAUAAUUGGCAUGAUGGCUGCCCUCUGUUCAGUACAGAAAUUAUAAAACAAAAAAAUUAAGUGUUUGUUGUUUGUGUGUAUGAAGAACAAUUUUGGGGCAAAGUUCUAAAACUGUAGUAGUCACCAUGGAAACAAGUAAUAUAAUAUUUCUGCUCUUUGCUCCCUGUUAGUGUCCUCUAAUAUUGUAUUAAAAACACAAACACAAAACCCUGUUUAAAAGCAACCUGCUGUGGGACAAGAGAAUUCCUAGAAAUAGACUGCAGUAUUCAGGUUAUUGCGAAUUGUAAAUGUAUCCGUCCAAGAGGAAUUAUUUGAGUCAACUACCAAUGAAGAUGACCUCUCCUUCUUGUGUUCAAGUGCAAUAAACAAUACACAAGAUCCAGCGCACUCUCCUAUCUACUAAAUAGCAACUUCAAUGUUGACAGAUUUUAUUUGUUUUUUUUUCUUUCUAUUGUAUAAUAUAGCCCCAGCAGCAACCCAUUUAAGCAUGUUCAGGUGAGUGCAACCACCCCCCCUUGUGUUCAAGUGCCUGGUGUUGAAGCUGAAGGUUGUUAAAAUUACCUAAAGGUCUCCUUUGCAAGUGAUGCCCUUUGUUCUCCAGCUCCUGGCUCUUCAUUCAAGUAUGAUUGAGAGUACAUGAACUAUCCUGCAAGACCACAUCCUGGCUGUGGGAUUUGACAGAUGUUGAUAUCAGAAGCUCUGCCUUUUGUCAGCUUGGACAUUGUCCAUAAGACAAAGCAGUCCCUCUUUUGUACUCUGAUCUCGUUUGAUUGUACCAGAAUUUCAAAGAAAUUCCAAUGGAAUCAAUGUGAUUAUUAAAGGGACACUAUAGUCACCUGAACAACUUCAGCUUAAUGAGGUUGUUCAGGUGAGAACUAUAGCUCCCUGCAGCCUUUCUCAUGUAAACACUGUAUUUUCUGGGAAAAUACAGUGUUUACAUUGAAAGCUAGGAACACCUCGAGUUGCAGUCACUCAGAGUGAACCAAAGGGACUUCGGAGUUGAUGGAGGCAUCCUCUGCUGUCAGCAGAGCACAGGGCAGCACUGUGCACAGCAUCCUGUGAUUCAGUAUCUCCUCCCUCUGCAUGCAGACACUGAUUCAUUGAUUCAGUUCAUCUCUAUGAGGAGAUGCUGAUUGGCCAGGGCUCUGUUUGAAUCAUGCUGGCUCUGCCUCUUUGUCAGUCUCAGCCAAUCCUAUGGGGAAGCAUUGUGAUUGGAUCAGGCUACCACAUGUCAGCAGACUGCUUGUUUUUCUAAGUCUAACAGCAUGCAGAUUUACAGCUUUUGGCUUGAAUACAGUAACAUUUUUAAUAUUUAUGGAGGCAUGAGGGGCCCAGGGGGCUAGAUGGGUCAGGAAUACAUGUUUGUGUUCCUGACCCUAUAGUGAUCCUUUAAAACUACUCAGCUAGUGACAAGAGGUGGAUGAGCCACUUUAAUACAGAGGUCAUUUAAUAUGUGGUUUCUUUUUUUGGUGAAUAUUCUUCGACUAGGUUCAUGAAGGUAUAUGGGCGAAAAAGAGAAGGGAGAUAUAGGCCUCUGAAACUAUUCUUCUGUGCCCCAUCUCCUCUUUAUAGUCCAAUUCGUUACAAGAAUAUAAAACAAAGGAUUUAUCCCAAGUGAUGGGAAGAUUGUAUCUUUAUAUAGGAAACUGGGGUAAAAAUCUCCCUCUCUUUUCUAAAUGUAUUUUAAAGAAAAUCCAUUGAAAAUAAUGAGGGAAAAAUGCUUUCCCUCAAAGUUUGUCUUGGUGGACAGUGUAGUGGUUACAAACGAGAUUUAUGAAAUACAUGUAAGUAUUUUUUCACAAACAGAUAUUUCCCUCAUUAAAUAUGAUGAGUGAAACUGCUCUAUAAGCUAUCAGGCAUACUAUGGUAGCUAUCAUAGUUACAUAGUUACAUAGCUGAAAAGAGACUUGCGUCCAACAAGUUCAGCCUUCCUCACAUAUGUUUUUGCUGUUGAUCCAAAAGAAGGCAAAAAAACAGUCUGUAGCGCUUCCAAUUUUGCCACAAACUAGGAAAAAAUUCCUUCUUGACCCCAAAAUAGCAGUCAGAUGUCUCCUUGGAUCAAGCAGCUAUUACCACACUAAUUAGAAAUUAUAUCCCACUAUAUUAUGUUUUUGCAAGUAUUUAUCCAAUUGUAGUUUAAACAUCUGUAAUGACUCUGACAAAACCACCUCUUCAGGCAGAGAAUUCCAUAUUCUUAUUGCUUUUACUGUAAAAAACCUUUUCUUUGCCUUAGGUGAAAUCUCCUUUCUUCCAGCCUAAAUGUGUGACCUUGUGUCCUAUGUAUAGCCCUGUUUAUGAAUAGAUUUCCAGAUAAAGGUUUGUACUGGCCCCGAAUAUAUUUGUAUAAUGUUAUCAUAUCCCCUCUCAGGCAUCGUUUUUCCAAACUAAACAGAUUUAUUUCUUUAACCUUUCUUCAUAACUAAAAUGCUCCAUUCCUUUUAUUAAUUUUGUAGCUCGUCUCAGGACUCUUUCUAGUGCCAUGAUAUCUUUCUUUAGAACAUGUGCCCAAAAUUGCUCAGCAUAUUCAAGGUGUGGUCUUACCAGCGAUUUAUAAAAAGGCAAAAUUAUAUUUUCCUCCCAAGAAUUUAUGCCCCUAUUCAGGGCCGCCAUCAGGGGGUGACAACCAUGAUGGUUGUCAUGGGCCCGGCGGCCCUAGGGGGCCCGGCUAUCCGGGCCCCACAUGGGGCAGCAAAACUGCCGCAGGUGCAUCUGCACCGGGGCCCAUCAGGUGGCCAGAGCAUUUAGGGCCACGCGAUGGGCCCUAUAUCUUCAGGGACCCGGUCAGCGCUGCGGCCGUGUAAUAGCGCGACCGGGCCCCUUUAAAAAAUAAAAAUAAAUUGCGGCUACACCGCAAGUGCUGCUGGGAGGAAGUGACGGCUGGUCACUUCCUCCCAGCUUACUCCGCACGGGCGGAGAGUGGACCAGAGGGAGAGCGGAGGACAAGAGAGGCAUCCACUCCCAUCAUCCCCAGCCACCCUCCUGCAACUUAAAGGUAAGAGGAGGGUGGCUGAUAAAUGAAGUGUGUGUGUGUAUAUGUAUGUAUCUGCAUGUAUGUCAGUAUGUAUGUGUCUAUCUUUAUGUGUGUGUAUGUAUGUGUGUGUCAGUAUGUAUGUCUGUGUGUAUGUCAGUAUGCAUGUAUGUCUGUGUAGGUCUGUGUGUGUGUGUAUGUCAGUAUGUAUAAAUGUCUGUGUGUAUGUCUGUAUCUAUGUCUGUGUGUAUGUCUGCGUGUAUGUCAGUAUGUAUAUAUGUAUGUAUGUCAGUAUGCAUGUAUGUCUGUAUGUAUGUCUGUGUAUGUCUGUAUGUAUGUAUGUCUGUGUGUGUGUUAGUAUGCAUGUAUGUCUGUGUGUGUGUUAGAAUGCAUGUAUGUCUGUGUAUGUCAGUAUGUAUAUAUGUCUGUGUGUAUGUCUGUAUGUAUGUCUGUAUGUAUGUCAGUAUGCAUGUCUGUAUGUAUGUCAGUAUGCAUGUAUGUCUGUGUAUGUAUGUGUGUAUGUCUGUAUGUAUGUGUCUCUCUGUAUGUGUGUGUGUAUGUCAGUAUGUAUAUAUGUCUGUGUAUGUGUCUGCAAGUGUGUGUGCGUGUAUGUCAGUAUGUAUGUCUGUGUUUGUAUGUCAGUAUGUAUGUGUGUGUAUGUCAGUAUGUAUGUAUGUAUGUCAGUAUGUAUGCAUGUAUGUCUGUGUGUGUGUAUGUCAGUAUGUCUGUAUGUGUGUGUAUGUAUGUAUAUCAGAAUGUAUGUAUGCCAUUAUGUAUGUAUGUCAGUAUGUAUUUAUGUGUAUGUAUGUCAGUUUGUCAGUAUGUAUGUAUGUCUGUAUGUAUGUAUUUAUGUCAGUAUGUGUGUGUGUGUAUCUGUAUCUGUGUAUGUGUCUAUAUGUGUGUAUGUCUGUUUCAGUAUUUGUGUCUGUUAGUAUGUGUGAAUCUUCCUGUGUGUGUGUCUGUGUGUGUGUAUUCCUGUGGGCAGGAUUUGGAGGCGUACACCCGGGGGCCCAGACCUUGAGCUAUGUUAGGGGCGCCACAAUUUCUGUUAGCGGCCCUGCCCCUAUUUAUACAUGACAAAACCUUACUGGCCUUAGCAACUGCAGAGUGACAUUGCAUAUUGCUGCCUAAUUUGUUGUCUAUAACAAUUCCCAAAUCCUUCUCGUGUGUGGUUAUCCCUAAUUCACAACCAUUUAGGGUGUAAACUGCUCGUGCAUUCUUAACCCCGAAGUGCAUAACUUUGCAUUUCUCUACGUUAAAUUUCAUCUGCCAUUUUAGUGCCCAGUCCCCCAAUCUAUCCAAAUCCCUCUGCAGCAAAGCAAUAUCCUGCUCACAUUUUAUUAAUUAACAAAGUUUUGUGUCAUCUGCAAACACUGAUACAUGGCUUUCAAUGCCUAUUUCAAGAUCCUUUAUAAAUAUGUUAAAUAGAAGUGGUCCCAAAACAGAACCCUGAGGGACACCAUUUACCACUUUUGUCCAGCCUGAAAAUUUACCAUUAAUGACAACUCGUUGUACUCUAUCCAUAAGCCAAUGUUCUACCCAAGAACAAGAAUAUUCAUCUAGACCAAUUUCUUUUAGUUUGAAGACUAACCUAUUGUGAGGAACUGUAUCAAAUGCCUUGGCAAAGUCCAAGUAGAUCACAUCCACUGCAACACCCUGAUCUAUACUUCUACUUACUUCUUCGUAGAAUGCAAUUAGGUUAGUUUGACAUGACCUAUGUUUCAUAAAACCAUUCUGAUUAUUGCUAAUAACAAAGUUCUUCCCAAUGAAUUCCUGAAUAUUAUCCCUUACUAGCCCUUCAAAUAUUUUACCAGUUACAGAAGUUAAGCUCCCAGGUCUAUAAUUCCCAGGCAAGGAUUUUGAACCCUUUUUAAAUAUAGGAACAACAUCUGCCUUCCUCCAAUCCUCCAGUACAAUACCUGAAACAAAAGAAUCUUGAAAAAUUAAAUACAGAGGUUCACUUAUUUCCCCACUUAGCUCCUUAAGUACUCGUGGGUGAAUACCAUCAGGCCCCGGAGCUUUAUUUACAUUAAUUUUCUUUAAUAGCUGUAGCACCUUUUCUCGAGUUACCCAAUCACAAGUUAUCUGCAAGUUUUUUCAGCAAUCCUUUGCAUAUCUCUUGCCAUAGGAUCCUCAUUAAUAUAUUCUGAAGAAAAAUUGUUAUUUAAAAUUUCUGCUUUUUCCUGGUCUUCAUUAGCUAAUAAACCCAACUCUGUUUCCAGUGUACCUACACUUUCAUUUUUUGUUUUUUUAGAAUUGAUGUACUAGAAAAAAAUUUUGGGGCUGGUUUUGCAUUCUUUGGCUAUCAAUUUCUCAUUUUCUAGUUUAGCCACUUUAAUUGCCUUUUUGCAAGCGUUAUUGGCUUCCUUAUAUCUUAAAUAGGUUGCCUCUGAUUUGUCUGAUUUAAAUGCUUUAAAUGCCCUUUUCUUAUUUUUAAUCUCUUGUUUUACUUCUCUACUAAGCCACAUUGGUUUUAAUUUGUUGCUUUUGUAUUUAUUACCCAAUGGUACAUACUGCGAAAUGUACCUUUCUAAUAUUUGUUUGAAUAGUUUCCAUUUAUCCUCAGUGUUUUUAUCACUAAGGAGUUUAUGCCAGUCGAUAUGUUGUAGAGCUGCCCUAAUCUUAUUGAAAUUUGCUUUUUUAAAAUGAUAUGUUUUAGUAUACCCCACUUGCUUUUGCUUUUUUGAGUUUAUUUAAAAAAUUACCAUAUUGUGAUCACUAGAGAUGUCGCUAACUGUCCGCCGAACUGUUCGCGAACUGUCAGCCGGCGAACAAUAGUGUGUUCGCGUUGGGCGAACAUAUACGAUUUCCGGUCCGCCCCCUAUACGUCAUCAUUGAGUAAACUUUGACCCGGAACCUCACAGCCAGCAGACACAUUCCACCCAAUCAGCAGCAGACCCUCCCUCCCAGGAAGUGUCUGCUGACUGUGAGGUUCCGGGUCAAAGUUUACUCAAUGAUGACGUAUAGGGGGUGGACCGGAAAUCGGAUAUGUUCACCCAACGCGAACACGCUAUUGUUAGCCGGCGGACAGUUCGCGAACAGUUCGGCGGACAGUUCGCGACAUCUCUAGUGAUCACUAUUUCCCAAAUGCUCCCCUACUUGAAUGUUGGUUAAAAGAUCAACAUUGUUUGUUAUAACGAGAUCCAGACAAGCAUCCUUUCUAGUUGGUGCUUGUACCAGUUGUGACAUAAAGGUGUCAUUUAACACAUUCAAAAACCUGAUUACCCUUGCUGAAGUACUAGUCCCUCUAUCCCAAUUCAUGUCCGGGUAAUUAAAAUCUCCAAUAAUUAACGUGUUUCCUUGAUUUUCAGCUUUCCCAAUUUGCUGUUCUUCCUCAAUAAUAUUUACAUUAGGUGGUUUAUAACAUAUCCCAACCAAUAAUUGAUUUCCCUUUGUUUGCCCCAAGCAGAUAUCUACCCAUAAAGCUUCCACAUUUUCCUCGUCACACUCCACAUGCCUAAGAUUUGACUUUAAAGGACUACCCUAGGCACCCAGACCACUUCAGCUUAAUGAAGUGGUCUGGGUGCCAGGUCCAGCUAGGGUUAACCCAUUUUUUUAUAAACAUAGCAGUUUCAGAGAAACUGCUAUGUUUAUAAAUGGGUUAAGCCUUCCUCCAAAGCCUUCCUCAAAAUCACAGUGAGAGCACGCAAGCGUCCAUAGGAAAGCAUUGUAAAUGCUUUCCUAUGAGACCGGCUGAAUGCGCGCGCAGUUCUUGCCGCGCGUGCGCAUUCAGCCGAAUGGGCGGAGAGAAGGAGGAGAGCUCCCCGCCCGGCGCUGGAAAAAGGUAAGUUUUUACCCCUUUCCAGAGCCGGGCGGGAGGGGGACCCUGAGGGUGGGGGCACCCUCAGGGCACUAUAGUGCCAGGAAAACGAGUAUGUCUUCCUGGCACUAUAGUGGUCCUUUAACUCAUGGUUGACAUAUAAACAUACCCCACCACCCUUCUUAUUUUUCCUAUCCUUCCUAAAUAACAUGUACCCAUUUAAGUUAACUGCCCAGUCAUGUGUCUCAUCCUACCAUGUUUCUGUUAUGCCUAUUAUAUCAUAUUGUUUAAUGUAUGCUAUUGCCUCUAGUUCCCCCAUUUUGUGAUAUAGGCUCCUUAGAUUAGUAAGCAUACAUUUAAUAUCAUCAUGAGUCUUUUGUACUUUUUGUGAAUUAGCAAUAUUACAUACCUCCUCUGUUCUGUUCAGUUCAGUUUAGAUAUAGCCUGGUUCAGUGUUUAAUGCAAAGUUUUAAGCAGAUCUGGGGUCUAAACCUUGGCUCUCUCUCUUUUUGCUACAUGAAAAUUUGUAUAAAAUUGAUACAGCCAGAAUUGAACGUUUUUGUUUCUUCCAGGCUGGCUUGUUGACAGAAGCCAGAUGUGAAAUCACGUUUUGCCAAAAAAAGCUUAAAGAUACAAUCUAAAUCCCAAAAAAAGCAUUUUCACUAAAGCAGGUUUUCUUUUUUACUAUCUGCUUUCUCGUUUUCUUUUUGACUUCCCAAUGCCAGCAUCAAAAAGCUAAUUCAGUGAAUGACCACCAGAAGUGACUCACCUACUCAGGUGUCUGAUGUCACAAUACCAGUCUCUCGACAGUACGAUCAAAGAAAUGAUGUCACAUCUGUGUUCUGAGGCACACCCACACAUCCCUAACUUUCUGGCUCCUUACUAUGAUGUCAUAUAUGACAUGGAACGCUUCCAUUGGUCUCUUUUUAUAAUGUCCGUCUAUGUGGCACUCUAGUAUCAUCAUUGCCCUUUGCAACCAAUCAUAUGGUUUAUACUUACUGGUUGUCCUUAUUUCCUUGUCCUGUCAUGCUUCUUGUUACCUGGGAGUGCAUUUAUACUAUGUAUUGGAUUUACUCUUUUCUGACCUUGGCUUGUUUGACCAUUCUUGCUCUCUGUUAUCCUGAUCUUGGCCUGACUAUCGAAUCUGUGUAUCUAUUCUAUGAUAUCUUACACUUAGGUCUAUGUCUUGUUUAUUCUCUGUCUGCUUGCAGACAAUUCAUUUAUCUGUCUUAGGCACUCUAAGGACCUGUACAUGUUCUCUUACUGUUUCCUUUAGGUUUGUGUGUUAGGGUAUCUCCAUUCAUGACAAAUGUCAAUUCAGAGUGUUAUUAUAAUUCUACAUUUUUGUUUGUUAAUGAAAAUAAAAUGGAAAAAAACCCACUACCACUCCAGCUCGCUUUUGUGAUGAUAGUGCCUGCAUUCCUCUGGCACAGUCUGUGUUGAACUGUUUUUGAGCUUGAUUGUUUUGCCUAAACAUGUGUAUCUCCUUACUCGAUUUACAAGAUUUCCUGCUGUAGUCAAUAGAUCCCAAUGUCUUUCUUUUAAGUUCAUCUCACCGCUGCGUCAGACUAAAAGUUAUUUCAGUUUAAGAAAACAUGUUUUUCUCUUCAUAUCCAUGCUCUUUAAGCAGAUGCCUAUUUUAUCACAAAUUAACAUAGUAUUUUAUCAGCCUCUAGUCAGACUUUACUUUUCCCACUUGCAAGCUGGAUGACUUUUUUGGCAUUGAACUGCAUGUGCUUUGUUUUUAUCAUUGACAAUGUAGAAAAGACACUGAAUCCAGCACGAAGGCUUAAUAGACCUUCUCCAGCAAUCUGACAUCACUGCUGGCAGUGUAUCCCUGUUUAUUAUUAACCCCUGCACAGUGAACUUGAGAACCCUCUGGCAGGCAGGGGAUUAAAGGCAUUGAUCAAAGUACACGGCUAAAUAAUGUUUCUUGAAGUCAGGAGUAUGGUGCUAAUUAUCUAAGCAGUUGAGAACCUCAUUCUAGAUAAAAUAAGUAAAUACAUUAAAACCAAAAAGGUCAUUAUUAAUCAGAGUACCUUGAUGUUGUUAUUAUCAUCCAAUUAAAUAAAAGAAAAUUACAGUAAUUUGCUUGUGUUUAGAUCAUUAUGUAUUUUCUUAUUUUAUCUCUUCCUAGCCUCUAGCCUCUCUUCAACCUUGGCCCAUAUAUUCAGUUCUGCAGGCCUUAUGAUUUUCUAUUUCUUAACUAGCAACGUGACACCAGUUUCCUGCAUCACCUCCUAUCUCUCUUUUUUCCCUUUCACAGCUUUUUUUUUUUUUUUUUUCCAGUGUCCUCCUACUAAGCUCUGGAUUUUGUUCCAAAUCACACACUCCUAUCUCUCUCCCUCUCUUCAAAGGGAAUUUAUCAUCAAAAUACUGCGAAAGGACAUGCAAAUUUAAACAGGCUUAGACAUAAUUUAAGAUUUGUGCUUGCUGUCAGAAAGUCUUUUGUUUGUUUGAAACGUUAUUUUCUUGAAUUAAGUGUGAAGUUCACUUUAUAAAAUAGCACAGAGCCCUAUUCUAAUCUUAAUUUCAACUAUAUAUUGUAUUCACUAAACAGCUGGCAAAAUAUAUAAAUAUUGAGUAAUUAAGCACCAAUAAUGCUAAACAAUACUCGGAGAAUCAUCAGAAUUGUUGAGGUACUAUCUAAAAAUAUUUUAUACGGUUAUCGUCAGGGGUUUUUGAUACCGCACAAUAUUUUAGGAUGAAAGAACACACCAAGCACUAUAACUACUUACCUGCUCACAUAGGUUGGCUGUGAAUAGCCAGAAAAAAGUAAAUAAACAGAGGGGAGUCAAUAAGCUCAUCUGUUUUAUUUACUUUUUCUGGCUAUUCUCAGCCAACCUGCACCUUUCACUUUCAGGCACAUCUGCUGCUAUUUAUGACACCCAUUCACCCCCCUCCCUUCAUCCCCUUUUCUAACAUCAGUUAUUUUAAGUGUUAAACUCUAUCAGAUUGAUUCAGUAUUGCUUCAGACCUGAGGAAGAGUGGAAACUCUCGAAAGCCUUAUAACCUUCAGCCUUAUAACAAUUGUACUACAUGGCACGACCACUUUAAGGAGGAGAUCAGGCACAGGCCCUUGUGAUUUGCAGGUUCCUAAAGGGACACAAGUAGAUCUAACAUAGAAAUGUGGAAGUUAGCCGGAAAAUUAAGCUAUCAGAUUUUAGUGCAAAGCAUGUACCGUAUAUACUCGAGUAUAAGUCGAGUUUUUCAGCACAUUUUUUGUGCUGAAAAACCCCCACUCUACUUAUACUCGAGUCACUGUCUGUAUUAUGGCAACUUACAUUGCCAUAAUACAGACUAGGACCACUGGGCUCAUUACAAGCCCGGCGGUCCUGUUGGGGGCUGGCAGAGAGCUGUAACUUACCUUUCCUGCAGCUCCUGUCAGCUCCCUUCUCUCUCCUCCGGUAAGCUCCUCUGUCAGCAAACCUGCAAGUCUCGGGAAAGGUAAGUUACAGCUUUCUGCCAGUCCCCUCCUACACAGUGCACACCACUGGACCACCAGGGAAUGAGAGCCCCCCUCCCUGGCCAGGUAUCAAGCAGGGAGGGGGGACGAAAAAAAAUAAAUACAAAUUUAAAUAAUAAUAAAAUAUUAAUAAUAUUUUAAAAAAAUAAAAUAAAAAUAAAAUAUUAAUAUAACAAAAAAAUUUAAAAUAAUAAUAAUAAUUAAAAAAAAUAAUAAAAAUGCCCACCCCCCACUAAGGCUCUGCAUCACAUACACAAACACACUCUGCAUCACACACACACACUGCAUUCAUACACACACUGCAUUCAUACACACACACUGCACACAUACACACACUGCAUUCAUACACACACACACUGCAUUCAUCAUAUACACACACUGUAAAUAAAUAUUCAAUUAAUAUAAUUUUUUCGGGAUAUAAUUUUAUUUAGAAAUUUACCAGUAGCUGCUGCAUUUCCCAUCCUAGUCUUAUACUCGAGUCAAUAAGUUUUCCCAGUUUUUUGGGGUAAAAUUAGGGGUCUCGACUUAUAUUCGGGUCGACUUAUAAUCGAGUCUGUUUUCUGCAGGCCAACCAAAAUGUGAGUUUCAAUCAUUACAACAUUAACCGCACAACACUGAAUAUUGCCCUUGGUUGAAGUGACAUUCUACAUACAAGGAUUACUCUGUGUGGUUUAACAUGUUUAUUUAGCUUUUGAAAUUACUAGAAUCCUAAUUUACCAAUUUCUGAAGUAAGCUGUCUGAGAAAAAUAUAAUGCAGACAUUUGGUUUGAUUCCCAUCUGCAGGGAACUAUGCAACAAGUGAGCUCAGCUUGCUAGUAUCUGUGGUUGAUGAUCUAUUAUUGACUUGCAAAGAAGUAACUCCCAGGUCACCAAUUGCGUUUCGAAGCAUCUGGAAUUGUAAAGAUGCUGAGCUUUGCAGCUUCUCAGUUGUGCUUAUCCCAGAGGUGGAGGGAAAAAAAGAAAACCCUGAAAUGCUUACGUUACUGGCACAAGUAUUGUUUUGUAUUCUAGCACAUGGGUCUGAAAUUAAACUUCUAUUAAGAGGAUAAUGUGCAGACUGUCAACUUUGAGCAAUUUGCAUACCCAUCAUAAGCCCUUUCAUUUUAAGGGUAUGAAAACUGAUUGGAUAAUUGGCUACUUACUCUGAUUUAGCCUUUUUUUUUUUUUUUGGCCCUGUGUAUUUUGUUUGAUCUUAAGUUAAUGCACAGGACAACUAGGAAAAUGUCCUGAAUUGAUUUUGUAGUCUGCUACAAUUGUCUCUUGUGACAACCAGUGAAAAAAAAGUAUCCUUGCUACAUUAGAAGUACACCUUGUAAAUAAAAGCACAUGGCUUAGAUUUGUCCAAAUCACUAUUACAUUAACAUUUAUUUAAAUUAUUAGAUGGGUUGUCUAACCACCAUAAGAAAUAUAAUGUACCACAGCGGUUAUGUUACCAGGUGUCCCCUGGGACUGGCCCACAGUAAAUAGUACAUUAUUUUCAAAUAGAUUAGUUCAACAAUUGCACAUGACUUGGAAGACCAUUGUAGUUGUUCACUAAAAAAAUAUUGUGGUUGUAAAGACAGCUGCCAAACACACCAAGAUACACUGAUCAUCCACAACAUUAAAACCACUUGCCUCAUAACGUAUAGGUCCUCCUAGUGUUGCCAAAAACAGCUCUGACUUGGCAAGGCAUGGAUUCCACAGGAACUCUAAACGUGUCCUGUGGUAUCUGGUACCAAGAUUUCCGCAUCAGAUCCUCUAGAUGCUGCAAAUUGUUCACUUAGAAUAUCAACAGAGAAGUCAUCUAGCAUCUAGUGAUAUCUAGUGUUCUCAAGUUUAAACCAGUGAUUAGAUGUGAAGGAUUUUCAAAUAUAAAUAGAACUACUUUUUGCAGAUUAUAUUAAUUUUCCCAAUUAUUCAUAGACUUCUAAGAUGGAGGGACUGUGCUUAAAAUGUGUAACAGCUUUUGUGUCAUUGUUCAAAUUCUAAUGAAGUAUACGGAUACAGUUAAACCAGAGUUUAUAAAUAUAUAGAGAUCUGCAGCCACUUGCUUUAUGUUUUGGUUAAAUGUGUUUUUGAACCAAUCAGUAUGGAGAUCUAAGCCUCUAGGUAGUGGCAGUAGAAAAAUAUAGAAGCAAUACUCAUGGGAUUUGUCAAGAGUAAAUGUGGAAACCAUAAGUGAAAGUGAAAAAUUAGUUCGAAUGUAUUAUGUUUUAAAAGUAGUUUUAAAAAGUAUCAUCUUUGUUUAUUCCAAAUUUUCUUUUUUUAUUUUGCACCUCCACAAUUAUGUACAUUAACCAAAUAUUGUUAAUCCACAUGUAUUUUACUUAUUAUUUUGCUUUGCUAAAAUAAGUGUUGAAGGAGAAAAAAGUAAGGAAAAGGCACAGAAGUAAAAACUAGUAGAAAAGACAAUCCAAAGUUUAAAAAAAAAAAAAAAGUAGCUUAUUCAGCAACCCAUUGAUACGUUUCCUUAGUUAUGUUCUGUGAUGCUUGCCCACAAUUGCGGCUCAAUUUACUUUGAGUCCUAUAGUAUCAUCCAUUCUGCUCCUAUAGACUAACUUCCAUUUAGGACCAGAUAAUUGUAGAAAUCAUGCUAAAGGCAGGAAUUUAUUUUAUUUUAUUUUUUAAUGACUCCGUUUUUAUGUUGUUGUUUUUUUUAAAGUUAUAAACAAUGCAUUAAUAAUGGGUAAGACACCGAGUCAGUGAAUAAUAACAUAUAAAUAAAGAAAAACUAAACAAAAAAAAAUAUAUAGAUAACAAAACCAAUAACAAUAGCCUCAAAAACAUGGAUACCAGAUUAUAAGGGAAACUUCAGCUAGUGAAUUAGUCACACUUGGGUCACAAAUAAGUUUGGUACAUUUCAAAAUUUUUUAAUCUAAUCCCUGUAUAAAAUUGAUUGGAAAGUCAAGUCUUUGGCAUAUUUGGGGAUUUAUUUUUUAAUAUCCAGCUUCUAUGUGGCUUUGCUUGAUAGGUAGUUAUUGAAGAUAAUGGCGUAUUUAGCAGUAUAGAAUCGGUAAACAAUCAAUAACAUUUCUUUCUUGCAACAGUUAUUAAAGCAAUCACAGUCUAAAUUUCACAAACCAUUUAUCUGACAAAAAUGCUACGGAAGUCUGAAAAUGUGUUGUUUUAAAACCGGGCCCAACUUGUGAUUUCUUCAUUAAAGAAUACCUUCAUACCCCAAGCAACCUAUGCUCAUUAGAUCGGGCAUACAAUUUUAUCUAUACAUUGUACUAGCAGUUUUGCUAGCAAAUAUAUAAAUUAGGAGAAUUUUUUUUUUUAAAGUGUUCUCUCGCCCCUCCCCCCCAGCUGUCAGUCAAUCCUGACAAGAGAGUGCAGAAAAGUCCUCCCAUGGAAGGUCCCUCUGCUCUUCUCCCAUCGCAACUACAUUGCAUACGCUGUGGUUGCUAUAGAAUCUCCCCUAGUGCUGAUAAUGAGUACAGGAACAGAGUGAUGUGACGUCACUCCAUUCUAAUGCUGACGACAAAGCCAGCAUGCUAAUGUCACAGACGAGAUCCCAAGCAUGACAAAUCAAAGAAGACUUGCGGAGGACGGCCAGGAAGUGUGUGGCAUUGGGGCAUUGAAUUGAUUUUUUUUUAAGCAGGAAGCAGGGCAUCAGUGUCAGUGUCAUUGGAGAAACUGCUUGCCUAAAUACAUGUAGCUAUUUGUCAAUAAAAAUAUUCUUGUUAGUUUGUGUAUCUCUCUCAGCCAUUCAGUGACUCCCCGUUUACUAAACUGGCUCUGAAAGAAACGUACCUUUUCCAAUCCAGUUUAGUAAAUGGGGCGUCAAUGAUUGUCUUAGAGCGUCAGUGGCCCGUUCUCUGUGCUUCCUGAAUUGAGGCGGCACUUUGCGCUUCCUGAAUCUGAAAAUUCAGAAGCCGAAUGUUGUCUAGGUGGAGUGGACAUCGCCGCUGGAGACAACUUUGUGGUUAAACCAUUGGAGAACGGUUUUACUCCUUGAGGUAAGAAUGCCUCCAGGGACCUCCUGGCACCAUAAAAACUCUAUUUGAUUACGUUGUUUUGGUGCCUGGAGUAUCCGUUUAAGCAAGUUAACUUUUGAUUGAAAAUGUCAGGUCAGGGGAGGUGUGGCUAGAGCUGCAUAAACAGAAACAAAAGUGAUUUAAGUCAUAAAUAGCAGAAAUUUGAACAGUCAGAUUGCAGGGGCAUGAACUAUACACCAAAACAGCUUUGUUAGGCUAAACUUGUUUUUAAUGCCUAUAGUGUCCCUUUAACAACCUUUUUUUUUUUUUUUUUUUUUUUAAAUACUCCAUAGAAGAUGACAUUUUUUAAAAUUCUUUUUCUUUAACAUAACCUUAUCGUAUUUAGGCUGUCUUACUCUUUCCACCCAUUGUUGUUAUAUUGGAAGAUAAUGGAUUCCAUUUAAUUCAGGAUAUCACUGUAUUUUGUAUAGAACUUUCUUUUAUUUAAGCUCAGUGUGCUGAGCCUAACACUAUUAAACAGAGCAAUGUGCAGUGUUUCUGUGUGAAAGGAAAAGGAGAUGGGACUAAAGAGAUCUGGCUUUAACCAGUUAAAGGAAUGACCUGCUGUUUAUACUUUCUGGAUGCAAGACUCACCCUGUUAGUUAGAAUGGUUUCCUUUCCAAAAAUGAAUCUUGCUUACUGUAUAUGCAGUGAUCUGCAGAACAUAGCGAUUUUGGCUUAUAAGCAGUUCAACAUGCUAAAUGUCAUUGAACCCUUCCUCUUUCCAAAUUACAAUUGUCUGGUGUGUCUUAAAGGGACACUGUGGUCACCAAAACAAGUUUAGCUUAAUGAAGCAGAUUUCUUUAUAGAUCAUGCCGCUGAAGUUUCAAUUCACUGCUGUUUAGGAGUUAAAUCACUUUUGUUUCUGUUUAUGCAGCCCUAGCCACAUCUUUCCUGGCUGUGACGGACACAGCCUGCAUGAAAACAAAAUGGUUUCAUUUUCAAUCAGAUGUUACUUUAGAAGUUUUGAUCUCCUGCUCUGUAAAUUGAACUUUAAUCAAAACCAAAGGCUCCUGCAUGGUCUUGCAAGCUAUUAACAGAGCAGGAGUAAAAAAAACCCCCAAAUGAUACAGAAUUUGUAAUAAAGAAAGUAUAAACAUUAGAUGACUGUUUACAGCAAGUCACAUGCAGUGAUUUAACUCCUACAUGGCAGAUGUAGCAGAGAUGCAAUAUUGCCCAGGUUAUCUCCGCUUAUAAUCCAAGUGAGGCUCAGGAACAAGUAAAUGGCAAAUCCACAGGCAAGGUUUCCAGCAGGCAAAAUAACAGCAGUAUCCCAACAGCAAUCCCAAUAACUGGAUGACACACAGUUUCAGGAGCAGAACUGAAAGCUUUAUUCCACACUGGCCUUUUAAAGCAUGCUCCCAUGCAAGGGAGGGAUUUACAGUCAUUAGUACAGUAGCCAAUCCUGUCCUGGUAACCUCCCACACAUCUCCUCCCCUCAGCCUGCAUCAUAAUCCCCUUAUCCAGUACAGCAAUUCCCCCCGUUUCUGGAUGUAACCCUAAACGUAGGGUUACCUCCGUAAAUCAUACAUCCCCUGGUAGCCCUGAUCUGGGUGAACAACAUAUCCAAAAAUCACCCAGAUCAGACCAGGGGUUCGGGAAAUUUAUGGAGGGAAUAAAAUGACCGACCGCACUGAGUGAAGCAGCCGAAUGCGGUUCCAUGUGAAUGGGCCCUGCGGUCGGUCCUGGAGUCAGGGAAUGAAUGGCACGAAAACCUCUAGCUAUAGAGGCAAGGGAGGGUUCGCCUGAAUCCCCUCGUACGGUUCUUUCUGUCUACCGCACGAGGGGCCGUUCGGUAGUUAGGAACCGAACGGACCGGGCUUGUGGAGGUUUCAGCGGUGUCCGCCUAGUCGAGUGUCCGAUUUGAGUUCCAGACACUCGACGGCAAAACACCGCUGUUCGCCACCACGUGUUCGUUUGUCGAAUGGCGGCCACCCCCGAGAACAAAGGACGGCUACUUAACUUGUCAAUUACCCGUUCGCAACAAUGUUGUAACGGGUAAUUGAGGACACACUUCACACAGGGGAGGUCUGAUUGUUCGGUAGUUUCAUUCCCGUAGUUUAUUCGAAUGAUUCUACCGAACAAUCAGAGGAAUACAUUUCUUUUAAACACAUAUAAAACCAGCAGUUUACACAAAUGCAACUAUUCACAUGACAUUUGCAGGACAGCCCAGUGCCCUCCGCUACAGCAGACAAUUGAGCCGUGAGACUGCAGCGGCAUGAUCUAUACACUGUGUGUGCAGCUCAGGGUGUCUUAUAAAGUUGUGACUAAGCCUGUAAAAGUUAAUGAGGACUUGAAAAAUACAUUCAAAUGGUUUAACGUCAUUUUUGUUUGUCCAUGCAGUUUCGAUCGUGGACGUUUCUGAACAUUUAGAAAUAUUUUAUUUAUGUGUGUAUUUUUUACUGCUAGAGACUGCUGUCUGUUUAGUACAAUAGCCUUGACUAGAGAAUAGGAACAGCCCUUAGAAAACUGCCUAAAUGUUCUGUUUUUUGGAGAGGUAUUGCUAAGUAUAAAACUUUCUGGGACUUUAGUCCAUAUGAAAACUUGAUGGCCUAUCCCUCAAGGCUGAAUCCUAUGCAAUUCCCCAACCUUUAUUCCCUGCUUUCUAAUAUCUCACCCCAUUCUUGUCAUUUAAUUCCAUUAUCUCUCAUAUCCUCCUUGUAUUUCUCUUGCUCUCUAUCUCCAUAAAAUCCAAAUGUCACUCUCUACCUAUCUCCCAUUAAACCCUUUGUUUAUCUUAUAAAACCCUGUUUGUCCCUCUCCUUAUCUCCCAAAUGCUAUUACUAAUUACACUAGUCUUGUGGCUUGUUGGAAUAUACUAAAACUGUGGUGUACUGUUUUGAUAAACUGCCGCCUCAUAUAAAAUGAAAGAAGCACUAGUAUUCUUCCACUUGAAGAGAUCUGGAGCUAAGGAACCCCAUAUCUGGGGCUUAGGCCCUAGAAACUCCUCCUUUCAACACCUAUAUAGCCCAUUGGAGUCCCUUAAAGGAACACUAAAGGGUCAGGAAUGCAUUUGUGUAUUCCUGACCCUAUAGUGUUAAAACAUUUUGAUUAUUACUAAUGAUGUAAGGAGCCAAUAAUGAGUGCACAAUAAAUUAAUAUGUAGGUUUAAAACAAACUUUUUUUCCUGUAAGUAAUGUACUUCGAGGCAAGUGUGAUCGCCUAAAUAACAAAAUUGAGCAAAAGUACACUGCCUUUAGUAAAUUGUUCACAGUGCCGCUUUUGUUUAACAUUACUUAAAAUUAUCAUAAACAGAACUCACAAAGGGCAUGAUUUUGUGCGACAUGGAAGGAAAAUUGUGUUGAUUUCACUCCCACAGAUGAUAAUCAGCGUACGGAGAGACAUACAUCUGUAUAGAAGAUGGUCUUCAAUUUAGAGUGUCUAUUCUGAAAUGCCCAUGUUGAGGCAGUUGUAGACAACUUUGAUUGUGAAACAGUUUUUUGUAGAACAAAAUCUAUUACAUGUGAUUUUAAUCUCUUCUUUAGGGAAAAUGACUUCAGUUGAAAAUCUUUUUCCUGUGCUUAAACAAAUUCUGUGGUUGGAACUAAUCAGUUUUUUUCAAAGAUUCAAAAGAUUGACAAAUUUGAAUGAUAUAAAUAACAAAAACAUCAAUAUGGGCAUCCUUCCAUCAAUCCAUCCAGUGUGUGAGUUUACGUUUAAAUUCAUUAGAAUAUAGCCUUGCAGCCGUAGAUUUAUGUUGGUGUCUACGGGCCAUUAAGAAAACCGCUAAAGACUCUCAAGAAGAGUAAAUAGUGAAAUAACCAAUAAUAUCCACCAGCAAAUAUAAUUAUUGAAAAGUAUGCUUUAUUAGAUAGGAUAUGUGUAAGGAAACCAAGUAUAUUUAAAACUCAUUCGGUAGUUUCCUCCUGAACCACCAGAGCCUUAGUGAUUAUAGCCCUCCGUUCGGUAGAUAGAUGUAGCGGUACUUACCCUUUCCAGGGGCCGGCCGGGGUCCUCUGUUCGAGCCGCGCGCGGUCCUGCUGCUGCACGAGCCGCGCGCGGCUCAUCCGACGGCUGUGACUGGAAAGCGGUCACGUGUUCCACCUAACUUUAAGAGCGCGCCGCGGGUAUCGGGCGCGCUCUUAAAGGGACAGUGGGUGCCUAAAUUGGAAAAGGCAUCCCAUUGGUCCCUGUCAUGCCACACUCCCCAUACACUUACCUUUUGGGGGCGUGGAUGUGACAGGGACCAAUCAAAUUAGAUGUUUAGGUAUUUAUACUCACCUUCUUCCCUCUGUUCCUUGCCCUAUCGUGGUUUCUGUAUCAGUUCCCUUUAGCGCUUGUUGUGUUCAGUUGUGUUUCUCCGUAUUGACCUUGGCUUUGUUUCUGACUACGUUUUCUCUUUAUCCUUCUGUUCUGGUUGUCGGCUUGUUGUUUACUGUGUACCAGACCCCGGCUUGUCCUAGUUUACGCUGUCUCUCUGUGCCCUUGAUUUCGGAUUGUUCCUGACUCUGUCUCCUCUCAUAUACGUCGAGUCCGGCCAUUCUAAGGUCCGGUAGACGUAUCUCUCCUCUGUGUUGUCUUUUGUUUAGCUGAAUCCUGCGUGUUGGGGUAUAUUCUCGUUACAAUAGAGUAGACGAAUGCUAUAGUAAUUCCAAUAGCUUCACAAGAUGAUUCCCUUAGUGAAACACACGAAUCCCCAAACAUCAGUCGAAGUCAAGAAGAAGGGUACAAAAUAAACUGGCUUUUAAUGGGUGCACACAAACAUUUAUGCAAGUCCCCAUGCAAGGGGACAGCCCUCAAGGAGGGACAAACAUUACCCAAUCACAUACUGUAAAAACAUAACACACACCCACAGUUCCCUCCCCUAGCUCUGGAGAUGUCUGAUAAAAGAAUAACUUAAUUAUCUCCAGGCUGAAAAAUCACUUUUUUUCCCCAAUAACUGGAACACCGCUUUAUACUUGGGGUAUCACCACAAAUGACAUGUCCCCUGAUAGCCCUGAUCUGGGUGACCAACAUAUCCGAAUUUCACACAGAUCGGUUCAGGAGUUCGCAAAAACUAUGGAGGUCUUCUGUGACCGGCUCACCCUGGGUUUUGCUGGUCACUUUAGAAAUAGGAGAAAACCGAACAAACUACCGAAUGGAUUCCCCUGGCUCUUAGCAGCGAUUGUUCCCCUCUGUCGAAUGCACCAAAAUAGCGCUCUUCUAGCUAUUCGGUAAGUGGAGUUCCAGCGUUCGUCUGUUUGGGACCGGUGUUUGGAAAGUCGAGUGUCCGAUUUCAGUUCCAUACACUCGACGACCAAGUCCCGCUGCCUUUGUUCACAUGAACAAAGAUGGCCGCGGUUUUCUCUGCCACGUGGUGUUCGGUAGUACGAACGCUGGCCGCACAGAGAGAGGCCUCAAUUGAAGUAGUCUUUGAUGCUUAAUGAGCCAGGGGGGUGGUCUUUGUUCGGUAGGUACAUCUACCGAAUGCAAAUAGGCAGAAAUAGUGUACAAAAGGGGAAUUUCUUCACAAUAUUAUUAUUCUCAAAACCGGAGACAGCAUGUUUUUAGGCCACAAUAGUAGAACUGGAAUGUAAAAAGACCUUCUGGCUCACCUAUUUUUGAGAGAAAAACAAGUAGCAAAAUAGGUGAGAAUGGACAACAGCUCAAUUAGCCUGCCCUUUGGUGGGUCCCCGUUCAGAUCUCAAGCUGGUUUUAGCUCAUCUAGCUCUAUUACAGAGAGAACAUAUCUGAAGCAUAUCAGACUGGUGCCACCCAUACGGGCAGUCCAGAUCCAAAAUGCCAGCAAGUUCUCUCUGCAUGAGAGAUACAGCAACCGCAGAUGAUUGUUCCAACCUUGUAAGGUAUCAUUAAUGAGGUAUAGCCUAUACCCCUCUAGGCACCGUUAGCAAAAUAUUUAGGUUUAGACUCGCCUAUUUUGGACAAAACUUUACAAUUCCCUUAUCGACUCUCCAGAAUUCCUGUUUUAGCAAAUUUCUUCAAACAUGUCCAGGGUUUUAGAAGGUAUCAUUACCUAAAUUAAAGGGACAAUCUAAGCAUGAGGACCACUACAUCUUAAUGUAGUAAUUUUGUUGUGUAGAUGCUGUCUCUUUUACUGUUUUUCCAGCACUGAGACUUCCUCAGUGCUACUGCCUCCUGUGACAUCAUCGUGGAGGCUUCCAAAAUGAAUGUCCGAUCCAGUGCUCCUCAUAGUGGAACUUAAGGAACAAGGUGCUUGUGAUGUAGGCGUCCAAUUAAAUGCUUUUCAUAGAAAACCAUUAAAUUCAAUGCUUUCCUACGAGCUGCAUUUGGUCACAUGACAGGGUUUAGCUCCCCUGUGGUACAGGACUGAGUGAGUUGGAGUACAGGCUGAAAAUUCGGCAUUUGCCCUGCGACUCAUUAGUAAGCACUAAACUGCCUUCGAGCGAUUUCUGGAGGUGCAGACCCAACACUCCUGUCCUGGAACUUACUCAUCCAAGUCCCAUGUAGCAGCUUUUCCACUUACCUGCCUGGAGCGCGGAACACUGCCUGCCUAGAGCCCGGAACUACAUGUCUUAGACGUCUGGAGUUUGGCAUUCCCUGUACAUGCAUUCCUAACUUUAACACAGCUUUGAGACAGAAGUAGUGUACUGCAUGAAAAACAUUAAGUAAAGCUGGACAGUUGUGGUUCUUUCUGAGUACUAUAGAUAAGACAUUCUCUCUUUUAUCACAUCCUUGCUUGGGAAUGAAUAGACAUUAUUGUGUUCUUGUGCGGAAAAGAAAAAAAUAACUCUUAAUAGAUAAGUAACCUAGUUUAGCUUGUGGAUUGAAGCACUGCCUUGGGUACUGCUUGUGCUACAGUAUUCACUGACAUCUUAGGAGCUGCUUCCCCAAUUUAUAUUUCAUUAACAAAAGUUGAUCAACAAAGGUAAUGCUUUUUAUGCUAACUCAUUAAAAGAACACUCAAUAGAAACAUAGAAUGUGACGGCAGAUAAGAACCAUUCGGCCCAUCUAGUCUACCCAAUUUUCUAAAUACUUUCAUUAGUCCUUGGCUUUAUCUUAUAUCUAGGAUAGCUUUAUGUCUAUCCCACACAUGCUUAUAUUCCUUCACUGUGUUAACCUCUACCACUUCAGCUCCAGACUGUAGGUAACCCAUUAUUUUAAUGCAUUGCAUAUUUAAUGCAUUUAAACAAAUCCACAAAAACAACCAAUCCAACUGUUAUCCAACCGUUAUGCUGCCAGGAGUACCCUGGCUCCCUAAAUAGUCAAACUGUUUGCUAAGAGUUUGACUUCUUACCUGGGGUCAGCUGGGCAUCGCUCCUUGUCUCCACUAUUUAACGAUGGAGAGCUGGAACCCUCUGCUAGGAGCUUCAGUUACUUCUACCGCACAAAACCUUGCCCUGCAAGGCCAGCUUGUUGGUUGUUACCUGCCUUGAGCUGUACCCUGCACCACUGGGCUUAGCUAAGAGCUGAGAGUUUCUGGCUCUUAUAGAAAUGGGGAGCAGAACCCAGUGCACUCCAGGUAAAACCCUUGGCAAACAGUUUAACUACUUACACCAUUCCAGGAGCCAUAACCACUUUAUAGCGCAAAAAUGAAUUGGUUUUAUUAUUCAUAUGGCUAGUGCUCAUAACAAUUAUUUAUAGCCUCGGAGCUGGAUCAGGGUAAAUGUUUUAUUUUUUAUUUUUUGUAAGUACAACAGUGCCUGUAUUGCCACAGCAGCAUCAGCAGGCUCAGUUUUCAUGGUCAUGAUAAAAACAAUAGUUUGGCAUUCCGGGUUUGCAUACAAAUAUAACAUAACCAAUUGACAGUUUAAGAUCUACGUAAAUGCUCAUUGAAUGUCUGGUGAAGGCGCUGUAAUUUGAUAAAAAGCUCAACAUUUGAUCCUAAAAAACAGUGGUGACUGUAAGUGUCUAGGUGUGUCCCUAGAGAUAAGGCAUCAUGGCAGCGCGCUAUUAGUGCCGCUGCGGCUAUAGCAUAAUUUGGAACUGCUAGCUGAGGAGCAGGUAGAGGUAGGAAUGUAGUGGUGUGACGGCUGGCCAAAAAGAGGGUCGAAAUAAGUAAACAAUAGCAUCUGGUAGAUCAAUGCUUUAAGAUGGAGAUAUGCGUGGUCGGUUAAAUAUUAUGGUGUUCGCAGUUAAUUGCCUGCUGUUUACGUUUAGUUUUUGAGGUCACUUCAGGUGUGUCCAGUGGCCAAGAUUACAUUACACCCGGGUCAGUUGAUUUUGAUCUGUACUUUGGUAUGGAAACUCCCGACCCUGGAUAGAUAUGAGGAUGUUGAGGAGACAUAAAUCCCUGUGGGUAACCCAGAGCAAGUGGAGGCUAAAUUGUAUAUUAUGGUGCAUGCACCUUGUAAUGCAUCUGGUAUCAGGGUCUCCUGAGUGAAUUCAGUAUGAUGGGCCUAAUGGUGCAGGUGAGCGUGUGUUGAUGCUUGUUCGGUUAUGUUAACCGGUUUUUGUUGUGCCUAUAAGGAAGGGCAUGUCUUAUGUGGGAAACAUCCUAGGUGUGCUAGCACGUUUCCAUGAAGUCCCAUUUAAGGGUACUGCCGUCGUGGUGGGUACCCGGUCAUACAAUCGUGUAGUGAUUAUGGUCCACUUCGGUUAUUGCGUAUACGAAUGUAGGGAUGCUACUGUGGGUUAUUGUGGCAUGUGUUUACAAUAUUUAUCUAAGAGCUGUACGUCGUAGGGAGAUAUCAUGUUAGAUGGGGAGACAGGGUUGAUCACUGCGCCCCUUAAAUCUAGACUUCUAUGCUGUUAUAUGUGGAGCACUUCGUAAAAUCUCAUAGGCUGUCGAUCGCUCGAUAUGUAAGGUGGACUAUCUAUGACCACCGCUUUGUUUUGAAUAUUUUUAUUGUUCUCACAAUAUAAUCGCAUAUAUCAAACUGAUUUGGGAUAAAGCAGGUAGUUGCCCGCGCAGGGGCAUAAGCAUCAAUAUAUAAUGAUGUAAGCAUUUUGUCGCCUACGCAGAGGCGGAUUUGGUAUUGCCUGUGUAACGUAAUGUAUUGGUUCAUAUUCGGUUGCUUGUGGUUCAUAUUUGUAUUGAAUAUUUAUUAUUGUUAUCACAACAUAUAAUUAAAGCCUGUAACCACUAUAAGAAGCUUAGGUGUAUGUCAUCAUUGUGACGUCGGGUGCUAAGCAAUCGGUAAUUCCCUGCAAAGUUAGAACUGUAACAUAACGGUCUGACUACAUAGGUAUAGCCGAGUCUAAAAAGUUCGCCAAGCAUAUGUGUAACGUAUCCUCAUGUAGCAGUGUAUUUUUGUAGCCAUUCGAGCUGUCAGCGAUGCCCUUUUUGUGUGUCCCCUAUAUGUACUCACUAUCUAGGCCCAUGGGCGUAAUAAGAAACAUUUUAUUUUCUGCAUGGGCCGUACAUGCUUGUCCUAUCUGGUUAGCGCUCUAAACGUACGGUACAUCUGUGCUUAAAACUUGGCUUUUAACUAUUAAACAUUAGGAUGCACAUAGCUGAGGGCCUUAUUUGUAGUUAAUAAAUUAUGGCAUAUGUUUCUUGUCAUUAAUUAAGCGGUGAUAGGUAGCGCAGUGUUAAGUAGCUAUUAGCAUUGUGACAUUGCCUUAUCAACUGCACAUCAGGCAUGCUGUGAAAUAUAUGUACCAAUAUUAAAGAGUGUAUCCUAUGUACAGCUGCUUAUGCACAUGGAAACAUUAGCGUGGUUAGCUCUAACAAAAUUAAUUUACACUUUUAGCAUAUUAGUCCCUUCGCUGGAGGGGGCGUAAUGGCGCCUGGCACGAUGAAGCCUUCUGAAGCGAAAUUGACAGCCUCCUUCGUAGCUUUUGUUCCCUCUGGUAUGACCUCCCCAUGGCUACCUCUGAAGGGUACUGCACCUGGUGGGUCAGUUGUACCCCCCUGAGUCUCUCCGGUUCCCCCGGGUGUGACAGUCCCAUCCCUUUUCCACCCCAAGGUGUGCUUCCAUGUCUUUAGGGGGCACCACCCCCGCUGUGGGCACUCGGAGACCGGAGUUGUCCGGCGGCCUCCCCACCUUAGAGUCCACUGGGCUCCCGCCUCCUGCACCUCCCCAGCUUCGGCAGGGCCUCCCCGGGGCCCCUUCCCUGUCUUGCCUCAUCCUCCACUGGCCACUUACAUGUUGCCGGCGCGUGCCCUCCGGCCGCCGGUCCGCCGUAGGCCCGCGCUUCUCAGCUCCAUCGGGCUCACAGUGUUGGGGGCUGUUUUCUCCCGGACCACCACCUAAUCCGGGGCUCUCCAUCGGCACGUCCGCCGCCCAUGGGGGUCCAGUCAUGGUCCGCCGUCCCAGAGGUCUCGGUAUCUCAGCGCGGGGUCUCUGCUGCGUGUGUGUGAGUCGCCUCGUGGUGCAGUGUGAGUACUGUGUAUCAGUCGGCCAUUGUAGCUCCGCAUACAGGAGCGUCAUGCUCCGGGCAUGCCUCCUUCUCCAGCCUCCGAAGUUCAGACUUUGGGCCGGGAUCACCCCCCUGGCCAGGUGGGGGGGAGCGGGGCCGGGCCAGGUCUCCCGCGCCUUACUUGCGCGCCGUGGGUCCGUCUCAUGUAGCGCGGUUGAGGCCUCAGGCGUCGUUUUGUGAGCCGGGUGUUCAAUAUGUGCUUUAGCGUUGCACUCCCCGGUUCCUCUCCGCCUGAUUUCCUCUAUGGUUUCGGUUUUCGGCAGGUAUCGUGGGUAUUUUAAGAGUUACAGGCUGUUUUAUGCUCUUCUCUGCCGGAGCCGGCGUGGGUUGCAGCCGCUCGGCGGCCCGGCCCCGCCCCCCAUGACCACCGCUUUGUACGUGUCUCCCCCGACAUAGGAGCAGAUGAUGUCUCAAGUGAGGCACGUGUAGAGAAAUGUAGGCAACAAGUGUUUGUAAAUAAAUGUUUUUAACUUAUUUUUUUACCAUUUUAUUUUUUUGAUGUGGGGCCUGCUUACAAAUAGGGACAGGGACACUAUAGCGUUAGAUGUACAGAUUUGUGUUCUUAAUGCAAUAGAUAUUGUUGGGCAAGCUUUUUUGGCUAAAACAUUUUUCCAUGUGUCCAAAUGGCAGUGAUCACAAUUGGGUAGUUUACCUUUCCUCUCUCCCUCACAGGGCAGAUAGCAUUGUAAAGGUGACAAAAACAAAAUGCAGUCCCCACCCCAACUCUCCACCCCUCCUAUUCAAAUGAUAUUUAUUUUAUUUUUAUUUUUGAAAUCAUGACUGCUGCUUGGACUAUGAAAAAUGAAAUUUACAAUGAGUUAAUUUUUUCCCCAUACGUCCAGCAUCCAGUCUCUCACUCUACUUAACGCGUUUCGCCUGGGUUGGGGCUGCUUCAGAACUUCUGAAGAAGCCCCAACCCGGGCAAAACGCAUUAAGAACUUCUGAAGAAGCCCCAACCCAGGCGAAACGCGUUAAGAGUGAGAGAAUGGAGGCUUGACUUUUAUAUAGAGAUUUUAUUAUAUUAUUAUUUUUUUAAUAAAGUUGCAGUUUUUUCCUAUUCCUCUCUUUGGUUUACUUUUUGUUCCUGGUGCACUUUGGAUCCUGCCCAUAUCCCUUGGUGGGGAUUAUACAACCAUAAGCUUUCAUCACCAGAACAAGUUAUUGCUCUGGAAAUCGUAAGUAGGAUACUUACUUUUCUAUUUAUCAAUAUUUUAUAGUACAUACUACACCAUUGGAUUUUAUUUGUGCUCUUGUUUUUAUGUACGGCUGUGGAGCUUUAGAUAUUACAUCCCACCAUUAUCCCUAUUUCCCAAGACGGGGAUUAUACCGUCCAGGCGCCAUACGGCUCCCACAAUCCCCAGCACAGGAACCGCGAGGGAGCAUGGUACAGAAACAUGCUCCUCCCUCCUCCUUCUUCACUCCUCAGCCAUCAGUGACCGGAGGAGGGCCGCCGGACCGGUGAGGCUGCCACCCGGCCCGGCGGCUCCAGAGUGGCAUGCAGCCGGCCCCCUGACUCCUCUAAGGUAAAUGGGAGGGGGAAGAUGGGAAUAAAGAGACACAAGGGGAGGGGGGAUAUAAAAUAGAGGGGGAAAGAGACAAAGGGGAGAGAGAUGUGGGGGAGAGACAGGGGGAAAGGGUGGGAGAAAGACGGGGAAAGGAUAGAGAGACACAAGGGGAGGGGGAUAAAGAGACAGGGGGAGAGGAUAGAGACACACAAGGGGAGGGGGAGAAAGAGACAGGGGAAAGGAUAGAGACACACAAGGAGGGGAUAAAGAGACAGGGGAGAGGAUAGAGACACACAAGGGGAGGGGGAGAAAGAGACAGGGGAAAGGAUAGAGACACACAAGGAGGGGGAGAAAGAGACAGGGGAAAGGAUAGAGACACACAAGGGGAGGGGGAGAAAGAGACAGAGGGGGAAAGGAGAGAGACACACAAGGGGAGGGGGAGAAAGAGGCAGAGGGGAAAGGAGAGACACAAGGGGAGGGGGAGAAAGAGACAGAGGGGGAAAGGAGAGAGACGACAAGGGGAUGGGGAGAAAGAGACAGAGGGGAUAGGAGAGAGACGCACAAGGGGAGGGGGAGAAAGAGGCAGAGGGGGAUAGGAGAGAGACGCACAAGGGGAGGGGGAGAAAGAGGCAGAGGGGGAUAGGAGAGAGAUGCACAAGGGGAGGGGGAGAAAGAGGCAGAGGGGGAUAGGAGAGAGACGCACAAGGGGAGGGGGAGAAAGAGGCAGAGGGGGAAGGAGAGAGACGCACAAGGGGAGGGGGAGAAAGAGGCAGAGGGGGAAAGGAGAGAGACGCACAAGGCAACAGGGCAAUUCCCCCCCACGAGGCUCUCCCCUGCCAGCCAAUUUCCCUCCCCGUUCCACAGGCACAGUGCGGCACACAGUGCCCCCCAUACACACACUGCCCCCACACACACCAUACAUACAGGGAGUGCAGAAUUAUUAGGCAAAUGAGUAUUUUGACCACAUCAUCCUCUUUAUGCAUGUUGUCUUACUCCAAGCUGUAUAGGCUCGAAAGCCUACUAGCAAUUAAGCAUAUUAGGUGAUGUGCAUCUCUGUAAUGAGAAGGGGUGUGGUCUAAUGACAUCAACACCCUAUAUCAGGUGUGCAUAAUUAUUAGGCAACUUCCUUUCCUUUGGCAAAAUGGGUCAAAAGAAGGACUUGACAGGCUCAGAAAAGUCAAAAAUAGUGAGAUAUCUUGCAGAGGGAUGCAGCACUCUUAAAAUUGCAAAGCUUCUGAAGCGUGAUCAUCGAACAAUCAAGCGUUUCAUUCAAAAUAGUCAACAGGGUCGCAAGAAGCGUGUGGAAAAACCAAGGCGCAAAAUAACUGCCCAUGAACUGAGAAAAGUCAAGCGUGCAGCUGCCACGAUGCCACUUGCCACCAGUUUGGCCAUAUUUCAGAGCUGCAACAUCACUGGAAUGCCCAAAAGCACAAGGUGUGCAAUACUCAGAGACAUGGCCAAGGUAAGAAAGGCUGAAAGACGACCACCACUGAACAAGACACACAAGCUGAAACGUCAAGACUGGACCAAGAAAUAUCUCAAGACUGAUUUUUCUAAGGUUUUAUGGACUGAUGAAAUGAGAGUCAGUCUUGAUGGGCCAGAUGGAUGGGCCCGUGGCUGGAUUGGUAAAGGGCAGAGAGCUCCAGUCCAACUCAGACGCCAGCAAGGUGGAGGUGGAGUACUGGUUUGGGCUGGUAUCAUCAAAGAUGAGCUUGUGGGGCCUUUUCGGGUUGAGGAUGGAGUCAAGCUCAACUCCCAGUCCUACUGCCAGUUCCUGGAAGACACCUUCUUCAAGCAGUGGUACAGGAAGAAGUCUGCAUCCUUCAAGAAAAACAUGAUUUUCAUGCAGGACAAUGCUCCAUCACACGCGUCCAAGUACUCCACAGCGUGGCUGGCAAGAAAGGGUAUAAAAGAAGAAAAUCUAAUGACAUGGCCUCCUUGUUCACCUGAUCUGAACCCCAUUGAGAACCUGUGGUCCAUCAUCAAAUGUGAGAUUUACAAGGAGGGAAAACAGUACACCUCUCUGAACAGUGUCUGGGAGGCUGUGGUUGCUGCUGCACGCAAUGUUGAUGGUGAACAGAUCAAAACACUGACAGAAUCCAUGGAUGGCAGGCUUUUGAGUGUCCUUGCAAAGAAAGGUGGCUAUAUUGGUCACUGAUUUGUUUUUGUUUUGUUUUUGAAUGUCAGAAAUGUAUAUUUGUGAAUGUUGAAAUGUUAUAUUGGUUUCACUGGUAAUAAUAAAUAAUUGAAAUGGGUAUAUAUUUGUUUUUUGUUAAUUUGCCUAAUAAUUAUGCACAGUAAUAGUCACCUGCACACACAGAUAUCCCCCUAACAUAGCUAUAACUAAAAACAAACUAAAACUACUUCCAAAAAUAUUCAGCUUUGAUAUUAAUGAGUUUUUUGGGUUCAUUGAGAACAUGGUUGUUGUUCAAUAAUAAAAUUAAUCCUCAAAAAUACAAUUUGCCUAAUAAUUCUGCACUCCCUGUAUUCACACACUGCCCCCCAUACACACAUUGCCACAUACACACAUUGCCCCACACACCCUACACAUUCACACACUACACCCCCCUCACACACAUACACUGAACCUUUCACACACACUGCACCCCUCACACAUUGCACCACUGCUCCUAUACCCUACUACAGCCCCAUAUCCCAGCAGACCCCAGAUAAGUUGUCAAACUGUUCUUAAACGGUUUGACUACUUACUCUGGGAGGGGGUCCCGGCACUCCUGCACCAUAACCACUACACAGAGCAGUAGUGGUUAUUGUGCAUGGAUUAUUUCUUUAAAUAAUCUACAAGUGCCCCUCCCGGGAUCAGGCUCUGGAUCCACCACUGGUAUAUGACAUGUAUAUUAAUGUGUAUUAGUUUUAUUUAUAUAUAUAUAUAUAUAUAUAUAUAUGUACGCCUAUUAUAUUUACACAUAUAUUAAUGUACAUUUAUAUUUGCAUAAUACACAGAUAAAUGUCAUUAAUAUGUACCAUUUGUAAUGAGCAGAUAUUGUCCCAGUCUUGUUGCUAGAUGCAGACUCCAUCACAAUAACAUAUUUAAAGUGAAGAGCGCACCCACAGGACUUCAAAAUAAACAAGAUAACGUCAGUUUUUUACAGUUGUGCCCUACGUACAUUCACCAUUUCAGUCCCAUUACCAAGCUUUCCUUAAUAUGUCAAGGUAGUUGGACUGAAACAUUGAUUACAUGCAAAGGCACGUCUGCUUAAAAUAAAUCUGCACUUUUGUUUAUUUUAAAGCCUAUGAGUGCGCUUUUUUUUAACGUUGGAGUAAUAAUUUUUAAUUUUAAGUUCUCUUUUCUAACUCUGUAUCUGCACACUAUGCUGGCGCGACACAUUAUGGGGCUGGUAAAUAUUUUUUUUCCAGGGCUGCUUUUAAUUCCCAGUCCGGCCCUGACUGUCAUCCAGUAGGGGCCAUAUAAGCCACCAACAGCUAAGCUAAAUCUUCUUUCUUUGCUGCUCAACUGGCUCAAAUAAGUAGUAUUUAUUGUAUGUUCAUUGUAUUGAUCUCUAUUUUGUUGCUGUUCUCGUACAGCUUCAUUUUUUUUUUCUUGGAUGUUUUUUUGGUCCCUGUGACCUAACCCAUCAUGCUCUGUUUUCACUAUUUUUCCUUGUGGUAUUUUUUACACUUGCACUUUCUCCUCUCUCGUGUUCCAUUUUUCAGACGACAUCUCUUAUAUCCUUGUGGCAUUUUGGUAUUUUCCCUUCUUCUUCUAUGUUUGUGCCAUUAGUUUUGGUGACCUGCAUUCUCCCUGUAUGUCAAUGUUGCAAUUUGUGAGAUUUUGCUCAGAGCAACCCUUUUACCUGCCCAAAUCCUGUCAGUCCUCACUGGGUUUUGCCUUCCUUUGCAGACAUCUGUGGUUUGGUUUUGUCGGUUUCAAAGUUAGAUUGCACCAAUUUAUUUCAUUUUCACAGUACUUUUGUUUUUUUCUUUAGCAGUUUUUUUCUUUAGUUCAAAUUAGUAUUCGCUGUUUUAUUAUUAUAUUUGUGACUAAUUAUAAAAGUUUUUUCCUAAAAUUAUGGCGAAUAAGGACAUACUUAAAUGGACACUAUAGUCACGAAAACAACUUUUGCUUAACGAAGCAGUUUUGGUGUAUAGCUCCUGCCCCUGCAGUCUCACAGCAUGUUGUUUAAAGGACCACUCUAGGCACCCAGACCACUUCAGCUUAAUGAAGUGGUCUGGGUGCCAGGUCCUUCUAGGGUUAACCCAUUUUUUAAUAAACAUAGCAGUUUCAGAGAAACUGCUAUGUUUAUGAAUGGGUUAAGCCUUCCCCCUAAUCCUCUAGUGGCUGUCUCAUUGACAGCCACUAGAGGCGCUUGCGUGCUUCUCACCGUGAUUUUCACAGUGAGAGCACGCCAGCGUCCAUAGGAAAGCAUUAUGAAUGCUUUCCUAUGUGACUGGCUGAAUGCGCGCGCAGCUCUUGCCGCGCGUGCGCAUUCAGCCGACGGGGAGGAGAGGAGGAGGAUCGGAGGAGGAGAGCUCUCCGCCCAGCGCUGGAAAAAGGUAAGUUUUAACCCCUUUCCCCCUUCCAGAGCCGGCGGGAGGGGGUCCCUGAGGGUGGGGGCACCCUCAGGGCACUAUAGUGCCAGGAAAACGAGUAUGUUUUCCUGGCACUAUAGUGGUCCUUUAAUUUAGAAUUUCUUAUCUCCUGCUCUGUUAAUAGCUUGCUGGACCCUGCAGAAGCCACCUGUGUGUGAUUAAAGUUCAAUUUACAGAGGAGGAGAUAAAAACUUCUAAAAUAAGAGGUUAACACAGUAAAGGAGUUUAAGCAUGCGUGGGAUAGGCAUAAGGCUAUCCUAACUAUAAGAUAAGGCUAGGGACUAAUGAAAGUAUUUAGAAAAUUGGGCAGACUAGAUGGGCUGAAUGGUUCUUAUCUGCCGUCACAUUCUAUGUUUCUAAGUUGCAUCUGAUUGGAAAUUAAACUAUGUUGUUUUAAUGCAGGCUGUGUCAGUCACAGCCAGGGGAGAUAUGGCUAGGGCUGCAUAAACAGAAAUAAAAGUGAUGUAACUUCUAAAUGGUCGUGAAUUGAGAAGUGAAACUUCAGAGGCAUGAUCUCGACAUAAAAACUGCGUCAUUAAGCUAAAGUUGUUUUGGUGACUAUAGUGUCCCUUUAAGGAUAUCAGUUCAGAUUAUUUUUGAUGCAUCUAUAAAUCAAACCGUUUCUAAUGCUAUGUCUUCUAUGCCAAAGUCUUUUAAGAAAUCUGUGGAUUUUGCCUUGGCUAGGGCUAUGCAAUUGAAUACCUAACCUGCUACUCUCUCAUUUCUGCUAUGUGAAGGAAUCAGAAAGAAAAUUAUCCAAAAGUUUUACUCAUUUUGGGAAAGGCCACCCAGAAACAAAAACACUGUGACUGUCCUAGCAUCUAUGAAAAAUGACCUAGACAGCAUUUAAUUUAACUAUUUAAACCAACCAGUGAUUUAACUAAUUUGGAGCAGAAGAGUAAGGUUAAUAAUUUAUUUGAACAAUAUACUCGUCACAACGCUCAAAUGCAUACACAUAUUUAAUGGACAAUAUCUUCUAACAGAAUUUGGUUUCAUUUUCUAUUACAAAAGAUUAAUUCUCAACAUCAGCCAAAUCAUAGACCUAGUAGAUUGCAGUUUACUGAAUUGGAAACUUAAGUCUGUCAGUCAAAAAAAAAUCAGAUGUCUUUUUAAAAAUGAUCUGAUUUUGUUUGCAUUCUCUGACUUGUAUGGUGGGCCUCUUGGCUUUCUCCAUUCAAGCCAUAUUCCCAUCCGCUCUCACACCUUAAGGACACAUGACAUGUGUGACAUGUCAUGAUUCCCUUUUAUUCCAGAAGUUUGGUCCUUAAGGGGUUAAAUUAAAGGGUCACACAAGACCCCUAAAGCACUUUAUCUUGCUGAAAUGCUUUGUGUGUGAAGAGUGUGUCCUCUUACAAGCAGACAACAGCUUAUGUUACUUCCUGGUUUGGUUAGCUCAGUAGAGCUAAACACAAGAGUCCGACAAUUGCUCAGAGCACCUGCCUUGCAAAGACUUCUUGUUAAGCUGCAUUGGGAAGUCUGUGAUUGGACAGCCACAGUAAGUCUGGGCAGGGUUAGAAGGGAAGGGUUGCAAAGACAGCAGACAAGAGAACUGCAGGUUUUGCAAGCGUUUUUUUUUAGAUAUACUCUUAAUGAAAAAAUGCAUAAUGAAAUACAUGCAAAUCUUUAUAUGGGGUAUAACUACUAAACAGUGAUUGUUAUUCCCCUCAAUUUAGAGGCAAAAGCAGAGCUUUGGCAUCCGGUUCUAUAAACUUCUGCUUUAGAUGCUUUUAUUCAAUAAUUUUCCUGAGGGACCAAUUAUGAUUUUUCUCCAUUUGUUCCAAUUCCUCAGGUCUUAACUAAAUUUUCAGCCAAUGGCAGCUAUUCUCCUGGUGGUUGACACAACAGUGAUUCCCAUGGUUGAUGGCAAUACUAGUGGAUAUUCUAAGACUUCUUCCCCUGUUCAAUCAUGUUUUGACGGAUCCUUUCAGAUAUCCACAUCAUAUUAGUUAAGGACAUUUGCAUAUUUACAAGCAUUAGAGAUGUAUUGUCAGAUGUUUGGGCACCAGGAACUGGCAUCUAUGGCUUCUUCGGUGCUUGACCAUUUCUUCCACAUGUUGAACUUUCUUUCACAUUCUUUUGAUUUGGGAAUAGCAUAUUGGCCUAUCAUACUGAUGGGUUAUAUUCCGAUUGAUAAUAUGGGAGUAGAGAAACACCCUUUAGUAAAUUAAUGAGUCAUCCAUCUUCAGAUACCCCUUUGCCCUAAAUAAAGUGAAACAUUGGAUGCUAAAUUCUUGGGACAAUAUUAACAUCUUAUCUCUCAAACUACACUUCUCCUAUAAAAGAAGUUUAAGAGUCUGAUAUGUUGGCUUUAGAUAUUUCCCAUUACAGUUUAUACUGCACUGGGCCCAGUUUCAAAUGACUAAAACCAGUAGUCAAUCAGUGUUCUAUACUGCCCAGACCAUUCUCAUGUGUAAUACAAUGUUUAAAAUGUUAAGAAUCCAGAACAUCCUUCCUAAGACAUACCGAUAAACCAAAAUGAAUUCAUUUAUAUUGUAAAUCUUAUCUAUCCGAUUCCACACUAAUUCUAGCUAGAUGCGACCAUAAUACUAUGUCUGUAGCUGGCAUUGACAUAACCAAAUGUUGGGCUCAUUCUGUGUCCACAAAACAUAUCAAGCUAGGGGUUCCCAAUUUGAAGGCUGCUCAUUGGUCCUCGGAUUCUACCCGUAAAUGAUUCUAUUUUCGUCCUGUUUCCAUGAUUAUACUGUCAUAGUGAUAUAUGUGUAUAUUAAUCAUAGUUUUCAAUGUACAUAAUAGGAGCCUCCUGUCUGCAAUAAAGUUUUCACAUUUUCCCUUGUCUGUGGAUAGGAUAAUAUAGAUUUUUUUUUUUUAUUAAUGACAGGAGGCAAGUGUUUUCUCUCCCAAUAUUAACCCUCCCUUUGUUCUCUUUCCUUUUCUUCAGCAGUUUAACAGAUGAAAACAGAUUUAUACUUUUCUGUUUUGGGAUUUUCAGUUACUUAGUACUUUCACAUAACUGUCUGAGACAAAUGGAGUGCAGUAUUUCAAGGAACACUACAGCAUUAAGAAUACCUAUGGGUGGCCGCCCCCUCACUGUUAGGGAUUAAAAGGAAUUACUUACCUUAACACCCUCGCUGCACUUGUCUCUGUGUAGAUGCUCUGCUUCCAAGAUUGAUGAUUUAAGCCAAUUCAGUGUUUCCCCAUAGGGGAAUAUUAGGAGGCUUGUGCGCAUGUAUGGCAAAAUCAUCCAUAGAAGAGUUUAACUCUUCUAUGAAGGUGGAAGCACUAUAGAAACUUCUAUGUAAACACUGCAAACGGAACUAUUUUACAUUACAGGGCUAAAUUGAAAGAUCCAUUGCACUGUGACCACUUCAUGGAGAUGGAGUGGCCUGGGUGACUUUAGUUCUGUUUAGGUUCUGCUGUUCCAUGCUACUUGACAAGCAAAGAUUACAGCAUUCUAAAACUAUUAGAGGGAAACUAUAGUUACCAGAACAACUACUACUUAUGUAGUUGUUCUGGUGAGUAUAAUCAGUCCCUGUUGGAUUUUUGCAGUAAAUAUUGUCUUUUCAGAGAAAAGGCAGUGUUUACAUUACAGCCUAGGGACGCCUCCAGUGGUCACUCUUCAGAUGGCUACUAGAGGUGCUUCCUGGGGCAGUGCUGCACAGUAUGCAUCACUGACAUUCAGGGUCUCCACCCUCUGCAUGGAGACACUGAACUUUCCUCAUAGAUAUGCAUUGAUUCAAUGCAUCUCUAUGAAGAGAUGCUGAUUGGCCAGUGUGGCAGAUCAGGGGCAGAGCUGGCACCAGCAAACUAGAAUAAAGGUAAUAUUUUACUAUGUUUACAGGGCCAGGGGGGCUAGAUAGUUUUUUGGGUUUUUUUUUUAACACUAUACUGUCAGCAAUACAUGUUUGUGUUUAUGACCCUAUAGUGUUCCUUUAACUGAAUAAUGAAAACUAAAAUAAAUUCUUAUGCAGUAUCCUCUUCUGAAGUCUAGUGCAGCCUGAAGUGUUACUAAAUAUUUGAAAAAGGUGAUUGGAAACCCAUUACAAGUGUGUUGAAAUAAGCAAACAGAAAUGUGUAAUUUACAUACCUGAAAAGUGAACAUAACUAAUUUUAUUAUUUAUUAAAAUCUAUUUUUAUUCAUGCAAAGUUUGAUAGUUCGGGUUAUCUUAUUUUUCUUCUUUACUACCACCAACACCACCACAAAUGAGUCAAUACUCUCAGUUGCGUUUUCACUUUAAGGGACACUAUAGUCACCAGAACAACUGCAGCUUAAUGUAGUGGUCUGGUGAGUAUAAUCAUUAUAUGCAGGCAUUUGCAUGCAAACAGUAUCUUCAGAGAAAAGGCAGUGUUUACAUUGCCCCUAGGGACACCUCCAAGUGGCCACUCCUCAGAUGGCCACUGGAAGUGCUGCUUCCUGGCUCAGUGCUGCACAGUAGGCAGCUCUGCUGUUCAGCGUCCCCGCGCUCUGCAUGGGGAUGCUGAAUUUUCCUCAUAGAAAUGCAUUGAUUUCUCAGUGUCCCUUUAAGCUUUAUCAGGAGAGAUUUUGUAAUCUUGUAAGAACUUAUGACCCUCUUACAAUGUUAUUCUUUAGGGAAUGUGUGACAAAUAAGAUACAAAUACAACAAAAAGUGUUGUAUUGUUAAUAUUGAUUUAGGUCACUGUAAAUACUGUAUGUGAACAAUACACAUUAAAAACUCAUCCUGUCCAAUAGAUACAUAUAAAAAGGGCAAUAAAUGAAGAUUUUCUCCUUGCGAUUUCAUCUUGGGGCACCAGUAUCUUACCAUGGCACUUCUGCUUGCUGCACUCUUCUCCCCAAGACACAACUGAUUCUUUUGCAGUCCUGACUAGGUAUCCCGGAAUUCUUUGUCCCUCUUAAAAGUAGUUUAUUCAGCCCCCCUUUUCCAGAGAGUUUUGUCUUUACAUAAGCUUUUCUCUUUGAUCUGCUUCCCCAGUUACACUAGAACAUUCUGUAAGAAGUGACCAGUUAGGGUGGGUUUCUGGGUAGAAUGGCAGCAGGCAUAGACUGCUUUAGAGACAGGAUUGCUUGAGAAAACACAUAUUUGCAUUGUUACACCUAAAUAUUAAUUUCUUUGAUGUUCUGAUCUCCUGAUAACAUGACUCUUGCAACCUUUACAAUAAAGAUGUACACAUUACUUCUUACAUAUCUGUAAGAAAAAUCUAAGCAAACCAUCUAUGUUGUACGCUUUGAUGACAACUUAUUUUGAUAUGUAAAUGACGUUCCAUUGUGAAAUCAGAUAGCCUUUCUUAGUUUAUUACACACCAAACCUCCACAAAAUCAUAUGUCCAUAUUUUAAAUAAAAAAUAACAUUUUUAAAGGCAACCCAUUUAUACAUUCUGACAUGUUCCAUAUUGAAGUCUAAGCAAGCUAAAUUUGACUGAAGCAUGAGGAUGUUAAAAAUGCUUGUCAGAAGCUCAUUUGAAAAGGAUAAUGUACUCUUGAUAUAAUAUGAUGUUCUCUGUGAACAGGUCUUUUGUGGUAUGCUGUUUUGUUACACAUGAGAUUAGUGUACCUUUACAGGACUGUUUUUGAAUCAAGGCAUUCAUUGCUAUAGAGCAAGGGUAGGCAACCAUUGACAUUCCAGAUGUUGUGGACUACAUCUCUCUUAAAGCCUUGCAAGCAUUAUGACUGUAAGAGCACGACAAAAGAUUUAGUCCACAACAUCUGGAGUUCCAAAGAAGAUUUCUGGAAGAUCCUUUGUUGGCUAUACAUUAUGAUUGUAGAACUCUGCAAAAGAUAAACUGUUGUUUUAAACUCAUCAGGGUAAUACUUGGCUUUGAACUUUGCUAUUCAACAAGCUGGAAUUUUUUGGGGCCCUCGAUCUGGAAUUUCCAUAGACCGUAUCGUGUUACAUAAUUUAGUUUCAUGUGGGAUGACAUAUCAAGCUUAAAAGUUCGGCAAGUAAUACUCAAAUACUAAGUUUAUAUUUGUGCCAAUCGAUAGGUCUUUUUUUUAACCUUCUUUUUAAUCCUGAUCGAGGCUUCUUUUAAACAGCAUACUUUCUCCUCUCCUUCCAUGUCUUCCAGUGUUGGAUGUUUCUGAAGCUCUAUUGUGCACACUGGCGGAUCCAGGGGGGGGGCAACGGGGCAAUUGCCCCCCCCGAGAAAUCCGCCGGUCUCCCUCUCCCUCCCCUGUCAGCACAUGCAGGUGCUAGCCCUGCAAUGUGCCUGCGGACCGGAGGGGAGAUCAUAGAUCUCCCUCCCCGGUCCGCAGGCACUGUGCUGACAGCCGGCAGGGGAGGGAGAGGGAGGACCCGGGAGCUCAGUCUGCAGCUCCUCCGGGUCCUCCUCUCGCGAGAUUUGGAGCGUUGCCAACGCUCCAAAUCUCGCGAGAGUGAACUCUAGCCCGGGAGCGCGGGCUAGAGUUCACUGUAACCACUGGGACCACCAGGGAAUCACCACUGGGACCACCAGGGAAUCACCACUGGGACCACCAGGGAUGAAAAUAUGUCCCCCCUCCUCCUCAAUAAAGGUAAGAAGGGAGGGGGGACAUAGAAUAUUUGUUUUUUUUAAUUAAAUAAAGAUAUAAAUUAUAAAAAAAGCCCCCCCACCCUUAACACACACACACACAUAGCCCCCAUACUGCCCCCCCAUACACAUACUGCCCCCCCAUACACACAUACUGCCCCACAUGCUGCCCCCCCAUGCUGCCCCCCCAUACACAGCCACAUACUGACCUCCCACAUGCUGCCCCCCUAUUCACACAUACUGCCCCCAUACACAUACUGCCCCCCAUACACACACACAUACUGCCCCUCUAUACACACACAUACUGCCCCCAUGCUGCCCCCAAACACACAUACUGCCCCCAUACACACACAUACUGACCCCUAUGCUGCCCCCAUUCACACAUACUGCCCCCAUACACACACAUAUUGACCACCAUGUUGCCCCCUAUUCACACACAUACUGCCCCUAUUACACACAUACUGCCCCCCAUGCUGCCCCCAUACAUAUUACUGCCCCCCCCCAUACACACAUACUGCCCCCCAUACACACAUACUGCCCCCCACACACACAUACUGCCCCCAUGCACACAUACUGCCCUCAUACACACAUACUGCCCCCUAUACACACACACUGCCCCCAUACACUGCCACCCCAUACACACACAUUGCCCACAUUCACACACACACUGCAACUGUUACACACACAUACUGUCCCACACAUACACUGCAUCCCUGACAUACACUGCCGCCCUCACUCACACACCACAACCUUCACACACACACACACUGCUCACACACUGUCCCCCUCACACACACAUACACACACACUGCACCCCUUACACAUUGCACCCCUCACACACACCACUGCUCCUAUGCCCUACUACAGCCCCAUUUCCCAGCAGACCUCAGGUAAGUUGUCAAACUGUUCUUAAGCGGUUUGACUACUUACUCUGGGAGGGGGUCCCGGCACUAUUGACACCAUAACCACUACACUGAGCUGUAGUAGUUAUUGUGUCUGGAUUAUUUCUUUAAAUAAUCUACAAGUGCCCCUCCCGAGAUCAGGCUCUGGAUCCGCCACUGGUGUUGGUUACAUUAACCAGAUGUUCAUCCAAAAUAGGCUUUCCCUGUAAAAAAAAUGCAGUAUUACAAACCAUUGGAUGUUAGACAUACAGGACAAAAAAUGGACUACAUCCAGAGGCUUCAUGGAAAGCAUUGUUGCAAGCAAACUCUGCCCAAGGCAGCAGGAUAGCUUAAUCAUCUUGGUGCUUCGAGAUAAAACAGUAAGUACUGCUGGAGGGAUUGACUGGCACGUUUUAGAGCUCCAUUAGACUGGGGAUGGUAAGCGGAAUGAAAAGACAAAACAAUACCCAUUUCUGAACAAAAGGCCUCAGAAAAAUGAGAAAAACUGGCUACCGCAAUCAAAUACAAUCUCUUCUGCAAUGCCACGUAUAAGGAAUAACUCUUUGCUGAAGGUAUCUGCUAAUUCUCAAGCAGACAGCAAUUUAGGAAGUGGUACAAAAUGACCCAUUUUAGAAAAAUAGUCUGUUAUUAUUAGUAUCACAGUACAUCCAUUGUAACAGGGCAGGUCUACUAUAAAACAUCUAUAGCUAUAUGGAACCAUGGUUUGUUGGGCAUAGCUGUAGUCAGCCACAGGGCAAUUUAUGAAAGACUUUAACCCUAGCACACACAUCACACACUUGUAUAUACUUUGUCAUCCUUACACAAGAAGGGCCACUAAAAUAUGCAAGAUGGAGUGAAUAUGGUUUUAGACACACCUGGAUGUCCUGCUGCUUUAGUAUCAUGAAAGAAAGACAUCAAGGUCUAUUUUAUGGGUCUCUUAUCUACGUGAUUAUGUAGCCUAUUUGAAUGACAACCUCACAUAACUAAGUCAGAAUCUUGUGGUCAUUUAGAAUGAUUACUUGGUAUUUGGAACCUUCGAGCAAGUGCCUCCUUUUCAUAAGAGCACAAACAAUAGCUAGUUGUUGUCAGUCCAUAUGUCACAACUUCCUGGAGAAAACCCCUUAUUGGUGUGAGGGCUUGUCCGAGGAUUCUCUUUGCUACAAGACUGCUCCCACCCCUAUCUCAGAUACAUCCACUUCUUAUAUAAAGGGUAAGUAGGGGUCAGGAUAGUGAAGAAUAGAAGCAAACACAAAGGCCUGCUUGAGAGUAUGAAACGCAUCAAUGGCCUCUAAACAGGGCCGGACUGGGGAUACAAAGCAGCCCUGGAAAAAAAAUUUGUGCCAGCCCCAUAAGUCACUGCGCCAUAUAUUGUCGCGUGUAAUAUGUAAGGCUAUGUCUUGCCAGGACAGAUGAUUGAGUUAUAUAUAUAUAUAUAUAUAUAUUGCUUUUUCUAAUAUAAAAUAUUGGUCCUUUCAGGUUAAAACGUUUAAUUAUACAGUAAGCAUACGCACAUGCAGACACAGGCAAUUUCACUGACAUUUCAGUGACACACACAAGCUCAUUGAUACACAGCCUCAUAGACAAACAAUCUUACUGAUAUACAUCAGCUCAUUGACAUAUAAACACAAGCUCACUCACUAGCAGGCACACGCAUGCAAGCAAGCUCACUCACUAGCAGACGCACACACACAGCUUAAUGUGGUGGUACUGGUGUCUAUAGCAUGUCCCUACAGGCUUUUCAACGUAAACACUGACUUUUCAGACAAAGGGCAGUGUUUACAUUGCUUCAAAGUGACACUGCUAGUGACAGUCACUCAGACGGUCACUCAGACGGUCACUAGAGGUGUUUCCUGUGUUAGUGCACCUACAUUCAGGGCCUCCACACUCUGUAGGUGCUGAACGUUCCCCAUAGAGAUACAUUGAUUCAAUGCAUCUCUAUGAGGAGAUGCUGAUUGGAGUGGCGUUUUGCAGCCAAUCCUAUGGCAAAGCAUUGGAUUGGCUGAGAUCAUCAAGCUUGAUGAUCUCAGCUAUAGAGGCAGGGCCAGUCGAGAGGAGACCAGCACGCUGUGUGGGGAAAAAAAAGGUGAGCAAAAACACUAUUUUUAAACACACAUUUACACCAUGACAGACACAGAAACACACAUAUACCAUGACAGAUACACACCCCAUUACAGACACACACACACACACCAUGACAGACCAUGACACAGACAGACACACACCAUGACACAGACAGACACACACCAUGACACAGACAGACACACACCAUGACGGACAGACAGACACACCAUGACGGACAGACAGACACACACACCCCAUGACGGACAGACAGACACACACACACAACCCAUGACGGACAGAGACAUACACACCCCAUGACUGACAGAGACACACACACACACCCCNNNNNNNNNNNNNNNNNNNNNNNNNNNNNNNNNNNNNNNNNNNNNNNNNNNNNNNNNNNNNNNNNNNNNNNNNNNNNNNNNNNNNNNNNNNNNNNNNNNNAGAGUGAGGCUGGGAGCCGGAAGAUGACGUCAUCAACUCGGCUCCCAGCCUCACUCUGCGGCGUGCGAGGGAGCUAAGCGGACAGCUCAGAGGAAGAGCUCCCUCGCCAGCCGCCUGCCCAGCGCCGCCCGCCCGCUCGGCAUGUCUGUUAGCCGCAAGGCUAACAAGGCAUUUGCCCUGGGCAUUUGGGGGGCGGCGUUUUUUGCCGCCCCCUGAAAAAUGCCUUGUUUGCCUCGCGGCUAAAACGCCCCUGGUCUGGCUUACAGAAUGACUGAUUAUAUAAUCUGUUAAAGUGGCCAGUUCACCAUUUCAGAGAUCAUAAGUUGUAAACUUAAACACGAAACCUAUUUGAGCCCCAGACAGAAUUUUUUUUUUUUUACAGAAACCCAAUCUGUUACAAUGUCCAGGACAUAAGGGGUUAAAUCUAGCAGAGAUUGAAGCAAAUGGUUCUACAGAUGUUGUUUUCGUAAGAAAUGAGUUCUUCAGAUGUUCUUUUGUUUCUUUCUUUGGGUAUUAACCAAUCUUUAAAUACAGACCCUUCAAAUAAGCGUGAAUAUGUGUAGAUUUACGAAAUAUGCAUCAGCUGAAUUUAUAAUACGGUGUGUGUGUAUAUAUAUAUAUAUAUAUAUAUAUAUAUAAUUUUUUUUUUUUGCAUUUCCUCAAGGUUCAUUAUUACAUGUUGCUGCAAAGCAAACCAAGAUAGAUUUCCCUGUUUACUUGGAAACAGGACUUAUUGUGCUAAAGAAACACUAUAGUCAGUACCAACCUUUUAAACUUAUAUUGUAAAUUUGCCUUUAAAAAAAAUAAAAAUAAAUAAAAUAAAUGUAAAAAUUUAAAAAAAUUCUAUUUCCCCAGGGGGCUUCUCCACUGUCUUUCUUGUGCGCACAGCUGGAGGAUUACGCUGUGCCUUGAAGAGGAUGUAUGUGAACAAUGUGCCUGAUCUUAAUAUCUGCAAGAGAGAAAUUACAAUUAUG